RNAcentral lists this long non-coding RNA (102413 nucleotides) under Ananas comosus (pineapple). RNAcentral's name for it is "long non-coding RNA (ACOM_LNC009472)". The record is from RNAcentral. Lineage: Eukaryota; Viridiplantae; Streptophyta; Magnoliopsida; Poales; Bromeliaceae.
AAAUUAGGGUUAAUUUUGUAUAGGUCCUUACAAAAGUCUUGAUGUUUUCAAAUAUAUUCCCGUCUUUAGAAUCCGUUAAAAAAAUUUAGUUAACCAUAAAUUAAAUACUUUAAUCCUUGUUAUGUUUGACAUUUUUUAUUUCCUUAUGUUAUAUUGUUAAUACUUUUUUAGAGAUAUAUUGUGAUGGCAAAAUUGAAAAUAUAAAUAGUUUUUUAAUGGUUCUCUAACGAUAACAAAUCAGUGGAAUAUAUUUGAAAACAUCAGGGCUUUUGUAAGGACAAAAUAUGAAAAUUAAACUUUUUAGGGAUAUAUUUGUCAUUUACUAUGUUUGCAGACCUAUAUGAUUAACCUUUAAAAUUAUUAUGUUAAAAAAAAUAAUUUAAGUAAAUAAUUGGGCUUACAUGGGCCCUUAAUUAACUUCUUUAAUAAAUAGCUGAUUGAGUCAUGACCCAUUCACUAAAUGGAUCUGACUUGGAUUUGACCCAUAUGUCCCUAUUAUUUUUAUUUCAGGGAUAAUAUCUAAAAAAUAUUCAAUACCUCAAAAAUAUCUUAUUUACUACUGAAGUACCAAAAUAUUCUGUUGUUUUUAAAAAAUCUAUUUAAAUAUCCCUAUUUUUCCUUGCAUUUACUAAUGGGUUGAAUUUUAGAGUCAUAUUUUAGUAAUUUGAGAAUAAAUUUGAAAAUUUUGAAUAGUAGUAGUAACGGGUAAAUAAGCAAAAGCCCUAAUUUUUUUCAUUUGGAGGAGCAAAUUUUGUAUAGUAGUAACGAUGCACCUCUAGAGUCGUGCAUCAUGUACCUAUCGAACUUUGGUCUCAUAUCUCAUAUUUAAAAUCUAGCAUAAAAAUCAAUAUAAGUCGCAACAUUUUUAACAUUUAAAAGUUGGACAAUUAGACUAUCAGAAUAGAAGUACGAGAUGGAUGGAGGGCUGAUGAAUUCAUGUGAGCCAAACUCAAUGGCUUGGCUUGGGUUGUCAACGAGCCAAACACGAGUGUUCGUUAAGAUUUCGAGAUGAAAAAUUCAGCUCGUCUAUUAAACGAGCGAUCGAUCUCGAGCUCAUUUUGAGCUGAGCACGAGACUGCCUCACAAACAGCAAGCUGGAUUCCAGCCUAGCUAAGCCUAUAUCUAUCUCUCUCUCUCUCUCUCUCUCUAAUAAUUCUCUCUUUAGAUUAUCCUCUAUUUAGCUCUCUCUCUCUCUCUCUCUCUACUAAAGUUUAGGCCAAAAUUUGAAAUUGUUAAAAAAAAAAGAAGAAGCUCUUCUUUCAAGGCCCAGUUAAUGGCGAUCAUCAAGCCCUAAAGCCAUCACAAGAAUCACUGACAUUUAUAUUAAUUAAUGUAGUUUGUUAAUCAAACCAUUAAGCUACAUACUUCAAAUUUGCAUAGCUAUUUCUUUAUGUUAUAAUACAUUAAAUAUAAAUUAUGGACAAGAAAUCAUGCAGUUUACAUACAUACAUACAUACAUACUAACAUAUAUGGGAAACUUUAAAAACACUCAUGUGGUUUCACACUUUCUCACUUGAGUGCAUAGUUAGUUAAUUCGGAUUGCGGCCAAAAUUCGGUAUGGUAUAAUUUGAAUAAAAUUUAUCUACUAAUUUUUAAAUUUAUUAAAAAAUACGGCUAAAAAAUGGAUUCGCCAAUUAUUCGGAUACGUAAUUUAUACAGAUAUUAUACGUUUACCAAUUAAAAAUUCGGAUCAAAAAUUCGGCUAUUAAAUUAAGUUUUUUCUCUCAAAAUUUAUGCUAUUGGCAUAAAUAUUUAUAUUUCUUAAGAAUAUAAGAAAAAGAACUACAAAAUUAAGCUAAUUACGUAAAAAAAAUAGCAAACUAUAUUAGCCUCAAAUAAAUAAUAAAUUAAAUAAAUAGAGAUUAAAAUAAAAAUAAGAGAUUAAAUUUUUUUUGAUCGAGUGAUUUUUUUUUGGAGGAGGAGAAGAGGCGAUCGUUUAGAAAGGAUUUUUUUUUUUUUUUUUUUUUUUUUUUUUUUUUUUUUUUUUUUUUUUUUUUUUUUUUUUGCGUGAGAGUUUAAUUUGGAUUUUGGAAAGCAUUUUUUUUUUAAUUUUUCUUUGUUUUGGGCGAGCCGAGCCGCAAGGCGCGGGCCAGGGCGCUGGCGCGGGCGCGGUCACGAGCACGGGCUGGCUGUUUUUUUGGGCGAAUUAUUCGCGAAUCGCGAAUAGUUCACGAAUAAUUAUUUUUUCCCAAAAAAACACGUUUUUUUCCGAAUUUUUCGGAAAAAUACUUAUUCGGCCGUUUAAUUCGUUUUCUCAAAAAUUUGCGAAUAACUCGCGAAUAAUUCGCAAAUUUACUAACAGAGCUUGAGUGUUCUGUGGUUUAAAGUGUAUCAAUUUGAUGCCCUGUGGUUUCAUUUUUAUCUUUUCGGUAGCUUUUUCGUUAAUAUUUCGUUAAAUUAUACACAAAAAACUUCAGAUAUCCACAUAGGUUUAUCAAAUAUUCACUUUAGCAUUUUUUAAUUUUGACUUUGUCACUAAUUUAAGAAAAAAAAUAGUGAAAUUCAUAAUAAAAGAGAAAUAUGAAACCACAGGGCACUAAAUUGAUACACAUUAAACCACAGGGCAUUAAAGUGAGAAAGUACGAAACCACAGGGGUGGUUUUUGAAGUUUUCCAUAUAUAUAUAUAUAGUCCGGUUACUAUACUCUUAUGAGUACGAUCGCCUUCGUACUCAAAGUUAUUUUCGAUGAUAGAGCUUCCGAAUUGACGAUCCAUACCGUUAAACAUUAUCUAGAACAUUUAAAACUUCUAGAAAUCAAAUUUUAUAAUUUUUCAAUAUCAUUUACCUUACGAUCAAAAGCUCACAAAAUUGAUAAUUUUUAACGGCCGGUAUGAGAUAUUUGUUAGUUUAACGGUGAAAAAGAAUCGGAAUAGGUUGAAUAUUUGAUAGAAAAUUCUAUUCACUACCUAAAUAAAGAUCAAUAACUCUGAUUUUAACUUGAAGGAUCCAAUCAUCCUUUUUUAGGAUGUCGUUCGAUUUUAACCGUUCAUUUUAUACCCACUUGAUGGACUUUAUAAUGAUUUCAAAAAAUUACGAAAUUUAUUUUCUAGAAGUUUCAAAUACUCUAGAUCAUGUUUAACGGUGUGGAUCGUCGAUUUGAAAAAUCCAACCUCGAAAACAACUUAUGAGUACGAAGAACUAUAUACGCAUAAGAGUAUAGUAGCCCUACUAUAUAUAUAUAUAUAGGGCUUUUUUUGCAAAUAGCCCCCUGACAAAUUUUAUUUGCAAAAUUGGCCCUGUGUAAAAUUUAUUUGCAAAAUUGGCCCUGGCCCUGCCACGCCAGCGCCACGUCAGCGCCAUGUGGGCAGGGCCUGGGCCAUGUACGCAAGUUGAACACGGUGAUUGGUUCACCGUGUCUAAACACGGUGAACCAAUAACCGUGNCUCUCUCUCUCUCUCUCUCUCUCUCUCUCUCUCUAUAUAUAUAUAUAUAUAUAGAGCUUGGCUCCUAUACUUUCGAAAGUACGGAGGCCUCCGUACUUGUAAGUUGUUUUCGAUGAUGGGACAUCCGAUUCAGCGAUCAGUUCCGUUAGACAUGAUCUAUGCUAUUGGAACUAUCUAGAAACCAAAUUUCAUAAUUUUUUGACUUCGUUUGCCUAGUGAACGAGUAGUCUCAAAAUGAACGGCUGAAAAUAAAAAUCUUAUAAAAAAUAGUAAUAAAAGACUCAAAUUUCAAAUCGGAAGUAUUAUUCUUGCUCUUGAUAUUAAGUAGAAUUUUCUAUUAAAGUUUCAUGUAAUUUGGAUACUUCUACACCGUUGAACUUAAAAACGUGCCACAUCGGCCGUUAAAAUAGUCAUUUUUGAGAUCCUUUGAUCGCUUGGUAAAUGAUGUUGAAAAAUUAUGAAAUUUGGUUUCUAGAUAGUUCUAAUAGAGUAAAUUAUGCCUAAUGGAGCCGAUCGUCGAAUCGGAUGUCCUAUUAUCGAAAACAACUUACAAGUACGAAAGCCUCCGUACUUUCGAAAGUACGUGAGACCUACUAUAUAUAUAUGUAGAGUUGAGCUAGAAUACUCUCAAAAGCACGAAAGUGUUGGUGCUUUUGAAUUUUUAACCCUUGGAUGGAGAGAUGUAGGGUUAAGAUGAUGGUAGCAAGUGGUGGUAGGUGGUGGUUCGUGGAAUAGUGUUUGAUCCAAAGGCUAUUAGUAAUCAAAAAGUAAAUCCAACGGCUAAAAACUUAGAAGAGGUUGGUGUUUCUAAAAGUAUUCUAGCUCAAUUAUAUAUAUAUAUAUAUAUAUAUAUAUAUAACCAAAUUAUAUAUGCAUGAUUUCUUGGAUUUUUUUUUUUUUGGUCCUUCUUGCAAUGUGCUAGUUAGAUAUAUCCAUGUCUUAAUGUUCUUACAAAACAAUAAAUAAAUUGAUUAAAGGUGAAAAACAAAAGGGAAACCUUUUCUCCUGUUUAUGUUCUCUCUCUUUUUUUUGAACAAAUAACAAUUUUUUUAGCACCAGAUCAUUGUAAGCCAUUCUCUCUUUGCAAAGCUCGAACCUUACUGCAAUAAACGUACAUCAAGAAAUUUGAUUAUAAUAAGCAUUCGCACUACAACAAAAACGGUCUAUAGCGGCACUUUUAAAUGUAGGUACAUGUCAAAAAAGUGCUGCUAGUUAAAAUUAUCAACACUUUUAAAAAGUGUUGCUAUAUGUGGGGUCGCUAGGUAUAUAGUGACAGUUAAAUAGUGUCGCUAUAUAUAACCUAAAAGAGUGCUGCUAAUUUACCAACACUUAUUUAAGCAUUUAGCAACCGCCGAAACUCUAUCUCGUUGGCUGCGGUGGCAGAGGAGGACGACAGGAAAUGCUCUUCGUCUAGAAUUUCAGUGGAUUGAGUGAAGAGAGAAGAAAAGAUGGUAAUUGAUUUUUCUUUUUUUUUUUCUUUUCUGUUUGUAAUCGGGCCAAAUAGACUGCGUGUGGUGGGUUGAGUAGAAUAAUCUUUUAUUUUUAGAUGGAUUGGGCUUUAUAUUUAAGCAUUAGUAGAUAUUUUUUUAAGUUUUAGCAUAAAUGGGACACUUAUUCAAAAGUGUCCCAAACAUGUGUCCCUAUAAUCUAAUUCUGUUGUAGUGUCGAUCCCAUGAGGAAUAGUUUAUAAGCGGUUAAUUAAUUAGUAGUUGAUUAGUUAGUAAAACUCAUGAUAUAUUGUAAGAGACAAUUAAUCUAUCUAAUAUUAUGAAUUAAUGGACUCAACAUGGCCUAUACUUUUCUAAACAAUUGAAAUGUAAGGAUUCUUCAAGUGUAAUUAAUCUCACAAAUCAUCAUCAAUACUCACUUAACCAUAUUUGUUCGCUGACGAAAGUCGAAGGAACCCUCAUUUCCUCCGUAAAAUGAUCGAAUAUGGCGAUCGAGAACAACGUCGCACUUGGUUCGCACUACUACUUGAUACAAUUGUAUGAUACAAAAGAAUCACUACUUUUCUCAUUUUGAGAAGAAAAGAAUUGCUUUUCUUCUUCUUCUUUUUCCCAAUUUUUCUCUUAUUCUUUGUUUAGUUACUUUAUUAAAAGUCGAAUCAAUUUUCGCAUAUGAUCAUAUAUAUCCACUCGUGUGUACUUAUCAUAAACCAUUACUAACGUCGCGUUCAAAUUCAUUUGUGUUUAUGAGAUCCUAUACAGAUGGAUUAAGCAUUUCAUCGCAGUUUAUUUUCGGAAUAACAUUAGGUUUCGAUUGAGCAUAUUCGUUUCGAGUAUAAUACUAUCACAAGUGUUUAGUACAUUUAUAGAAGGUGUAUGUUGAUAAAAAUAUUAAUCAAUUUUAUAGAAUCCUAUAAUUUUGAUUAUAGUAUAUAUUUUAGUAUCAAUUUUCUUGAAUAAUUAAAAAUAAUUAAAAAUAAUUAAAAACAGGCAAACUGCAAAAAAGAAAAAAAAGGAAAAACAAUACAAAAGAGAUAGCUAGUACAUAUUUGAGUAGUGCUUCUAUACUUGUUAUAUUUUUUAUACUGUUCAUUCAUUUCUAUUCAAUGAUUCAGAUUCAAUUUUUUAAAAAUUAUGAUCUACAAUAGUAUGUCAUUUUGAGAGAGGUACCAAUUACAAGGUACACCAAAAAGAGAUAUUUCGGUUUUUUAAUAAGUGGGUAAUUUAGUAAUUUUACCUCCACUAUAUUAUCAAAUUUUCCUUCUCUCUUUGUUUUCUUUUUUUCUCUCUAUCUUUCCUCUUCAUCCACAGUAAAGAUGUAAAGGGGUCGGAUUCAGGGCAAAUUUUCAAAAAUCCGAACCCGAAUUCAACUAUCAAACCCAAAACCUAAAUCCAAAAUCCAAAUCCGACGAAUUUAAAAAAAUCAUAUCUACACAUGAACUCGACUUAAAAUCCGAAACCCGAACCCUACCCCGAACCCGAAACAUUAAUCCUCUUUACAAUAUUUCAAAAUAUAUUCCUAAUCAAUUACCCACAUUCAAAAUUUUUUUUUAAUAGUGAUACACAAUUAAUGUCUAAAUGAGAAAAGUUUUAAAAUUUUUCUAAACCUGUUAAAUAUGUUGAUAUUUAACUAUUUACCCACAUUCAAAUUUUUUUAGAUUAGUGAUACAAAAUUAAUGAUUAAACUAGGGAAUUCAAAAAUUUCUUAAACAUAUUAAAUACGUUGAAUUUAAAUAUUUACCAAUAUUAUAAAUUUUUUUAAAUAAUGAUACAAAAUUAAUGUCUAAAAUAGAAAAAUUCUAAAUUUUUUUUUAAGCAUAUUAAAUACAUUUAAUUUAAAUUUUUAGCACGUACAAAUCUAUUUUAAUAAUAAAUUUGAAUUAUACCCAAUAUUUCUAAUCAAUUACUACAUUCAAAUUUUUUUAAUUAGUGAUACAAAAUUAAUGUCUAAAUUAGAAAAUUCUAAAUUUCUUUUAAAAAUAUUAAAUAUGUUGAGUUUAAAUAGUUACCCACAUUCAAAUAUGUUUAAACUAGUGAUACAAAAUUAAUGUCUAAACUAAUUGAAUUUAAAUAUUUACCAACGUUACAAGUUCUUUUAAAUAGUGAUACAAAAUUAAUGUCUAAAGUAGAAAAAUUCUAAAAUUACAACAUAUUGUAUACGUUGAAUUUAAAUAAUUCAAAAUUAAUAUCUAAUCUAGAGUAAUUUAAAAGUUUCUUAAACAAAUUAAAUAUGUUGAAUUCAUUAUUAUCAACAUUAAAUUUGUUAAAAUAGUAAUAUAAAAUUUCUUUUAUUUAAAUUUAAAUUGUUAAAUUUAAAUAUUAAAUAUUUAAAUUCAACAUAUUUAGAAAUAUUACUAUUUCUAAAAUCCCAAAAAUUUAAAUAAAUGCCUAAAUAAGAAGAAUUCUAAAAGUCCUAAAAUUAAUGCAUAAAUUAGUGCAAAAUUAAUGCCUAAAUUUGGAAUAUCAAUCAAACCUUAAAUUAAUGCUUAACUUAGUACAAAAUUAAUGCUAAAUUUGGGAUAUUAAUCAAAACUUUCUUAAAAUUUUGUCUAAUUUAAUUACAAAAAUACCCUCACAUGAAAUAACUUUUUAACCUGCUACAUAAUAGAAUGAUAUUUUUAACCUUUAUUAAUCAACGAUCAAAAUCUUUUUUAUUUUUUAUAAAAUAAAGUACCGAAUCAUUUCUUUUUUUCUUUUUAUUUUCUCUGUUUUCUCUAAAUUCUUUUCAUUUUCAUUUUAUAUAUCAAUAAAAGUUCAUUAGGCUUGUGAUUUUGAUACAAACUUCUUGUUUUCCUUUUAUUCUUUAUAGAUCAUGAAAAAUUUAAAAGAUAUUUGAGAGAAUUUCUAAUCGCUUUAGAAUUUAACGGCAAAACCUUGAAAAACUCUAUAUAUAACACAAAAAUGUCAAGCAUUGCUGCGAAAACUAGUAAUCUUCCUAACAUAUUCCUAGUGAAAAUUGACUCACUCGAGAAUCAUUCUACAUAUAUUUAGUACUAAAUAUAUUUAGUACUCGAGUAUCAUUCUACAUAUAUUCUACAUAUAUUUAGUACUAAACACAGUUCCUACUUUAGAUAAUGCAAGCUCCCUAACCUGCUUUAUGCUAACAAUGCAUCUUUAAUUAGAUUGUUCGAGAAUUGGUUUAUUCCCAAGUAUAUUAUGGUCGCAGCUCGAAGUAAUUUAUUCAAUAACGAAAGGAACUGUAAGACGAGAAUCUAUAUGAUCAUACACGUGGAACACGAAAUACCUAAUCGACAUAUCGUGGCUCGACAAGAAUCCCUUUGUCGAUUGACCAAAUGGUGCAAAAGAAUUUCUCAUUAUUCGCAUCGAUCGUCGCAAUAGAAAAUUAGAAGUAAUUGCUCUUUGUACAUCGCCUUACAUAUAAGCUUUUCUCUAAUACAAUAAAUACCAAAUUAUGAUUAUGGUUUGUAAGUAGGUACACCUUUUUGAUGGCACAAAUAAAAACUCAAACUUAAGGAGUAUGAAAUGAAAAAAGAUGAUUCCUCAGGGAUAGCAUAGAUACAUGAAAUAAUAUUUUAUAACUGCACAAAUAGAUGAGACUAGAUCUCGUUCGACAUGUCGCACUAUGUGUUUAAUCUUUUGGGACUCAUCAUAUAACCCUAAGAUUCGGGCAUCGGAAUUAUCCACGGGAGAACAAUAGUACACUAAAAUUAGGCAGCUGAUCAAUGAUGCAAAGGAUGAAAUAUAUAUACUUAAAAGAAAUUAAGAUGGCUUCUUCAAGAAACCCAACAAAAAAAAAAAUGAAAAUGAAAAGAAAAUUUUGGGUGGUUUUAGGAUUGAUUCUUUGAUACAUUAGUACUAAAGAAAAUAUGCUUUUAGAUAUUGUCUAUUAAGUGUUAAGAACUGUAGAAGAUGAGGAUGAGGGUAAGAAAUUAACUUCCUAUAUAUACUUUUGAGUUGGAUUGUGCUUUUUGUUUGGCACAAGCACUAUACAUUUAUUUUGAAAUCUAUAUCACUUAAAGGAAUAUAUCCUAUAUGCAAUAAGAGAGAUAAGUAUGCAGGGAAUAAUAAGAUAUAUAGUUAGUUGAGGAAUAGAAUUUAGGGUUUGAUACCCACAGUGUAAGGUGUAUCAAUUUGCAUGCAAUGAAGGAGACCAAGCACAAAAUAUAUGAGGCUUUUUGUGGGUGCAUGAAUUAAGUGUGUGUCGAUGGUUUGAGUCACCAUGUGGGCUAACCAUAAUAAACAAGAAGGUUUCAUUGGUUUCAUCAUAUAAAAUAUAAAAAGAAAAUCAUAAUUAAUGUGACGCACCACUUACUAGGAGGCCAUCUAUCCUAGGACUAUUCUAACCUUAACAUACUUUAACUCUCUUAAUAUUUUGAAUCUAGCCACUGCUUAAAAUAUUAUAGCCGGAUUAAGAUAUUUAGUCAUAUUAAUUAUAUUUUAUAUAUAAGACUAUUCUGAAUUCCAAGGUUGCUCUGCCUACUGUAUAACUUUGACUCAACCGAAAUUCAUCUUACACUUUCAGCUGGUAAUUGGCUCUGAUACCAACUAUAACACUCCACUUUUCAGGAGGUCAACAAUCCUAGGACUACUCUAGUCCUAAUACACUUAACUAUAUCUUUUAUAUAUAUAUAUAUAUAUAUAGAGAGAGAGAGAGAGAGAGAGAGAGAGAGAGAGAGAGAGAGAGAGAGAGAGNAAAUUAUGCGAUUUUUCGAUAUUAUUUACCUAGUGAACGAAGGGGCUCAAAAUCAACGGUUGAAAAUAAAAAUCAUACAAAACAUGAUAAUAUGACAUUAAAAUUUUAGAUCAAAGAUAUUGAUCUUGUUUUAUAUAGUAUAAAGAACUUUCUAUCAAAAUUUCACGUAAUUUGGAUAUUUCUAUAUUGUUAAACUUGCAAACGGCUCACUACGACCAUUAAAAUUAUUGAUUUUGAGCCCUUUCAAUCACUAGGCAAAUGAUAUCAAAAAAUCAUAAAAUUUAUUUUCUAUGUACUUCAAAUACUCUAGAUCAAGUUUAUCGGAGCCGAUCGACGAUUCGAAAGUCGCAACAUCGAAAAUGACUUAAAAGCACGGAAGGCUCCGUGCUUCCAAACGUAUAGUAGCCUCACACUAUAUAUAUAUAUAUAUAUAUAUAUAGAGAGAGAGAGAGAGAGAGAGAGAGAGAGAGAGAGAGAGAGAGAGAGAGAGAGAGAGUGCUUGACUGGGCUACUAUCAAUAGUAAAGGGCUCGGUUUACUACCGAUUUAUUUUUUAUGGUAGAGCUUCCAAACCGAUGAUUGGCAUCGUUGAACAUGAUCUAGAAACCAAAUUUCACAAUUUUUUGACAUCACUAACUGAACGAUCAAAGGGUCACAAAAUCUGUAAUUUUAAUGACCGAUAUGGUGCGUUUGUUCGUUUAACGGUAUAGAAGAGUUCAAAUCAACUAAAUUUUUAUUAGAAAAUUCUUUAAACUAUUUAAAACAAGAUUUAGACUCUAGAUCUUAAAUACAGAAAUUGUAUCAUCACUUUUUAAAGAAUAUUCAUUUUCAGCCAUUCAUUUUUCUGUUUACUUGAUGGACAAAAGAACAAUAUCGAAAAUGCAAGAAAUUUGAUUUUCAGGUAGUUUAAAUGGUUUAAAUCAUGUUAAACGGUGUCGAUCGUCAAUUUGGAAGCACUAUCAUCGAAAGUAAAUCGGUAGUAAAGCGAGCCGUUUACUACCGAUAGUAUUCUAACAAAACUCAUUCUCUCUCUCUAUAUAUAAGACUAUUCAAAAUUCCGGGAUAUCACAAUUAAAGUGCUAUCUUUUCUUUUAAGAACAUUUAUAGGAAGAGCAAUCAAAAUUCUUGGUUUGAUGUGAGAAAGAAAUAUAUUUGUUGCUUCAUAAAAAUGAGGGGGAAAAAGAACCAAUUUGCGCCUAUUUUUUAGCUCAAAUAGAAAUUCUUUUUUGCUACAAGGAAUUGUAAUAGAUGGUGCCACUAAUAUUUCUAAUCAAGUUAGAAAAUUGAUAUAUCCACUAACCAAGAACAACAAUCCAAAGUUUCUUCUUAAAUAAUGCCAUCACUAGAUUGAUGAACAACAAUUGACUAGCUGAAGGAUUAAGUUAAAAACAAGUUUACAUAUAUCACAUUUAAUUUCUUUUAAAAUUAUGAGAAGACAUGUGAAUUAACUAUAUGUUGGAAAUAAACAGCAUAGCAAACUCUAUCGAAAAGUUUUUUUUGAGAAAUAGGUAGCAAGCUACCUGCUUCAUUCAUUAAGCGAAAUGAACUAAGCGUACAUGAUGGAGACAGAUAGGGCCUCCUGAAAGAGCCGAAAAAAUACAAGAAAGAAAACCCAAAAUAAAGAACUCUACACCUACCGAUUAGACAAAGUAAACAAGAAAAGCGGGGUGGAUAACGAAAAGGAAGAAGUGGGGACCGAGCAUGAAAGAAGGGACAAGCAAGGGUCAAAGGGCUCCGUUCUAGGCAUUGGUCAAAGAAGCGACACGUUCAAGAGCCCGGGUAGCAUUGGGAAGCACCUCGCGGAAGAUAGUGUUGUUGCGCUCAGUCCAGACGACCCACCAGAUUGCCGCCAAACGGGUUAAACUUUUCGAUCUCGUGGCUGCAUUGGGUAUGUUAGAUGUAUCUGUCCAUAGCCUCCGUACAUCCCCGGCAUCCGAUUCGCUUGCAUCUGAACCUUCGGCACAAAUACGGAUGUAUCUGACCAAGAUACAGUCCCGGAACAGGUGGUCGCAGGUUUCUAGAAAGAACACGCAAAAAAUGCAAAACUGAUCCACCAGGCACCCUCUGCGGAUCAUUCUGUCUGUGGUUAGCAGUCUCUUGCGCAGCAGAAUCCAAAUAAAGACUUUGAUUUUGACCGAAAUUUUUAACUCUAUCAAAAAGUUAAUCGAACAAAAGUUCGAUAAGUGGAAAAGGAGAGGGACAAUAUAUAUUGUUGACCGACGCAGCAAACAAAUCAGAUAUUGUAAAAUGGAAGAGGGAACAUAUCUUUUAGCAAAUUACAGCUAGUUUUCAAUCAUCUGAGCCAUGUUUAAGGGCCACAAUAUUCAAGACCAAUAGCAUGUAUGUAUGAACUCCUUUAUCACAAUGAGAUCUUUCAUAGGACACUAAAGAAGAAAAGCAACAAGACAUUUGGUCUUAUUUUGUUAUCUUGUGAUAUGAUGAUGUGAAGUUAUAAGGGGAGUAGUGGGGAGUAAUGCAAUCACACUCACAAGAGCAUUAGGGGUGUGUACAUAUGUGUGUAUGUGUGUGUUAUUGGGUUUUGGGAGCACAAGUGACUGACGAUCCUUAUGUGGGUUCCUUUGUUGGUUCUUAAAUUUAAGCCACAUGAAUUCUUUUUUGGUAAAAACAUACAGAACUGAACCUGAGCUAUGGAUCAUUUUGAGUUUGCUAACCAAUCUUUGGAUAUUUAUAUUCAAAUUUUCAACUUGUUUGAUUUGAGUCGAUCAAUGACAAUUAAACUUAAAAAUUUGAAUGUCCCUGUUAUAUUUACAUGUUUAAUUAGUACACGUUAUACAAUUCUUAAAGCCAUAAGUUUAUUGAAGUAAUUAAUUUAAAAUUUAAAGUCAUAAUAUUAUUGGCUGACUCACAAAAAGGUUGAAUAGUAAAAUAAAAAAUUUUAAAAAUUGGGUAGCCGGUUCAAAAUUACUCAUAGUUCAAGUAAAUUCUAUAUGUUUUUACCUUCUUUUUUUUUUGUCGUAAUGUUGUUAUUCUUAUAGAUUCUAAUCGAAGGUGUUAAGAUAUAUAAUCAUGCCAUUCAUAUAUAGAAUCAUUUUAUGUUUCUACUUUUACGUGUUUAAUGUAAAGGUAUAUUAAACCUUGCUUAAUGAAAUCAAUUCUUCAAUCUUCAAUUAAAGAAUUUUUGCUCUUUUGAACAAAAAUUCCAAAGAGGAGUUAAUUACACCUUUUUCUCCCAUCUACUCUCCUUUAUUAAUGCACAAAAAAAGUACACUUAUGUUUUACUAAUUUAUACACACAUACCAAAUUGCAAUUAAAUAAUAAGUAGAGAAUAAUUAAUGGAUGAUAUAACCAUGUAUCUGAGAUUUCUGAAUCAGACUACUACUAAUGCCUCGCCAUAAACUUGUAAUUUUAAGUAACAUGCAAGAUGACCUGACAUCAGUAGUAUGAGAUACCCACCUCCCUCUCGGUAAUAUUUUCGAAGUAAUCUUGCACCAUUUGUAAUGCUACAUUACCGAUUAGAUUAGAUGAACCAAAACACAGUGAUCCUGGUAGGAUUACUUGUAAUCCCUGUAAUCCUAUCAGGAUAACAUCUGGUAGGAUUAUCUGUAAUCCCUGUAAUCCUAUCAGGAUAACAUGAACCAAACACGCCCAAGUUCCGGCCCUUUAUAGUCUCAUAAUUCAAUUAAAAGAUAAUUAACACAAACCAAACUAAACUUGGAUUGCAUGUUCCCAUAUACAGUUAGAACCUAACUCUCACUUUGCUAUCUUUAGAUAGUAGUAUUUUUAAGCAAAAUGAAAUACUUAAUGUACAUUCUCUUGCUCCCACUACAUUAAUAGAAGACCCCACAGAGCCUAGUAAAAGAAAUAAAAAAAAAAAAGCCUACUUAAAGAGUCCCUCCUAUAUAUGCCCAUGCAAAAUAUAUGUCAUGUCAAUACCAAGCAGUAACAUCCUCUUUUUUCAUUUGAAUUCACUCUUUUCUUUUGUAACUAUAAGAACUUGUUAAACAGUGAGUAGUACUCCUCCAUAGUGGAGAGGAAUAUCCAACAAAUAUUCCUCCCCCACCCUGAACUUAGAAUACAUGAACUGCUCUUUCUUAGUUUCAUCAAAAUGCCUCAUGCAAAUCUUAGUCACCAUUUUCCAUUUAUGUUGUAAUCAUUCUAUAAAAUAUAUUUGAUAGAGAAAUAAUAUAUAAAAUAAAAUGAAAGAAGAAAAAGAACAAAAUAAAUGAUAGAGUUGCAUAGCUUCUUUUAAUAAUGAGAAACAAAUUUGUGUCCAACAAUACUAUAUUUACUAAUAGCACAACAAAAAAAUUAACAUUUAAAAAACUUUUUUUAUAUUUAAUGAUGUUUAAAAGCGUCUCAAUAUAGCCAAGCGAUACAUUUGAAAGCGUCGGUUAAAGCGUCAGCAAAUAAAGAGUUGCUACGUAUAUACCGACGUUUACACCAAGUGUUGGUAAAAUAUAUUUUGACACUUUAAAGUAUCAAGAUUUUUAAGAAUUUUUUAAAAUACUGACGCUUAAAAACGUUAGAAAAUUAAAAAUAAUAACAAAGUUUAUUAUUUAAUAAAUUAGUUUGAUAUAAUAAAGAGUUCAUAUGAUGACACUUUUUGAAGCGUCGGUAUUUGCUAUAUUAUAGAAACGUUUGGGGAUGCUUCUCUCGAGCAUCAUCUAAAAAGCAUUCUUAUAUUGAGAUUUGUUAUAUUUAGUGUUGCAUUUAGGGGUGGCAAUUCCAGCUCGCCGUUCGCGAGCCCGCUCGUGUUCGGCUCGCAAAUAAGCUCGAAAAUUGAAUCGUUGUUUAGUAAACGAGCCGAAAUGAGCUGAAUUUUCGCUCGUUUAAUAAAUGAGCCGAACAUGAGCUGAGUCAAUCGCUCAUGUUCGGUCGAUAACAGCUCGAAUACAUAAAUUUUAUAUUUAUAUAAUUAUUUAUUUUAUAUUUAUAUAUAAAUAAAUAAUUAUAUAUAAUAUAUAUUUUUAUUAUUUAAUUCAAAAUAAAAAUAUAAAGACGAGCUCAAUUAUAAAAGAUCAUUUAUAUGUAAAGUUUCAACUAUAUUAGAUCAAAGUCUAAUAGAUAAAAUUAUAAAUUUAUUUUUAUAUAUAUUCAAUCUAAUCCUUUUAAUUUAUUGUUCGUUGGCCAGCUCGUGAGCCAGCUCGUGUUCGGCUCGUUUAUAAACGAGCCGAACACAGCGGCCCCGCCUCGUUUGUGUUUCGGCUCGUUUACGAAACGAGCCGAACACGACGGCCCCGCCUCGUUGUGUUCGCCGUUUACACCUAGUGCAUUCAUAUAUCAUAAGAUUGAAAUUGAUCAAGUGGCAAAGCUUGGUGCUUGGCGUACCCGAGACCCAAGUCGAAUCCUAGUUGAUUCACAUUUAGCUAAGUUUAUUUUAAAUAAAAUAAACAAUCGUGGUAGCUCGCUACUAUCUCUCAAAAAAAAAAAAAAAAGAAAAAGAAAAAGAAAAAAUAAAUUGAUCAAGAAGAAAACUUUCAUCUGUUGAUAACACCGCCAAAUAGUAAUCAACUUCAUUCAAGCAAAUCAAACAUCGAAUAAGAAGUUGCAAUUAAUUUGUACAUUUCUUCUUAAUUAUCUAUAUAUAUAUAUAUAUAUAUAUAUAUAUAUAUAUAGGUGGAAUGUCACAAUUUUAUUAAUUAUACAAAACUACCAAUAGGAGUAAAGGAGAUCAUAAUCGAUUAAGAUAUUUUUUUGAGCUUUUACGGGAACAAAUUAAUCGAAGCCGUUCUGUUUAUUGAUUGAAUGAUUUGAUGGUAGUUCUUUUGAGCUUUAAUUACAAGAUAAUCUUUUAAAGAGAAAAAGGAGAACAACUCUUUUACGAGUGGGAAAGGCGCUUCAUUGAAUCAAACAUACAUAAUGGAGUGAGGCUACCCCUUUAAACAAAAAAGGGAGGGGCUCCUACAUAAUUCAAAUUUAAUUAUUAAUUAAUGUAAUUAAUCAUGCACAUUUGACCAGUCUAGCUACUACACCCUCUACAUUGUUUGAAAGGAAUCAUCUCUUACUCCCUCUUUCUUAUUAUUGUUAUGAUAAUAAUCGCAUAAUUAAUCGAUAAUUUUUAUUACUGAUCCUCACAAUCUCACAAAAGCGAGGAGUCGACUUAGGAUCAACUGUGGUACCAUAUUACUCAGAAGAUGAUCCGAAUUUCUUAAUAACGACUUAGAAACAGUCAACAUUUUUAAUUUCUAUUCCAAGCACAAAGUUAAGGCACUAGCACUACAAAUAAGAACCUAAAACCCAUAUAAAAGAAAAUAAAAAAAAAAAAACUACAAAGGUGGCAAAAGUGUGCCUUUUCCCUUUGAGCACCUAUUGAAGUGACACCCCAGCACCAAACAAAACACUGGACCCACACCCUUCAACAAAAAAUUUAAUUCCUAUAGACUAAACUUCAAAUACCACUUGUGUGAUUUUCGCACUUUCUUAGUUUAGUACCAUAUAGUUUAAAAUGUGUUAAAUUAGUGUCCUGUAAUUUCAUUUUUAUCUUUUCGUCAACUUUUUUGUUAAUAUUUUAUUAAAUUAUAUAUAAAAAAUUUCAGAUAUUCUAUUUAGGUUUAUUAAAUAUUCACUUUAGUACCCUUUAGUUUCAACUUUGUUACUGAUUUAACGAAAAAAAUAAUGAAAUCAAUAAUAAAAGGAUAAAAAUAAAAUCACAUGACACUAAAUUGCUAUACUUUAAAUCACAUGAUAUUAUAGUGAGAAAGUAUGAAACUACAGAAAUGAUAUAUGAAGUUUUUCCUUUUUUUUUUUUUUGUCAAAUCUUACCUAUUCAAUAUAACGAUUAAACCGCAAAGGCUGGUUAAUAUAAUAAAAAGAAUUUAAAUAGACAAGGUAAUAUAAAUAAUUUUUUAUAAAAAUAUAAUACGAAAAAAAAAGAAUUCUUUUAUAUUAACCGAUUAAUAACUUUUACACCAUAUUCAUAAUAUAUCAUUUNNNNNNUGUUUUUUUUUUUUUUUCCUUCAACACACCCCACCAUUUUGUGUGGCUCCCACCCACUUCCCUAGACCUCCACCAGUCUCUUGUACACCACCACCUCCUAUACUCUCUCUCUCUCUCUCUCUCUCUCUCUCUCUCUCUCUCCUCUUCUUCCUCUUCUUCUUGUUCUUCUUCCUCCUCCUCCUCCUCCUCCUCUUCUUCUUGGAGAAUAAUCCAUCCACAAUGAGCAAGUGGAGGAAGGUGCUCAGUAUAUCAGCACAAGGCCUUAUACUCAGUAUAUCUCAGAAUGUGCUGUCCCCCAACACCCUCAAAUGAUGCUCUCCUCUUAUCCUUCUCCAUCUCUCACCACCAAGUAUUCUCUAUAUAUAUACUCCUUCAUGGGUCUCCUCUAAAACACCCACCAAAACCUUUCUCUUCUGUUAACACUCAUUAAAGAGAAGAAGAAGAAGAAUAAGAACUAAAAGAGAGAGAGAGAGAGAGAUGGUGAAGUUCUCAAAGCAGUUUGAGGGGCAACUCAUUCCUGAGUGGAAGGAGGCCUUUGUUGAUUAUUGGCAACUUAAGAAGGACAUAAAGAAGAUCCAACCCCUUGAAGCACCACCCAACACUAUAGGGACCAUUAACAAGCCAAUCACAAAGCCUUCUAUAGCUCAGAGGCUAAUCUCACCACUGCAUAAGCUCCCACUCUUUAGCUCCCAUGGCCACAAGGAUCAUGGAGUCAUACAGGUUCCUAGCUAGUUAAUUAAUUACACCACCUCAAAAGUUAUAUAUUUUCCUUCUUUUUCUUUUUUCUUUUUUCCCCUCUCAUUACCUGUGUUGGUUCUUACACUCACUAAAUGAUAUAUAUAUAUAUGUGUGUGUGUGUGUGUGUGUGUGUGUGUGUGUGUUUAUGGAGGUGUUAGUGCUCUUACAUCACAUAGAUAUUGAACCAUGCCAUGCAUGUAUGUAGCCAUGUAGGGAGUGGGGGGGUCCAUCCAAUAUAUAUAUAUAUAUAUAUAUAUAUAUAUAUAUGUCCAUCCAAUAUAUAUAUAUAUAUAUAUAUAUAUAUAUAUACAGUAUUUUGGGGAUGCUUCGCUUGGUUCCUGUGUAGGAACAUGGAAAUAAAUUAUAUUCCCUUUAAAAAUUGGAAACAAACAAAUUAUAUAUGUAUGUAUACAUGUAUGCAUGCAUGUAUAUUAUAUAUAUGUGUGUACGUAUAUAUGUAUGUACGUACUGAUCAUCGUGUGCACAAAUAGUUUGGAGAUCAGCAAUAUUUUUUCUUCUUUUUUGUGCUUUUUCUCUGCUUUAACUAAUGUGUUGCAUUCCUUUUCCUCUCUUUUAUUUUUUUUGUUUUUUGUUUUUUAGGUUCACAAAAAGCUCGCGAGCUCUGCGAGCAGCGGGGACAUGUACGAGACCGAACUCCUAGAGCAGUUCGCCGACACCGACGCAGCGAAAGAGUUCUUCGCGAGGCUCGACCUCCAGCUGAACAAGGUGAACCAGUUCUACAAGGGGAAGGAGAAGGAGUUCCUGGAGCGAGGGGCCUCUUUGAUGAAGCAGAUGGAGAUUCUCCUCGAUCUUAAGGCGGCGCUGAAGCAGCAAAAGGAGAAGUGUUCAUCAAAGGAUGAUCCCUCCAUCUCUUGUUCCCUUGCAUCUGGUAUGUGUAAUUUGCUUCUAACUUGUACAUAACUUAGUAUUCAUUAACCACUAUACAAUACAUGUUAUAUAUAUAUAUAUAGCAUGUAUUGUAUAUGCAUAUGUAGGGUUAGGUUCUUGUACUUACGGAAGUAUAGUGGUUUCCGUGCUUGUAUGUUAUUAUCUAUAAUGGGGCAUUUAAUUCGACAAUCCAUUCUGUUAGACAUAAUUUAUAGUGUUGGAAUUAUUUAGAAAUCAAAUUUUAUAAUUUUUUGACUUUGUUUGCCUAUUGAACCAGUAGUCUCAAAAUAAAUGACUUAAAUAAAAAUUUCAUAAAAAACAGUGAUAAAAAACUCAAAUUUUAAAUCGGAAGUAUUGAUCUUGCUCUUGAUGUUAAUUAAGUAGAAUUUUUUUAUUGAAGUUUUAUAUAGUUUGAAUUAUUCUAUACCGUUGAAUUUAUAGAUGUACUAUAUCGGCCGUUAAAAUAGUAAUUUUUUAGACUAUUUGAUCACCUGAUAAAUGAUCUUGAAAAAUUAUAAAAUUUGAUUUCUAAAUAAUUCUAAUAGUGUAGAUCAAUCAAUUGAUUUGUCAUCAAAAAUGACUUAUAAAUGGAAGGCCUCCGUAUUUUCAAAAGCGCAGGAGAUCUACAUACUCUAUGCAUAUGUAUACGUACGUAUAUUUUGACGGUUGAUACGUUGUACAGUAAAACUUUUGUUGUUACUUUUGGUAUAAAUAUUUUAUGUCCUUAAUCUAAUGCUGUUUUUUUUUUUUUUUUUUUUUUUUUUUUUUUUUUUUUUUUUUUUUUUUUUUAAAUGAGAACAGAAGAGGGAUCCGCGAGGGGCCCAACAAUAGAAGAAGAGCAAGUCCAAGAGAGCCCAACACUAGCAUUUGAAAGGAAUAAUAGUAGUGGCCAAACAGAGAACAUACUAUCAAGCUCUCAUCAAAGGCUAGAUGACUCAGGGAGGCUUGUGAUGAAGCCAAAGAGGGAGGAAGGGAAGCUCAGAAAAAGCCUCUCAGGGAGGGUAAUAAGUUGCCAAGGGAAGAACCUGAGGAUAAACAUACCCCUCACCACACCUUCUAGAACCUUCUCAGCUCUCACUUACUUGGUGUGGGAGGACCUUGUGAGCCAAUCAAAGAAAUGUGGCAAUGAGGGGGAUCAGAAGCUCAAGAUCAACAAAAGCAACCUCCACCAUGCUGAGAAGAUGAUUAGAGGGGCCUUCAUUGAGUUGUACAAAGGAUUAGGAUACCUAAGUACAUAUAGGUGAGAACUAUAUAUUAAAGGACUCGAUUUCGACAUUAUUUUAUAUCGAUCGAUACCGCGCGAGUACUGAUCACUACAAGAAAAUUUACAUUUAAAAGUAUUCCAAUAAUAGUCUAGCGUCGGCAAAUGAAGAAUCGUCACGUAUUGAUACUUAUGCCAAGCGUCGAUAACAUAUAUUCUGAUACUUUAAAGCAUCAAAAAAUUGAAAAUAAUAGCAAAGUUUAUCAAUUUAUAAGCUGGUUUGAUACAAUAGAGUGUUCAUAUGACGACAUUUUUUGAAGUGUUGGUAUUUACUAUAUUAUAGGGACGCUUCCUCAAAGCGUUGUCUUGCGCUUAGUGACUGUUCGGUCCGAAUCAAACCGACUAAUUUCGAUCGGUUGAUUUGGUUCGAUUCAAUCUUGUAAAUCGAGAAUAAUUUUAUAUAGUUUGGGCUAAAUUUUUUGCAGGAACCUGAACAUGUUGGCUUUUGUGAAGAUUAUGAAGAAGUUUGACAAGGUCAUCAAUUUUUAUCCCCAUUAAUUACUUGCUAAUAUUAUUUAAUUUGAAAUAACUGUUCACAAAGUAUUUACUUAGUUUUUACUAUAUAUUACAUAUCUCAGGUGACAGGAAAACAAGCUCUACCAAUAUAUAUUAAAGUAGUGGAGAGCUCCUAUUUCAAUAGCUCAGACAAGGCAAGUUGAUCUCUACAUUAUAUAUAAAGCCCCUCGUACUCAUAAGUCGUUUCCGAUAAUAAAACUUUUGAAUUGAUGAUUGAUACCGUUAAAUAUGAUUUAGAACAUUUGAAACUUUUAGAAAAAAAAAUUUUAGUAAUUUUUCAAAAUUAAUUAUAAUAACAAUAUUCAUCAAGUGGACAUAAAAUGAACAGUCAAAUCGAAUUCUCCAAUUUAAGAUUGGAGUUAUUGAUCUUUAUCGAGAUAAUGAAUAUAAUUUUCUAUCAAGUAUCCUAUGCCGCCCGUUAAAGAUUGUUACUUUUGAGACCUUUUGAUCGUAAGGUAAAUAAUGUCGAAAAAUUAUAAAAUUUGACCAAUAGAACUUUUAAAUACUCUAAAUCAUAUUUAACAGUAUGGAUCGAUCAUCGAUUCAGAAGUUCUAUUAUCGAAAACGACUUAUAAGUACGAAAACGAUCGUACUCAUAAAAGUACAGUAGCCAGACUCAUAUAUAUGUAACAUAUGUAACAUCAAUGAAUAACAUAUUAUUGCAUAGUAAUUGUGACGCUCCACUUUUCAGAAGGUCAUCCAUCCUAGGAUUAGUCCUGUCCUCUAGACACCAUCCAAAAUAUUUAAACCGGGUUCAGAGUUCUAAUUCUAUUAUAUGUUAUAUAUAGGGCUAUAUGGGGUCUCACAGUAAUACUAUCAUCUAUAUCCAUGUUUAGCAAAUUUAUAUUUGUCACUAAUCAAUAUUAAAAAAAAAAAAAAAUGAACAGGCCAUUAAACUAAUGGACGAGGUGGAAGAGUUGUUCGUCAAACACUUCGCCGAAGAUGACAAGAGGAAGGCCAUGAAGUAUCUUAACCCCCAUCAGCACAAAGAAUCGCACGGGGUCACGUUCUUCAUCGGUAAUCAUUUUUUUAAAAUUAUAUAUAUAUAUAUAUAUAGAGAGAGAGAGAGAGUUGGACUGGGCUACUAUUAGUAGCAAAAUACCAUUGUUGCUAUCAGUUUUUUAGCCUUUGGAUCAACUCUUUUCAUUAUUUCUAACAAUUGGAUUAAAUACUAUAACCCAGUGGGAACCACUAAACCCUAGGGGGACCACUCAACUCUAACUGACUAAUAUCAUCCUGACCCUACAAUUUUUCAUCCAAGGGUUAAAAACUUGAUAGCAAAAAGAGUGUUUUACUAUUAAUAGUAUUCCAGCCUAAUUCUAUAUAUAUAUAUAUAUAUAUAUAUAUUAGAAUUGAUUAAAUAAUAAAAAAAUUUUAUAAAUAUUUAUUUUUCUUUUUUCUUUAGCUUUUAAAAACUAUAUUUAUCUUAUCAACUUUUCAACUUGUUGUAUUUAGCGCCUCCGCCGGGGUUCUAUAAUAUUCCGUCUAUUUUUUAUAUUCACACCAAAAAUAUUCUUCAAAAUAACAGAAAUAUAUAUUAAAAAAUAUUUUUUUAUAAAAAAAGUAAGGGUAAUUUGAUCAUUUUGUUCUUUCUAUUAAUAUCGUACCUUUUUGAAAAUAUUUCUAAAUUUUAAGAAGAUAGAAUAUAAAUUUUUAAAAAUUAAAAAAAUUAAAAAAAUAUAUUAUAAAAAAAUUUUUCUAGGAAAAACUUCAAAAAACCCCCCUGUGGUUUCGUAGUUUCUCACUUUGUCCCCCUGUGGUUUAAAAUAUAUCAAUUUAUCCCCAUGUGGUUUCGUUUUUAUCUUUUCGGUAGCUUUUUCGUUAAUAUUUCAUUAAAUUAUAUACAAAAAAACUUCAGAUACCCAUCUAGAUUUAUCAAAUAUUCACUUUAGUAUCCUUUAAUUUUAACUUUAUCAGUAAUUUAAGAAAAAAAUAAUGAAUUGAAAGAAAAAGAGAACAAAGAAACCACAGGGGCAAAUGUAUAUUUUAAACCAAGGGGGACAAAAUGAGAAACUACGAAACUACGGGGGGUUUGAAGUUUUUCCUUUUUUCUCUAAUUUAGCCUUUAGAAUUGCGUAAAUUCUACUUCACACACAAUACAGGGAUGUCAAUGGGUAUGGAUCCCGAAAUUUUAUCCGAACCGAACCCGAAUGACAAUGGGGGACUAUAUCCGAUGGAUAUGGAUAUGGAUUUGGAUAUGGAUAUAAAAAAUAAAAACCCAACAGAUAUGAAUUCGGAUAUGGAUUUUGAUUGUACCCGAUCCGAACCCGAACCCGACCCGAACCCGAAUUUAUUUUGUAUUAUAUAUAAUAUAUAUAUAAAAAUUUGAUGUUAUAUUUGAAUUUGUAUUUUAAAAAUUUAAAUUUAAUAUAAUAUAUUUUGAAAUAUUGAAAAAAGAAAUAAUUGUUUCAGGUUCAAAUUUUCAGGUUCGGGUUCGGGUUCGGGUUUCGGAUUUUUAGUCGGGUUCGGGUUUGGAUAUGGAUUUUUAAAAUCCGUCGGGUUCGGGUUCGGGUUCGGAUUUUUAAAAAUCUGCCCCGAAUCCGACCCGUUGAUAUCUCUAAACACAAUGGCAUAAACUAAACAAUACAUCAAUCUAUUACAUUAUCUUUUUUUUUCUUUUUUUUUUCUUUUUUUGCUCACUUUUAGGACUAUUUACGGGAUGCUUCGUCGCGCUCUUGGUGGGUUACUGCAUUAUGGCGCGCAUAGCGGGGAUGUACACUCGCCAAUCCGACUCAAUCUACAUGGAAACUGUGUAUCCUGUUAUUAGGUAUUAUUACUAUAACUAGUAUACAUAAAAUUAAUUGGAUCAAAUUUUAGUCAUAUUAAUAAUUACGAUUAAUAAUUUAUUCUGAUUCCUGUAAAGAUAUUAAAUAGCAAAUAUAUUCGGACAAAACUUAAUUUAUCAAAUCUAUUAUUUCGAAAAUUCUCUGGUUAAUUAUCAAAUAUGUGCCUCCGAAAGUUCCGGUUCGUUUGAUUUCACAGCUAGUUUUUUUUAAUCGUGGAUGCGUAAAAUAACUAUUUGGCCAUUAUAAAUUUGUCCCUGCAAAAAGAUAUUUUUCUUUUUCUCUCUCCUCGCCUUCUGCCAUAGUACCUGUAGGCGCCACGGAUAAAGAGGAGAAGAUGAAAAAGAUCAUAUCUAAUUUUGGUAACACUUUUGGAGGGAUAAAUCUGAUAACUUAAGUUCUGUAGGAUUAUAUUUGCUAUUUAAUACUUUUGUAGAUGACUCUCCUAUGUAACUUGAACUGCUGUAUAUUUGAUUGAUGCAGCAUGUUCAGCCUCUUGUUUCUGCACUUGUUCCUCUACGGAUGCAACAUAUUCAUGUGGCGCAAGGCGCGGAUAAACUACAGCUUCAUAUUCGAAUUCGCGCCGACGAAGGAGCUCAAAUACAGAGAUGUGUUCCUGAUAUGCACCGCGUCGAUGACGAUAGUUGUGGGCGUGAUGUUCGCGCACUUGACGCUUACGGUGAAGGGGCACUCUUCGUCGUCGACUCGAGCGCAGGCGAUCCCCGGCAUUUUGCUCCUGGUAUGAGAUCCAGCAUUUGUGCACUUCAAAAUUUUGUAGAUACUCCAUCUACAAAAGUUAUUUUUUAGAAAAAAAUGCCUUAAAAUUUCGUAUCGUAAACACUCCUCAAAAUGUGCUUCUGAUUUUCAUUACCAGAUGAAUUUUGAAAGAAUAUGUAUUUCAAAGUUUUGAAGAGUUCAAGUGAAAUUAAGAUAAGUUAUAUAUAUAAAUAUAUAUAGAUAUAGGGAUAAUAUCUAAUACACUUCUUAACACUUCUGAAAUAUCUUAUAUACACCUUACUUUUAUGUUUCAAAUAUACCUCUCGUAUAUUUUUUCGUUAUUUAAAAAUAACCCUGCUAUUAAUACCCAUUAAGUGAUCUGAGAUUAAAUCCAGGUUAAAUUUCUACUAAAGUUAAAAAAAAAAAGUCAAAAUACCUCUUUUGUUCCUAAUUUAAGAAUAAAUAAAAAAAGUUAGUGACAGUAGAAAGGUAAAUUUGAAAAAGACAAAAAGUGAAAAUUCUUUUGCCCCUAAUUUAAGAACAAAUAAGAAAAGUUGAUGACGGUAGAAAAAUAUAUUUAAAAUGAUAAAAUAGUAACUUCACAGAGAUAACGGUUGUUCCUAGUGAUUUACUAAUAAAAUUUAACUCAAGAGUAUAUUUGAAAUCACUUAGAAUAUUAAAAAGGUAUUUUUAGUAUUAGCUUUCUAAUAGGGGUAAAAUAGAAAGUCGAAAACUUUUCAGGGGUACAAAAGCAAUUGCUCCUCACGCAAAUGUCGUAAAUACUCUUCAAAAUGUGCUCUUGUGAUUUUCAUAAUGUCAAGAUGAAUUUUGAAAGAUUAUGUAUUUCAAAGGUUUGAAGAGUUGAGGUGACAUUAACACAAAUUAAGUAUCUUUAAUAAUAGAAUAAGUUCUUUACAUAUUUAUUUUGGAAUAUGUAAAUGGAAUCUAGAAUAUGUUCCAAUGAACAAAGUGGAGAUAUUAUAUAUUCUUCUAUCAAAUGAAACAAAUUGUUUUGGAAUAAAGAAGCAAUAAAAAGAGAGAUGCUAUUCUUAUGGAUUGAAUUGCUGCAGAUGUUCCUGAUGUUGCUGGUAUGCCCUUUCAAUAUCGUCUAUCGGUCGAGCCGCUAUUGCUUCCUCAGAAUCUUAAGAAACAUCAUCUUGUCUCCUCUGUACAAGGUAUAUACUGUGAAAUAAUACGAAACAAUCGUUAUUCUCUAAAAGCUUCAACUGAUAGAGAACGAUAUGCCGAUUUAUAUAUUAAAGAUUAUUGAAUAAAUUUGAGAAUAUAUAUAUAUUUUUUUAUCAUUACUAAGUUGCAAAAUUGUUUGUGAAUUUCUUUGUAAUUGCAGGUUGUUAUGGUUGAUUUCUUCAUGGCUGAUCAACUAUGUAGUCAGGUACUCAUCAUAUUACUAUUUUGGGCAAUUAAUUUCUCAUAUAUUAUUAAAAAGUAUAAAACAUUAUUUUUAAAGUAUGAAGGUCUCCGUAUUUUCGAAAGCGUAGAAGCCUAGCUCUAUAUUAUAAGAUCAGAUACAAACAAAUUGGAUCAAAAAUUACUAAACUCCUUUUUUUUUCUUUUUUUUUUUCUUUUUUUUUCUUUUUUUUUUUUUUUUUUUUUUUUUUUCUUUUUUUUUUUUUUUUUUUUUUUUUUGCGGAAAUAGGUUCCGAUGCUUCGGAGUCUCGAAUAUUUGGCUUGCUACUACAUAACUGGGAGUUACAAGACACAAGAUUAUGGAUACUGCAUGAGAGCUAAACAUUUCAGGGACUUAGCUUAUGCUGUGUCCUUCUUACCUUACUACUGGAGAGCCAUGCAGGUUAAUUGAUCCUGCACACACAUUCCCUUUCAUUCUAGCAAAUUUACUAAAAUACCCCCUGCGGUAUCACAUAUUUAUGUUUAUACCCCUGCAAAAACCCUAAAUAUGGGGGAAUUACUCAAGUUGGAGUUCUGUAUAUAUGGUACUUUACGUUAAAUAUAAAAAUAUUUAAACACCGUUUUUUUAGUAGUUUAAAUUGUUAGAGAAUAACGGUUGUUUCGUAUUAUUUAAUAUGGUAUCAGAAAAGGAGGUCCUGAGUUCGAGUCGCGCCAGACUCCUAACACUAUUAUUUUAAGUCUCGAGCCCAGACGUGAGGGAGAACGUCAAAUGUGAAAUUAUUUAAAUAUUAUUCUCUACCGGCUUAAACUUGUAGAUUACAGCGGCUGUUUCGUAUUAUUUCGCACUUUAUAGUUUGUGCAUUUUGCGAAUGUAUAUGUAUGUGAAUGCCUCAUUCUCUUUUCCGCGCGGGAGAACUCAAUUUGAAACGAUGAAUCAUUUUCGAUGCGAUGUAGUGCGCGAGGAGGUGGUUCGACGAGGGAGAGACGAGCCACCUCGUGAACUUAGGGAAGUACGUGUCCGCCAUGCUCGCGGCGGGCGCGAAAGUGGCCUACGAGAAGGAGAAGAGCAUCGGAUGGCUCUCGCUCGUCGUCGGGGUCUCGAGCGCCGCGACGAUCUACCAAUUGUAUUGGGACUUUGUUAAGGAUUGGGGCCUGCUCCAACUCGACUCGAAGAACCCCUGGCUCAGGAACGAUCUCAUCCUCCGAAGAAAAUUCGUGUACUACUUGUCGAUGGUACGUGCGGCGCAUUCUUUUCAUCUUUAAAUUUCGCCCAUGACAUGUCGCGAACUACCGAUUUCGUCUUCUAAAAGCUACAUUUCGAAUUUCGCAGGGUUUAAAUCUUUUGCUGAGGCUUGCUUGGCUACAAACAGUUGUACACCCAAAUUUUGGGAGUUUGGAUUCUAGGGUUACUUCACUUUUCCUAGCAGCUCUUGAGGUGAUUCGGCGCGGACAGUGGAAUUUCUAUAGGUAUAUAUAUUCGAAAUUUCGACUUAAAACUAAGGCUAAAUAACAGAAAAAUCUUUCUGUAAAUAUCAAUUUUUUUACUUUCCCUCCCUGACUUUCAAAAACCUAUAGUUUGCCCCCUUAAAAUUUCAAAUUAUUGCAUUUAACCCUCCUCCCUCAAGGUUCCAUCACUAUUCCGUUAAUUUUUUAUAAUUUACACUGAAAAUAUCCUUUAAAAUGACAGAAAUAUAUUAAAAAAUUAUUUUUUUUCUUAUAAAAAAAGUAAGGGCAAUUUGGUCAUUUUGCCCUCUCCAUUAAUACCGUAACCCCUGAAAACAUAUCUGAAAUUUUAAAGGAGCAAAAUAUAGAUUUUUAAAAGUCAAAGAGGAAUACAGGAAGCUUUUCUGUAAUUUAGCCUAAAACUGAUAAUAGAGAUCAAAAUUGCGCGGAAACGUAUGUCAAAUUCUCUAAAUCAAUGUAACAUGUCUCUUUUUUCCAUUUUACUUUUAUUUUUCUAUCAAGUACUAUUUUUUUCUUCUUUUUUUUUUUUUCUUUAGGUUGGAGAAUGAGCAUCUGAAUAAUGCUGGAAAAUUUAGGGCAGUGAAAACUGUUCCAUUGCCUUUUCAUGAAGUGGAACAGGAUUGAGAGAACACUUAAUAUAAGCUUGAUCAAUAAGCCAUGAUCNCUUUAGGUUGGAGAAUGAGCAUCUGAAUAAUGCUGGAAAAUUUAGGGCAGUGAAAACUGUUCCAUUGCCUUUUCAUGAAGUGGAACAGGAUUGAGCUCGAUCGAUGUUUCGUGAUCGGAGAUUCGUAGCGGAUCCGAGCGUCGAAAAGGAGAAAUUUAUGCCCUGUAGUUUGAUGUUAAGAAACUAGUGUAUCAAAUACUAUGUAUACAAAUGAUUUAUUCUUGGUGCUAUAAAUAAUGGAAAAAAGGCAUCACUUGUUCAUUUUUGUUGAUCCACUUUUUCAUGCAUAUAAACAGCAAUGACUUUCAAAAUUUUGAUUUUACUAUCCGACUUUAAUUUCAAUUUGCAGUGCUUUUGACUUUAAAAUUUAAGCUGAUUACCUAUUUUAAUAAAUUUACAAUUGUAAGAAUUAUAUGAAAUAUACUGACUAAAUAUCUAAAAAUAAACGAUUCACUCAUAUUUUAAAGUCAAAAUAUCGUUGACUGAUUCAAAUCAAAUAAAUUAAAUAGUUGGAUAGUAAAAUUAAAUUUUUUUUAGUACAUGAUGUUAGUGCUAACUAUAUCCCUUCUUUUAUCUAAGUCACGAGUUAAAUCUCCACUUUCGCCACCUUUUAUAGGUUAAAUCCGCAUAUUGAAGUUCGAUGGGUUAUCCACCCGUCAAUUUCGUGUUCCUUUCAUAUCCUUUUAUCUGCGUGAGGGAUAGUGUUAAGUAUAUAAUUUUUAACUCGAGUUAGAGUCCGUCAAACAUGUCUGAUAUCUUAAAUAGGAAUGCAAAUGGAUCUGGAUUGGUGUAGCUCCCGUCCCAAUCAGCCUCGAAUGGGACAGAUAUGAACCAAAGAUAUAGAAAAAGAUAAGAUGCCUGGAUCCACCAAGAAAAUGGAACAAGUGGCGUAGGAUCGCUUUCUUCUUUUGAUUCGCCAUGAUCCAUCAAAAACCAGUUCAUGUCCCAUCUACCCAAACUGAAGCAGUAAAAUGGAGUCAAAAAAGAAGAUAAAAAAUUACUUGUCUUGAAUCUGCUUAUCGAAUCCACUUCAUUUGCAUCCCUAGUCUCAAACACCCCUUAUAUAUCUACCGCCAAAUAUUGUCGCCUAAGCGAUAUGUAAAUAAUGACGAAAAGUUAUAAAAUUUGGUUCCGAGGGAGUGGACAUAUUGUCGGUCAUAUUCAACGGGCGUAGAUCAACGAUUCGGAUAUCUGAUUAUCGAAAACAAUAUAGAAGCACCAAUUUAGGCCUAAGCAUAAUAUCAUAAAUAUUUAUUUAUUAUUUUAAUUUUAUUGUAUAAAAAAUAUAUCAUAUUUAAUUAUAAAAUAUUGAUUUCUAGAUCAAAUUAAAUAUCUAGUUUUUAAGUUUAUAUUUUUAUAAAACUAAUUCAUGCUAAUAAAUAAUAAAAUCAGCUAGGUUGAUUUUAAGCCGUUGGAUUUUAGUAUGAUUUUAUUAAAUUUUUUUUUGAUUGAUCUUACUAAAAUCGAUUCGGAUAGUUGAACGGGGGAUUCAAACACUUUAAACUCAAUAUUUUAAGGCUAAAUUAUAGAACACUCUUCCGUAAAUACUCGAUUAUUUUACUUUUCCUUUCUAAUUUUUAAAAUCUAUAUUUUACUCCCUCAACCCUUUAAGAUAUUGCAUUUAGCCCCCUCCCGCAUAAGAUUCCAUUAGUAUUCCAUCCAUUUCUUAUAAUUUAUAUCAAAAAUAUCUUUCAAAAUAGCAAAAAUAUAUUAAAAAAUUAUUUUUUAAAUACAAAAGAAAUAAAGUUAAUUUGGUCAUUUUGCCCUCUUCAUUAACACCGUACCCUUCUGAAAAUAUUUUUAAAAUUUUAAGGGAGUAAAAUAUAAAUUUUUGAAAGUUAAAGAGGGAUAGUGAAAAAAAUGUGUUUUUUGUGGGAGGAUUUUUUAUAAUUUAGCCAUAUUUUAAUUUAUAUAUCCGGUUUAUGGAGUUGAACCGAACCGGUCACGGUCCGUAGAUUUAAUAAACCGUAUCCGGCACCCAAACGAUAAACCCUAAACCCCUCCUCUCCUCGUCUCCCGCAGUGUCGUCUUCGUCCUCAAACCCUAGCCUAGCGAGGCCGCUCACAUAGAGAGAUGGUCCGCUCCUACGCAGCGAAGGGGCGGAAGAAGCGGCGGAAGAGGAAGCUCGAAGAGGUGGUCGAAGACGAUGAGGAAGAAGUAGUAGAAGAAGAGGAAGAAGCGGGGCGAGAGGAGGAAGGCAAUGGAGGAGAGGUGGAGAAAGAGGUUGAGGAGGAAGAAGAGGGGAGGAGGAGGAGGAAGGCGCAUGAGGACGACGACGACGAGGUUCCGGGGCUCCCCGUGGUGGCGCGGCCCGUCGUCGAUGGCGGGAGGAAGCGGCCGGGGGUCAUCUUCGUCCUCGAGAAGGCCUCUCUCGAGGUCGGCAAAGUGGGAAAGGUGAGUUUUUUAUAUCGAUUAGGGUUUAAUUAGGGUUUUGUUGGAUAUAGGCUUUGGUUAUGUUAUGGGGGAUUUAGAGAAUUAGGGUUUUUCGAUAGUAGGGUUCGAGAAUUGGGACGUAGAGGAUCGAAAAUUUGAUUUAGUUCGAAAUGAGUUACAAUUUUGGGAAUGUGAUCUUGACUGGGGUUGCUCUUUCUUGCUAUAUACUGUGAUCGAUUAAGGUUACUCUUUCUUGCUUUCGAAAUUGAGGAGGCGUUUAAAGUUUUCCUUUUUCUGGUUGUUUUUUAUCAAGGGUUUGUGAUUAAGUUUCAAGUAUUAGGUUCUGCAGAAUCCGAACAGUAGAUUUUAGAUUGUUAUCAAGGGUUUGUGAUUAAGUUUCAAGUAUUUAGGUUCUGCAGAAUCCGAACAGUAGAUUUUAGAUUUUUAUCAAGGGUUUGUGAUUAAGUUUCAAGUAUUAGGUUCUGCAGAAUCCAAACAGUAGAUUUUUAGAUUUUGUUCAAAAUGAGUGCGGAGGUGUCGCCUAUUCGGUGGCCUUCUUCUUUGAGCAACAUGAUCCAAAAUUGUGCAAUCCACUAUAAACUGUGUAAUGAUCCAGCCUACUAGCACUAAUAACUUGUAGGGUCGCGAACCACCUGCCUAAAAUGCAUAAGCCUAGUUUUUAACUCUACUGUGUCCGUCACGUAUAAACUCUUCGCACUGUUUCACGUUAUUCGAUGUGGGGCUAUUGGGGUGUCUUAACGCCAGUACCUAGUUUUGCUAUGAAUCACGGAUUGUCGCGCCGAUAAGCCCAUGUAGACCAUGCCGACAUAUAUAUGGGGAGUGCACCAACCCAUUCCCGCGUGCCGUGCCGUGCCGUGCCGUGCCGUGCCAAUGGCACACCGGAGAGUCCUUGCUCUGAAUCCGCACUCUUUAUGCUAUAUCAUAUGUUUCUUAGACUCAUUCACGAUGAGUCUUUCUAGCAUAUAUUUUAUGCAUUUGUAUGCAUCCUUCUAACUGCUUCCGAGGGUUACUUAAAUAUUUUUUUCUAUAUAUAUUUUUUCAGAAUUUACAGAUGUUGAACUCAGAUGAUCAUGCUAACUUCCUAAGAAAGCAGAAUCGCAAUCCGGCUGAUUACCGGCCUGAUAUAAUUCACCAGGUAUUGUGAACUUCUUGAUGCUCUUAUGCCAUUAUGUGGUUAACUAGGUCCAAUAUUAUUGGUAUACUGAACUUAAAAACUCAAAUUAUAGGGUAAAUUUCACUUUUGGUCCUCAAACUUUAAUUUGUAGCAAUUUCUGGCUCAAACAUUUUUAAUUUGUGCAACUUAAGUCAUACAAUCCAAUUUUGUUGACCGCAUACUGAUGCUUUGCUGAUGUGGUAGUGAUAUGGCAACUUAACAGUUGCCACGUCAUCGAUUAUAAGAUCUCACAUCACUAACAUAUCAGCAACAUAUCAUUACUUAACUAAGAAAUUGUACUGAUUGCAAUCAUUUAGAAAGCUUUAGCUAGAUAUUAUAACAAAUUGAGGACCAAAGUGUCGCUCACCUUAGUUUGAGGAUCAAAAGUGUAAUUUGGACUAAAUUAUAUAAGGGAAGAACAUUGUUGACUUUCAAGAAUUCUAAAAUGCCUGUUGACAUUUGAGGCCAAAUAACAUAGUCACAAUAUUCUAAAAUGUAAAAGCCACAUUGCAUGUGCUACAAAAAGCAUGUCUUAGAUAUGUAUGAUUAGCUUGUCGCUGAUCCUCGAACUUCUGUAUUAUUUUCUUCUCAAUUUGCUUGAUUUUGACCUUUGACUUCAACUGAUAUCUGCAUCAGGCGCUUCUUGCAAUUUUUGAUAGCCCCCUAACAAAGGCUGGGAGAUUGCAAGCUGUUUAUGUUAAGACGGAGAGAGGAGUACUUUUUGAAAUUAAACCUCACGUUCGCAUGCCACGCACGUUUAAAAGGUUCUGCGGUCUCAUGUGUAAGUUACAGGAAACCACUGCCGUUUUUUCAGUACAGUGUUAUCUUUCCAGGUCUGUUUAAUUUCUGUAUAUUAUGAAUAUGUACCAUAUAUAUAUCCCGACAGAAUUAUUAUAUACUUACACGGCAAAUAUUAAUUAUCAUUUAUGUCCUUUAAUGAACUUUAUUUCUUACAUAUGCACCGAGUAAAAUGCUCUCCUUGAAUUGGAUACUGCAAAACGAGCUUUUCCCUUUAAUUGGAUUAAGCUUCAACUUAAGAGAGGCGUCAUUUUAAAGAAACUGCAUAUUUGAAAAUUGAGAAUUUUGCUGGGUUAUAUGUGAAUAGGGAUAUAUUUCUAAAAGCUUCUAUAUCUUUCAUAACGCUUAUGAUAAUACUUUCCAUUCCAGCACAAUUACUGCAGAAGUUGAGUAUUACCGCUGCUGGCAAGCGUGAGAAACUCCUUAAUGUCAUAAAGAACCCUGUGACCCGCUAUUUACCUGUCGACUCACGGAAAAUAGGUGAGAAGUUUUAAUCAUUUUUUUUUCCCUAUAUUUAUAAUACAAUCAUCAAGCCAUUAAAGCGCAUUCUAAUGCUUGCGGACGAUUUGUAGGUCUCUCGUACAGCGCAGAAAAAUCAGUUAAUUUAUUCGAUUAUGUUGCUGGAGCCAGCGACGACGUCAGCCUUGUCUUCAUUGUAUGUGCAAAUUUUGACACAAUGUAUUUAUUUAUUUAGAAAUGUAUCAUUCUGCAUGAUCACCUUUUCUGAGCUUUGUCACAGGUUGGGGCUAUGGCUCAUGGGAUGAUCGACAAGGAAAAUACAGAUGAUUUUAUAUCGAGUGAGUAAUCUUUCUAAUUAAAGAGAUUUUAUCUGAGAUUUUUUAUUAUGAAGCAUCAAUCAGUAUCAAAAUUGCACUUGAACAAUUAACUUCAAUUACUAUUUUCUCUCUCUCUAAUUAUUGUCGUAGUUAUUUGUUACUCUGUAUUUAGUAAGUAUUCAAAGAAGCUCAUAGCUUGUGAGCCAGCCCGAGCUUGAUUUCUUUCGGCUCGGCUCGAGCUCACCUGUUUCGUAAACAGGCCGAGCUCGAGCUAGAUUUGUAAGCUCGAUUUGUUAGGUGAGUGUCACUUUGGCUGAACUCAGCUGGCCCGAGCUUUUUGCUCAAAAGAGCUCGGAUGCGCUUUAAUGUCCUUUUGAGUUUUAGUUGUCUUCUUCCUUGCUAGCAUCAUGAAAUGCUUUUCCUCGUGUCGCUGGUUCGAAACCCAGUGUGCACAGAUUUUAUUUCGUGAAGGGGAAAAAAAAGAACUCCGCAGGCCAACUAGAACUUCAGAGCAAUGUAAAGAUCAUUUCUCGAACUCUGAAAACGACGGAAAACCACCAGAGCAAUCUGUUUUUGUUGAACAUGGCCUCUAGAGAGCAUCUUUUUUCGUCGCAAAAUCGUACUACUUAGGUGGCCUCAUGGCUCUUUUAAAGUCGGGAUGGGUAAUAUAACCUCCUCUAAACCUUUGUUGUUUUAACUUGCUAUUUUGUUCUUCUGCAGUUUGCAGCUACCCUCUGAGCGCCGCGUGCUGCUUAAAUCGAAUAUGCGGCGCAUUGGAGCAGAAGUGGAAGAUCGGAUAAAGGGUACAAUCAACAGUGAUAAAGAUCCGGUGAAACGACAUGAACAAUCGACAGCAAGUAUCUUUUCGGUCAUCCGAUAGUUCUGCCGAUAUUUACGCACUUUCUCUCUCCUACUAGCUGUCCUUUCAGAAGCCACUCUCUUUCUCUCUCUCACAGCCUUAUAUGUUGUUUACUAAAUUAUAAGUUCCUGCUUGUCACCGAAUCAACAGGAUUUACAUCAUGUAUUCUUCGUAAAAAUUUUGAUGAUUAUGUUUUGCGUAAUGUGCAUUAUCCUCGCCAUUUUGAACCAGUUAUUUUAAGAGUAGGUUUGGGUUCGCCUUUUGACUCGUAACUUUGGAAAUGUUUCUCUACUCCGAGAAGCAGCAGCGGCAGCAAGCAAGGCAAUUAAAAAAAUAAUUAAAAAAAAAAACUAUUUUACAUUACAUUGGAUAGUUUUUACUUUUAAAGCUACAACCACCUCUGAAUCUGACACAGCUUCUAUUAUAGUUUGUGUGAGGAAAAGGAAAUGUGUAUAGGAAUAUUCAAAUCUUAAGCAUUUUGUACUAGUGGUUUGGUUAAAGUAUUUUAUAUCGAUGGUUUAGAAACUAAGAAGUUACCACUAUUGGUUUAGAAACUAAGAAGUUAUUAAUAUUUGUGGAUAAGAUUGGUAGAAAAUAACAAAUAAAUAGAUUGAAAAGAUAAAUAAAUCAAUAGAUAGAUAAAAUAUGAGGGAACAACCAAUCUGAGGCCCAAGAAUUCAUUCAAGAUAAAUUUUGAUCAUAAAAAAUUCAGUCUCAUUCACAAUUUACUGAGACAAUAAUUUUACAACACACCAACUAAAUCACAACUGCAUUUGAUUCUCAAACGAAAUCUUUUAAUCAAAAAUUAAAAAACUUUCGCGCAUUCGAACGGCAACGAAAUACCAACAAAUUGAAAUCUCGCGCACUCGCUGUCGCAGAAAAUGUAGACAACAAAGUUUAUGCAGAUGCAUAAAACAUUAGAGAGAAAAAAAAAGAUGAUCAUAAUUUACAGCUACACAGCAAAAGCCGAAAAAAAUAAUACUACACGCAGAAGAACAUGGAGAACAUGCCAGGCAUCUUCGUGAAGAACUUGAGCGGGUGGGCGGGCAUCGGAAGGCACGAAGGAGGAGGCGGCGGCGGCGGAGGCGGAGGCUCAGCCUUCUUGUUCCUCUUCUUCCUCCUCAAAUGAAAGAAUUGUUGCAUCGCUUCCGCACAUUCGGGAGCGAGGACUCCUCGCCGUAUGGUUAUGUUUGGGUGGAAAGGGUGGACGGGGCCGAUUGGUUUGUCCGAUGGAUUUAAACUGUUACUCUCGUCGUUUCCCGGAAAAAGCCUGUAAAAAAAUUGAGCAUGAAUGUUUCACUUUUACUUUCAUCAUGCACGGUAAAAAUGUACAGGCCUUAUCAAAACUACAGAGCAUUUUGAAAUGAGUACCUAAGCAUCUAUGAAUUUACUACCUUAGUUCUAAUUUUAUAGAAUGUCCUACAAAAAAUUAUCAUCAAUAUUCUGAAGAUUACAGAUAAUUCUUUUAUGUUAUAUAAAGUAAAAGUUAACAAGACCAUUUAGGUGCCCGAUAGUAAGGAAUAAUAUGUGCAAAACUAGUUUAGGUACUAAAAUCAAAAUUUUGAAAGGAACCCAGUUCAAAAUGGGCUGUAGCUCACGGAAGUAAAUCGAUAAGUUCCAAUUUUCCAAAACUUAAGAUUAUUAAAAGCUAGGAGUAACUAAUAGAUUAGUAUUUCUCCUCUGUUUUGCGAGGAACCAACAAUAACUGUUUCUGUAUAAUUGGGUAUGCGUGGAACUGCAUGCACAUGUAUAUAUGCAUGAUGCAUGCGCAUGCGCGUGCGAACACAUACAACCCCGGUAGAGAACAUGAACGAGUAAAUUUGUACGCAAAAUGCCAUACCUAACCCAGCUACCAUCAGCUCCCAGAAGCUUGUUUGGAGCUCCCCACACCACAGUGUCGAUUCUCGCUUGAAGAAUUGCCCCGGCACACAUUGGACAAGGUUCGAGUGUAAUAUACAGUGUUGUGCCCUUAAAAAAGAAAAGGUUUUGGUUAAAGGUAAACAAUUUCAAUCUAUAAUUAAACAGCGGCGUCCCAUCUUUGUUGUUAAUUGAAUGGGACUUCAAAUACAUGAACAAAAGAAUUUUCAGAUAGCUUUAACCAAUGGGUCACUGAGCAAGUCCAUUGAAAAAUUUUUAUAGCGACUCAUUCAAAUGCCUACCAAAUCGUAUAAGAAUUAGAUAUUGAUAACAAAUGCAUGGCAUGUGAAUAAACUAGUAACAUUUGCAAGUGAUGUGAAGUUAACCAAGAGAGAAACUCUUUCCAUAUCAUUGUCCUUCUUUAUUGUCACCUUUAUAAUUGCUGUUAUCAGUGUAGUUUUAUAAAAAUAAGCAUGUUCGCAAAAGAUCCAGAAGAAAAGCCGGAAGAAUAAGUAGUAGAAGCACAAUACAUCACACAGCAAUUACCAAAGCAGAUUAAGCAGAUAAUUAAAGCAGAAACAAAAUAGAAGUGAAAUGACAUGUCUAUAAAACUCGCAGUGAGACAUCAAUGAAUAUUACCGCAAGGCGCCAACUCCGAAGAACAUUGGAAGCCUCGCGUAUACAAAUCAUCUCAGCAUGAGCAGUUGAGUCCCUCAGCUCUUCAACUCUGAAGAUAAAAAAUAGAAUAGUUAAAAUACAACUGCAAUUCAGCAUAAAGAAUAGGAGUAACAUAUUUACAUACCCCUCCAAGAUUGUCUAUUAAUGUAUACACACCCUCAAAAUCAACAUUUUCAUAUCUUAGAAACUUUAAUUUCUUACACAUAUACCAUUGAAUUCGCAAAAAUUCUCCUCUUUAAGAAGCAUUUUCUGUUACAAUUGGAUGACUUCCCUUAAAGAGUACUAUUGUAGGAAACUACAAUUUCCAGAGGACGAUAUAAAAUUCCAGAUUUCACAGGGGUAUCUACAUAAACAGAUUAUUCUGCAGGUGUGUGAUAGUUUCAAAUUUGAUCUUUUGAAGUUUGUUCUACUUAGUAAUUAAGUCUUUCCAUUAGUCUACCCUCUGAUAAAGCACUAUGUCAGCAGCUCCAUCAAAUUACUGUUUGUUGAAAUUGAAACUCCAGAGGAUUAGAAUUAUCUCUAGGGGCAGAACCAAAAUUGAAGUCAAACUUCAGCAACUAGUAUGAAGCUCUCGAGGUGAAAUUGAAAUUGGGGCGCAAUUUCAAGGGGUCAAUAGUUACAACUGAAACUCUUGAGGAUGAAAUUAAAACAUCAAACUUCAGAGACUAAAUAUGCAAUUAACACACAAAUGUAGAAGCGCUAAAAGAGAACUCAGAAAUGCCGAGGAGGACAAAGUAGAAUUACUACUCACAGAUUGCAACCACGCGCAAUGAUUUCCCCAUUCUGUACGAGCACAGCCCCGACCGGCACUUCCCAUAUAUCUGCAGCCCUCUGAGCUUCCACCAGAGCCUCCCUCAUGAAAAACUCAUCCAGCUUCCUCUGCUCACUGUCACGCUUAAACGCUUCCUCCCACUCAUCGAACGUUUCUUUUACCACUUGAUUAUUCCUUUGAAGUUUCCUCUGCUCCAACUCUCCAUCUCUCCCUUCACUUUGGACGAACUCAUGCGGUUCGUCUAUUAUAGGAGCUCGUGUGUUCCCGCUAUCGGUUAUUCGUAUUGAAGAAGCCAACGCUUCCUCCCAAUCGUCGAACGUUUCUUUUAACACUUGCUUAUUCCUUUGAAGCUUUCUCCGCCUCAACUCCCCUUCUUUCCCUCCAAUUUGCAAAAUCUCCGGCGGUUCUUCUAUCACAGGAACUUGCGCAUUCCCACUAUCAGUAAUCUCUAUUAUAGAAGCCGAAGCUGUAUCAUCUAUUACAUUCAAAGGCUGGUCGACUGUUAUUACACUAGGAGUACUUCUGCGUCCUUCUUCAUUAACCUCAGUCCUUUCUCGCGAUUUUCUCGCUAAAUCUACUGAAGUUGAUGCUGAUGUACCCGUUUCUGAUGUUAUCAUCGGUGUAUCAAAAGGCCUUUCAAUGAGCAAUGGUUGUUCUUUGGGCGAGCUGAUUUUGCCUUUCUUUUGGGUUUCAUCGGUUUCGUGCUCUUGCCCGGAAAACCAAGCCUCGGUACUCGUGGAAUUAUGAGACAAACUCUUUUUACCUGAUUUCUUAUUUGGAUUGUGAGAUUCACCUUGAUGAAUCCAACCCAAUCGAAUAAUAUCAGCGACAAAAGCCCACAACGAUUUGUGGGUUUUUUGAGCACUAGAGGAUUCACCUGUUUGAGUACUGGUGGUCAGAACAACUUCUGUAUGUUUCCCAUCUUUAUGCUUUGCCGUAGUAUCAACUACAGUACCUUGGCUUGUUCUGCCGCGCACUGUUUCUGCCUCAAUUUCAGAAGAAAUUUUCAAUGAAUUAUCUCUUUUGUCAGAAUUUGACAUUUCUUGGCUUAGUUUGUCGACAAACUCUCCCACAUAUGAUGCGGAGGAAUCCUGUAAUCGAGUAGCGGACUCCAAACUACCAGAAAUAACCAUUUGACUAGUUUGCUGUUGGCUCUCCUCUUGGAUUCUGCUCCUUUCUUCCUCCACCUCCCGAAUCAGUUCGCGGUUUUCCCUUCUUUCGAUAUCACUCCUCGAAUAAUUCGACAAAACAGUAUUCUGACCUGAGUCGACUCUAAAACUAUGCUGACGUUCGAGACGCCUAUUCUCGAUCAUCUCGUUGUCUAGCCUCUCUAUAUUAGAUGUAGAAACCUCUAGACUUUGUCUAUGGAUUUCGUCGUCGCUUCUUGUACCGGAAUUGGACCCGCCAACAAGAUUCACAACAAAAGUUGUAUGCUCUCGAUUGUCCCUUCUAUUCUCCUCAAUGCUUUGCGAACUACUACUAGCAAUAUUAGUGACAUUGACCUGAGUUAUGUUCUGCACAUCGAGUUCCGUAUUGUGUACUAUCCGUUGAUUGAUAUCGGUUCUCUUAUCCCUCGAAACCUCAACUAGAUUAUGAGUUGAAGAAGACGCAUCCCUUCGAUCCUCUCUCCUAUCAUCGCUGCUCCUGUCCUCCGAUAUAUCCACGAGAUUUUCCGAGCUUUUACUCGAUUCUGUAUACCCCGUCAGUUUCUGAUCUAUCUCGCUGCGCCGAUUCGUCACAUUCGAGGUACUUAAAUCUGUUCUAUCGAUCACCUGCUGAUCGAUUUGGCUUCGACUGUGCCUUAUCUGCUGUUCUGAGUUCCGAAUUGAGGGAAAAUUAUCUUCCCUAACCCUUUUGUUAUCAAUAUUGCUCUGAGUGUGCCGAUUUUGAGAUGAAGCUGUAACAUCUAAUUCUGUUCUACCGCUUACCUGCUGAUCGAUUUGGGUUCGAUCAUUUCUCAUCAGCUGAGUAGAAUUGUCUUCUCUAUGCUGUUGAUUCUGAAUAUUGUGAUUCUUGACUUCCGAUAUGUCCAUGAUUUUCUCCGAGCUUCUUUUCGAUUCGUUCUGCCCGACUAUUUGCAGAUCAUAUUUCGUAUUCUGCUUUGAAGAUGAAGCGAUGCCGACACUGUAAUCCGUCUUCCUCGAAUCAAACCGGUUGUGAGAACUACCGAUUAUCCUCGAAUCGUCCUCGACUAUUUUCCUAUUAUUAUUUUGAUAAUAAUUUUCCUUUGAAUCUGUUCUUGUUACAAGCUGUGAAUCCUGCUUACUCACCUUCUUCGCAGCGACCAUUUUCCUCAAACUUGAAGAUGAACUCCUCGUAUCAUCCUCACGCACAUUGAUUGUUCGUGCCGAUGCUUUCGAUCUACUUCGCGCCUCAUAACACAAUUCUUCGUCUCUCUCUUCGUCCUUACUAUCUUCAAUCCUCCGUUCAGAUCGGCCUACUACUCGCCGAUCUGAGUUACUGUUUCGAGUUCUCUCCUUCAAUUCUCUUCUCCUCAAAUGCUGUUCCUCCUCUUCGCUGUCGUAAUGAUCUCUCUCCUCAGCGUGACGAAUCAAAUCUUUCUUACUCACCUUUGUCGAAGAAGCCCCCGCCCUCCUCCUCCUAUCAUCCUAGCUCUUGGAUUUAUUUCUUAAUUACUAAUACUCCUUAGAUCAAAUACUAUUCCACCUAUCUCCUCCUAUCAUCAUCAUCAUCAUGCCUAUCAAAUGUUCGCGUAAAUUUCCGCGACCCGGUCCUCAAAUCCCUCUCUUCCUCCUCACUCUCUUCGCUUCUCCGCUGAUAUCGGGCCGUCCUCUCGUCGACCCUUUCUCUACCGCCUCGAUGCGCAUCAGAUGUUCGACGAAACGCCUCUCUACAAGCCGUGUCAUCGUCAUGCUCAUCAUAAUCAUAGUCUUCUCUCUUUCUAUUACCAUAAACCCUAGAAUUAGAGCCCUUAUCCUUUCUAGCCAUUUUCUCUCUCUCCUCCCACUCAUUGUCGUCGUCGUCGUCGUCGUCGUCAUCGUAUCUCCAUAAUUCUCGAACCUGCCUCUCAACAAGCCUCCUCCUCCGCUCCCCACCUCCUCGACGCCGCGAUCGCUCCGAUCCACACGCCGAGCACGCGCGAUCUCUCCUCUCCCCCCUCCGAGAUUCCUCGCGGCUCGUUCCCGGUCGGAGAUCCGAUCGCUCCCACGCCAAGAACCCGAUCGCCGCCUCGGCGAAGCCCGGUGCGGCGCCGGCGCCGGCGCAGCAGCAGCAGCAGCAGCGCCGCCGCUCGGCGGCGGAGGCGGCACGCGCGGGGAGGAAGGUUCGGGAGCGGGACCAGUAGAGGAACGCGGAGUGGCGAUGGAGGAGGUAGGCGUUGAGGAGGAGGAGGCUAGGGUUUAUGGCGACGGAGGAGGAGGGGGGCCGGUCGGAGUAGUGAAAUGACGAGUUUGCCCUCGCGAGGAGGGCGGUGGUGGCGUAGCCGCUGUACAUGGAGGGGAGGGGUAAAAUCGGAAACACGGAAAAUUACUCCCCAGCCCCGGCGAAGGUGAAGUGGAGGCGCGGUGUGGUGCUCCGCCGCAAUGUAGAAGAGAUUGAGUUCCGGGGAGAGGAGGGGGGCAUGCUUACGUGGCGGGCUCCUAUUGGCUGGUGGUGACGACAAAAAGACGGGUUCAUGGGGACACGGUCACGUGGGGCGGUCACGUGACAGCUAAGCGGAGUUGGUAACGCCGUGUACGGUAUUAUCCUUUUUGUAUAAUUGUAUUUGUACAGCAGUGUUAUUUGUACACCGCAAAAUAUCGGUGUGUUUGGUUUGCUUCUUUUCACUCUGAAAUCAAAAUCGAAAUGGGUAAUUUCGUUUGAAGGUGUUUGGUACGCGGGAGUUUCAUUCCAAUUUCGAUUCCCGAGUGGAAUGGGAAUUCCCCAAUCAUCUCUUUUUUCAAUCCUCCGGAUGGAAUGGAUAUUUAUGCGGAUUAAAUUUAUUUUUUCAACUUUUUUAACUAAAAUAUGAGUUAAAAUUUAAAAAUUAAAUAUAUAAUUUUAAAUUUUAAUUUAAACUUAAAUUAAAAAUUAAAAUUUAAGCAAGUAUUUCGAAUCUAAUUUUAAAGUUUGAAUUUGAAUAAAUUAAAAUUUAGUUUCAUAUUUUAAAUUAUCCACUCAAUUUCAAAGUUUAAUUUGUUUUAAAACAAAUAGAUUUAAAAUUUUGACAUUAUUUCAAAAUUUUGAUGUAAAUUUUUAAUAUUUAAUUUUUAAUUUGAAUUUAAAUUAAUAUAUUAUAAAGAUAAUGUUGGUAUAUUAAUUUGAUUACGUUUUUUGUAUCCACCUGAACCAAACACCGACAGUAGGAAUGUUUUAUUCCGAUUUCGAUUCAGAUGAUGAACGAAACAGAAUUAGAUAAUGAGUCAUUCCGAUUCCGAUUCCGGCUUAUUUUGAUUCCGAUUCCGAUUCCGAUUCCGACUCCGACUUCGAAGCAAACACGGCCACGGUGUCUAUUAACUUAUAUGAAUCUCUAAUAUUUUUUUUGCCAGGUGGCAAGUUAUUUUUCACCAUCACCAUUUUUUAAUCAAACUUUUAAUUAAUAUAUUUAAUUAAUACAUCUAAACAUUCUAUUAUUAAACUUUCAAUGGCAAGUUGUCCUUCACCCUUAUCAGCAUUUAGUCUUUUUUUUCCUUCAUCAAACUUUCAAUUAAUACAUUUAAUUAAUACAUCUAAACAUUUCUAUUACCAAACUUUUCCUCCACCAGAUAUUUUAUCUCCAAUUAAUUUAUCAAUUCUCUCUCCCUCAUCUUUUUCUCACUUCCCUCCCUUCUUCUCUCACUAAUGUGCGCCCGUCUCUCCCCUCUGCCACGGCCGAAGGGAACGUCGUCAUUUUCACUAUCAUCGUCACCGGAGAAGAUAUAGUCGGUUCCAUCCCCGCUACCAAUAGUGAGAGACCUUUCGUGAGUAUGGCAAGUGAGGUAUAUAAGAGAAUAUUUGAUGUUUUCCUAUAAUUACUCCUAUAAUUUUUAUCCACUACGGAGCCUGGGCUCCUCCACUAAUAUAAAUUUUAUAUCUUAUCAUUUUAGAAUUAUUAUUAUACAUAUCUUUUAUUAUUUUGACUAAAUAAUAGAAAACUUUCUUAUAAAUACCCUUCUUUUCACUUUUCUUUUUAAUUUUUAAAAAUUUAUAUUUUAUCAACUCAAUAUUUAAAUUACGUAUUUAACUCCUCUCCAUUAGGUUUCCAUUAGUAUUUUGUCAAUUUCUUAUAAUUUAUACCAACAAUAUAUUUGAAAUGAAAAAAAAUAAAAAUUAUUUUCUUAUAAAAAUAACUAAGGAUAAUUUUGUCAUUUUUCUCUCUCCAUUACCGCUAUAUCCUUCGAAAAAAUAUUUUAAAAUUUUAAAAAAGCAAAAUACAGAUUUUUUGCAGUCAAGAAAAAAAAAAGCUUAAAAAAAUAUAGAUUUUUAGAAUUUUAAACUUGUGUUUUAAUUUAAAAAAAUUUUUAAAAAGUAAAUUUAAUCCGAAUGAAGAUUCAAUUUCUAAUUCUCCUAGGUUGGAUUGGACAAGAGAGUAAUUAGGAGAAUUUUUAUUCACCCGGGAAUCGAAAUCAGAAUGAAAAUUUCACAUAUCAAAUACGGAUAAACGGAUUCGUCGAUUUCAAUUUCGAUUUCGAUUGCAGGGUCAAAAAGGGCUAAUCAAACACGCCCUUAUUUCAAUUUUUGUUGUUUUAUGUGGUAAGAUGGACUAAAUAGAUUUUUAUUGUUACUAUAAAAUUUUAUAGGAUUAUAUAUGAGACAUGCCACUAAGACACUCGUGUAAUUAAUAACCUCAAUUAAGGAAAGGGUUGUAUUAAAUUAUUUAAUAAAGUUUAGGUUAAUUUAGUAGUAAAAAUUUAAGUGUAAAUUCCAUUUUUGUAAAACAGGUAAAGUUUAGGGGGCUCUGCGCAUUUUUUCCAGCAAGUUUCCAGUUUCCACCCCCUCUCUCGAUUCAUCGUCUCGCCUCCUCCAUUAACGCCUCUCUCUCUCUCUCUCUCUCGCUGCGAUUAGGGUUUCCAUCCUUGGGUUUGGGUUCUCCACCUCUCUCCAUUACCUUCUCUCCGUGGCCAUUAGGGUUCCGAUCGUUCGCAGGAGCGCCGAGCGCGGCGGAGAUGGACGAGGGCGACGAGGACUACGUGGUCUACGGCACCCCGAUCGAACGCGAGGAGGAGACCUCGGCGCGCAAGCGGAGGGCCAUCGCCGACGCGGGGCAGCUUCGCGCCCUCCCCCCGUGGAAGCAAGAGGUCCCCUCUCUCUUCCUCUCUUCUCCUUUGUCGCAUCCUUCUCGGUGCUUGUUUGGCCCUGCUUCUGCUGCAAGAAGAAGCACUUCUUCUGCUGCGGGAAGGGGGAAUGAGAUUCCGAGCCUUAAAAGCAGAAGCGCCAUCAAUUCGACGCUUCUGAUUCUGCCGCACAAAGAAUCUGUUGGGGUUAUGUUAGUACAGCGCUUCUCUAAUCGAACUAGUCUAAAGAGCACUUCUUUGAAAAGCACUACGUUCGUAAAGCAGGGACAAGAAGACCCUCGGAUAGACGUUUAGACAACUUUAAGAUUAGCUUUUGGGAAGUAUUUAGAUUAGCCCCCUUCGAUAUAGGCAUGGUUGUUCAUUGCAUUCCUAUGAUAUGAACUGUAACACUCUAUGUAAAGUACUUGAAUCAGCUUCAUAAUUAUCUCUUUUGACAAUAAAGGAUAAUGCACUAUUCGCAAUUUUCUCAGAAAAAGCUGCAAAUUUGUGAUUAUGUUGCACGUAAGGUUUUGAUUGCUUACUUUUGUCAUCAUCUUUAUUUAGCAUUUUUAGCGGCAGUAAUUGGGAUACAUCCUCAGAAUGUAAAGUGUUACGUUCUGAGCAACUGAGUAGUAGACUACUGCUAUAGUAAAAUUUGUCUAUUCAUGAUUAUGUGUGCAUGUUGUAAAGUAACUAUAAUUUCUUUCCUUUGAACAGAAACACUAAUUAAAGUACUUGGUUUUAGGUGAGAGAUGAGGAAGGGCGAAGAAGAUUCCAUGGUGCAUUCACUGGAGGGUUUUCUGCUGGAUACUAUAACACUGCUGGUUCAAAAGAGGGUUUGUUCUCGACUUGCAUUGAUUAGAUAUAUUGACGCUCAUGGACGAUAUUUAAUCACAAGAGCUAAAACUAGCGAAACUAACGAUAUAAAUUACAGGCUGGACCCCACAAACAUUUACAUCAUCGCGGAAAAAUAGGGCUGACGUCAAACAACAAAGUAUAUAUAAUUUUCUCGAUGAGGAUGAUAUAAAGGUAAAUUUUGUUUUCUUUUUCUUAUUAUUAGCUGUUGUGUUGCUUAAAUAUAGAUGAUAUUUUGGUUUACUUUGAAUUUGAAAAUAAUAGAUCAUAUAUUUUUAGCAUCCAAAUUUGAAGCAAAACUUUGACGCGAAUGAUAUGUGUCAUUUGUCUCAUUGGCAAUUGUCUUAAUAUUUAUUUAGGAGGAUAAGAUUGAUGGUAACUAACUAGGACAUUGCUCACUAAAACAAGUAUUACCUUUGUAAUAAAAACUAAAACAAGCUGGACAAGGAGGAUAGGUAGGGCUUUGCCUUCUAAUCGUUUGAGUUUGGCACCCUGUCCCCUUCUAUAUAGUAUUCUUACCUCCGGGAUAAUGCCUCUUUAUAUUGAAGGGAUAUCAUACGUUUCCUACUGUUACUGAUAUCCUUUUCUACCUUUUCCUCUGCGGCAUCUCUAUUCUGACUAGAACUUUUCAUCUGCAUUUUUCUUGCACUUUCAGUCUCCUUUGAACUGGAUCACUGUUAUUGUUUUCUGGAGAUUUCGAAUAUUAGGUAGGUGCUAUGUUAAAUCGAACAAGUUACUAAUGUUAGCGAAUAUUUAUUUUCUAAUUUUGUUCAUGAACAUCCAAAAUAGCAGAAAUGGCUCUUACUCUAGGAUCUACCAUCUUUUUUUGCAUAUUUGCUAUACCUAGGCAAAGCAUCAAUAAACCAAGUUGAAAGUUGACCGUCUCCUUUCCACUGAUUCUCACUCAAUUAACUAGGGGGUAAUCAUGCAGAGAAUUACAUCAUUUCAAAAUAUUCAUGGUAAAGUUGUGUUAGCUAUGCCUUGAAUUUUUGGUUCUUGAAAUUCUAUAACUAUGAUGCUUCCGCUGCAGUUCAUUUCGAAGUGUCCAAAUUGACAGUCCAUACAAUUAAACAUGAUGUGAAGUAUUUGAAACUAGAAACCAACCAUGUAAAUGUAUUUCAAAAUGUAGUAGUCUGUUGUAAUGCAGACUAUCACUAUCUACCCUGAAACAAUGCAGUAGGCUACAGUUGUAAUCCAUACCGUUGUAUAGAAGCAGGUUGAAUUUUAGGCCUUGUAAAUCGAGAUUCUCUGGUUUCAGCUUGUCCUAAUGAUUGUGACUAUGACUAACAGGACAUGGGAGGGCGUGCAUUAGAAACAUCUAUGCAGUUUGAUACUUUUGGAUUCACUGCUGCUGAGCUUGCACGUAAAGAAGCAGAGAAGGAACAAGAAAAGAGGUCAUUUUAAAUUUUCAUUUGCAAAGUUUACUCGUCUUAGUGCUGAGAUCAAGGUUUUAAGUGCCCGUCGGCACGGGCCGUAUCCACCAUGCCGUACCGUGCCAACAAGAUAUCGGCACGAUACAGACCCCGUGCUGAUGACACAGCUCAAAACCCUCUAUUCUUUAAAUUUGUAAGUAAUUUCCUCAAUAAAGUUCAAAAGAUGUGAUAAAAAGACAUAAUAAAUAGUUAGAAUAUUUUGUUGCUAAAAAAAAAUAAAUAUUUCAUGCUAUUAUGUGUCGGCACACAAGAAUUUUUUUGACCGGUGCGCAUCGGCACGGCUCGACACGCACCGUGCCGACAAGUUUCCGGCACGACCCCGUGCCACGGCACUUAAAUCCUUGGUUGAGAUGGUUGAUUUUCUUUAAUGCAUAUCAUGAUUUAUUUGCCAUGCUCUUGUACUCAGACAUAUUCUAAUUAAACCAGCAGGAAGAGUUCUGGUAGCAUUUGUAUGUCUUUUGCUGCUCCGAAUUGUGAUAUUAAUAGUUCAUGGAAUUGCAAUAUCUCAACAUUAAAACUUUUCCAUUUCAGACCUUCGGCAAUUCCUGGGCCUGUUCCUGAUGAGAUAGUACGUCCUGCUGCAAAUUCUAUUGGUUUGUUCUGUUGCUGCUACCUGCUGUUUAUGUGAUAAGCAUAGCCUCGUCUAUGAAGCUAAACUUUGAUAAAAUUAUGACAUUAUGAUAAUUUACAACUUAUUACAGGUAUAAAAUUGUUGAUGAAAAUGGGGUGGCGUCAGGGUCGUUCCAUCAAGGACACUCAUGCCGACUCCUUAUAUGGUAUUCCUUCUCAGUUAACUCUCUGUUUGUUUGCCUUUCAUUGCGUCGCCUUUCUUUCUUUUGUUUUUUAGUCUUCAAAUGACAGUACUGUGUCUGGUUCUUCCAUCUGUCUCCAUCAUCUGUGAGCAGAUACAAAAGUCACAAACAGGUUGCUUAAUGUGUUACAUUACUUUAUGUGCUUCCAUUAGUUGCUUGAUGUUCCAGUGUUGAAAAUGCUUCGACUGAUUGCCUGCCAGGCAAUCUUAGAGAUGACUGUUGUUUGAGUGAUAGUAUUUCUCUAGAGCAUCUUUCUGUUCUGUUCUUUCCUGAGUUAUGACCUUCUAAUUAUUGUUGGAUGAUUGACUAAAGAUGGGUAAGCAGUAGAAAGAUUUUACGACAUGUUAUUGCUCUACAUGAUAUUAACAUUGAUCUAUGUUCUUUUGUUUUUCUUUCUUGAAAAAUUUUGGUGAUCGGAAUAGCCAUUCAUUCAGAUAGUCUGCCUCUUUACCAACUAAUAUAGGUUAUUUUCCUAUGCUAGGCUGGAGAUUGUUUAUUUUCUUUAACAACUAGUAUGGCAUGUUUUCUUGUGCUAGGCUGGAACUAGGUUAUAAGUGCUAUUUAUUGUUGUUUGUGUUUCAGAAUCGCGCAGAGAAGCUAGAAAAGCAUUUCUGGCCUUUUCUCGUGACAAGGAUGGACCAGAACUUGCUGAAAUUGAAUCAAGUAGGUCUGAAUCCGAGAAAUAUCCUGAAAGAUCUGAUGACAUCUUUGGUGGUACUAAGAGCACUCCUGUGAGUAUCUUGAGACCAUGGUUACUGAUUGAAGCCAGCUAAUUCAUUUUUCAAGAUGUACUUGUUCUUUUUUGUGAAUUUUUGCUGAUUUGGCAGCGAUUCAGUUUCUUAGUACCUUCACAAUCUUGAAAGGAAUAUGUCUCUGAUAUCCCUUUGUUUAGGUGUAUGUACUUAACCCAAAGCAGGACUUACAUGGUUUAGGUUAUGAUCCUUUCAAGCAUGCUCCUGAAUUCAGAGGUAUUGAGUUUCUAAGGUUCUAAUUUAACUUCAGCUGUUGCUGCAUGCAUGAGAAUAAUCUCAUUUCCUUUUCAGAUAGAAAAAGAUCUCGAGAAUCCAGAGACAAGGACCGUGGUAAUAACAAAAGUAAUGUUCCAUUCAUGAGAAAUCUUUUAUCUUCCAAGUGUUUUUAUCUUUUGAUCUAUUACUGUCUUCUUAGAAGUUUAGAUACUUUUCAGUUGGAGAGAACUUAAUCUGGGACUCAAUCAUCAGCAGGAAAAUAUGCACCAGGCUUCGGAAUUGGAGCUCUUGAGGAACUCGAUAUUGAAGAUGAAGAUAUUUAUGCAUCUGGUAAGCCUUUGGACAUUGUAGAUUUUGUUUUCACGGUAGUUUAAGAUCCUCUAGUCUUUCCUUUUGCUCUCUUAUUGACGCUUGUACAACUUGUGCCAAGUCCUUCUAUAAUUUGCUGUCAUGUAGUGAUCAAUCAAGAUAACUUUUCAAUAUGGCACUGAAUAUUCUGAUGAAAUGAUGCAAAAAGGCACUUCAUGAACUGUAAAACCAUUAAAUUGCUACAUCUAUUAUGUUAUAACAUUAAAAUAAUGGGCCUUUUCCAGACAAAGUUUGGAUUUUCUCAAGUUACAAUCUUUUGGGUUCUAUUUCUUGUUCAUCUCUCUACAGGUUUUGAUUUUGAACAAAUGGAAGUGGAAGAAGUUGAGCCUACAAAAAUGAUUGGUGAUAGCUGGCAUAAACUGGUAGACAGAAAGCGGGGUAGUAUGCUUAGUUUCAAAGUGGCAUCUAAUUCGGACUAUGUCCUUGAAAGGUAGUCGCUGUUAUUUUGUUCGCAUUGGUUUUCUUCUAAAUUGCAGAAGUUGCCUUUUCUUUUCUCUGUCAAAUGUCAAUGGUAUUAGAAUUGGGGGUAUGCGAUGCCUAUGUAGCUUUAAUAUGCACUAUACACACUGAGAAUUGGAGAUCAGUAAAUUUUGCUAAAUUUUCGCUUACUAAAUAUUUAGCGCAUGUUUAAAUUGGCUGGAGCUUCUGCUUAGAUACUGCCGAGUGAAGCUUUUCAAAGAUAGCACUAAUAGCUGCUUCAUUAAAAUCCUCCCGGAAUCCGAAUAGCUCCACACUAUAGCAGAAGCAAAAGCUCCAAAUUGGAGCUGCUUUUGGGGUUUGAAGUUCGUUGCAGCAAAUGCCUAGCUGCUGCUCUCCUGUUCGAAGUAGGGAAGCUGCUUCAGAACCUUGUCAAAUAGGCACGUUAUCAAAUAGACAUUAUGUACUAAAUUUCAAUGUAACUUGUUUCAGAUUUCGCCCCCCUGUUAUUCCAGCUGAUUUUGAAUCACGGCACAAGUUUCCUACCACCCUUGAGAGUACAAAUAAAUUUCCUGAAUUACCCCCUCCAGAGGUUCCUCCCCCAGAAGACAACAACUUGAGAUUGUUAAUUGAGGGGUCCGCUGCUAUGGUAGCUCGAUGUGGGAAAUCAAUUGAAGACCUAUACAAGGAAAAGAGUAAAACAAAUCAACUAUUUCUUUUUCUUAGUGGAGGAGAAGGACAUAACUACUAUGAAAGAAAGUUAUGGGAGCAGAAGCAAAAGCGCGGUGACCUUGGAAGACAGAAUAAUACAAAGUCUAUGAAGUCCUCCGAUGAAAAGAUGAAUGCGGAGAAUCGUGGAAAAGUUCUCGGUGAAAGACCACUUGAUAGAAGUUCCAAAGCAUCUAGCUUAUCAGUUGAUGUAAAGGAAGUCAUUCAUCUUCAAUCCAAUCUUGGAGAUACUUUUAUCAAACCGGUAUCUCUUGUAACUUUUUAUUCAUAGCCAAUUUUCUUUUUCGGCUUUUUCAUAUAUCUCCCUAAAACAAUGAUCUCUUUACAUCUAUAUCCCUGCAAAAUCUGAAUACCCCUCGAUGAUGCAGUGUGUUACAAAAAUUCUAAGUUUGUGAGUCAUUUAAUUUAUGAGGGGAAGUUGGUUUCAUAUUUGAAAAGAUUUCAUGGUAAUUUGGUAAGCACCAGAAUAUAUGUGCAAGAAACGUUUCUAAGGGCUAUAUAUGAAAAUUUAGAUUUUGCAAGGAUAUACAUGUAGAUAGAUAAUUAUAUAGGUGUAUCAACUAGAUGUAAUAGUUUUUUUUGUUCUCCCCACUUUCUUCUUUGCAAUUUUCGAACCUACUUGUCACUCUGAAUUUAGGUUCUUUGAUAGAACGUACUAAUAUUAUUGUUUUUUGUAACACGUAGGUUGGAUUAUCAGAAUCCUUGAAGCCUUUUAAGUAUGAUCCAGCAAAGCAAGAAAGAUUUGAACAAUUUCUUAGGGAGAAGUACCAUGGUGGUCUUCGUGCUGCCCAGCCUUUCAUCACUAACAUCAUGUCAGAGACUGAUCGUGCUCGUGAGAGACUUGACUUUGAGGCUGCAGCUGAGGCAAUCGAGAAGGGUACAUGGAGCAAGGAAAAGGAAACUGAUCCUUUAUCAAUUCUGAAAGAUUUACCAUUUAUUAAUGAUCAGCGGUUUGUAUCAUCUACUGAAGUAGAGGUAAUCAUUAAUUUAUUUCUCAUUUGCUUGUUUUAAUGCCAUGUUCUAUCUGUUUUUGAUGACUUAUUAAGACGUCGGAGAGUAAUUAUUUUGGCAGAAACAUGGAGUGUCUAAGGAUGAGCAGAAGGUAAUCCACCCAAAGAGGGAAGAGUUUGAGUGGCGACCUUCGCCCAUUUUAUGCAAGCGGUUUGAUCUGAUUGAUCCUUUUAUGGGGAAGGUAAUUUACUAAAUUUUGAUUACCAGUAGAAGUUUCUUGAAUGUUUGACAAAACAUCUCUUUCCCAUGUAUGUAUCAUGUUUAUAUUUCGACUUGAGUUCUUGUGAUUUUUGUCAAUGCAUUGCGUUGCACAUAGGUGCACAAAUUUAUAUUAUUGAAUGCUUUGUCUUUAAAUUCAUUAUAAGAUAUACAUCCAUUUAAACCUUCAUUAGCCUACUGCUGUACCAUGUUGCUGGAAAUUAACAUGUUUUGACUGCAUUGUGUGUUGAUAAAAAUUGAAUGCCUUCUACUUAUAUUCUAUUUAACGCCUCAUUUCAUUUGCAGCUGCCACCUGUUCAAAGGCCGAGAAGCCGGAUGGACUCCCUCAUCUUUAUGACAGAAACCAUCAAGAGUUCAAAGAGUGAAGAGGCCAUAGCUUCAACGAGAGAUUCAAUACUAUUAUCUCACUCGGAAUCAAAGGAGACUGAGAAACAAUUAAUUACACAGGAGACCGAUGCUGAGCCAAUCGCUGCUGAUGUACAAAGGCCGGUUGAUCUGUAUAAGGUACAUAUGUUUUUUUUUUUUUCUUAAUGAAAUUUUCUUUUUUGAGAUAUCGACAUAUAUACCAUGGCAGGUUUAUCUCUAUACAUAUAUCUAUACCACUGCAAAAUCUCAAUAUUUAUAUAUGCCUUUAAGAGGCUUAAUUAUUUACAUCGUUUAUACUUUUGUAGUAAACAAAAUGCUCCUAUUUUAGACCAACUUCCCAGGUUAAUCAGAUGACUAGCCAAUUUAAUUGUAUUUUUGUAAGAAACUGCACUUUCGAGAGGUCUACAUUAAUUCAGAUUCUGCAGGUGUCUUUAUAGUACAAGUACAAUCCAGCUUUUUUUUAUCUUGCUUGCAGUGUUGUGUUUAAGCUAGCCUAGACUUUGCUGCUGGAGGCUGAUGAAGGAAAGAAUUCUUCUUUUCAAGUUGAAAAAAAAAAUUGAAGUUCAAUAUUAUUUAUUUAACUCUUUCAUAAUUCUACAUAGCAAUCAAUUUUUUUUGAUGUUGUGUACUAGGUGAAACUGCAUGAUUAUUGGUUUGCAUGGCUAUGCAAAAAAUUGGUAUUUUGUGUAUCUUAUUUAUGAUAAACCUCCUAUGAUGUGAUGAUACAUUUGUUAUCACCAAUGCAGGCCAUUUUCUCUGAUGACUCAGAUGACGAUGAUGCAGAUGAAGGAAAUUCUGGGCACUCAACUGAUCCCGUGAAGACAAAUGAAGGUGCUAAUAUGACUCUAAACCGCUUGGUAGCAGGAGAUUUCCUUGAAUCUCUGGGUAAAGAGCUGGGGUUAGAGGUUCCAACUGAUAAACCUGGCCCACCAGAUAAGCCUCCCAAUUCGAUUCUAGUAGAAGCUGCUUCAAAAGGCGACAUUAAUUCCUCAUCAGUACAUGAAAAACUUACUUCCCAACAUGAAGAAUUUGAUAGACCUAUGGAGGAAAAGCAUAAAGAUAAUAUAUCAAAGUCUGCUGAUAAUGUUGUAACUAAUCUUUCAAUUAAUCAGAAUGAGGAAAGUAAACCUCACUCAAGGCAUCAAAGAAGCAGGAGUAGAACUCCUGAUUCUGAUUCUAGCGAUGAUUAUCGGGACAAGAAAAGAAAAACUCACUCAAGACGUCGAAGAAGCAGAAGUCCAAGUACCGACUCUUCUAGCGAUAGGCAUCGAUCUAAAAGAAAUAGAAGUAAAGCAACGCAUCGUAAGAGAGGCACAACAGAUACUGAUUCUAGUAGUGAUCAUCUAUAUCGUGAUCGAUCAAAAUCAGAAGGGAAAAGUAGAAAACGUUCACGACACCAUAAACACAGAAGAAAAGAUGGUCAUAAAAACCGUUGAAGCAGACUUUGAAUGAGUAACUUCCUUCAAGAUUGUAAGAGUGUCCUAAUGCCCUUCAGCAGUUGCUCUCAGAUUGUGAUUCAUCCAUUUUUGUUUUGACAUAUGAUAAUUUAUCCUUGUUUUCAUUAUUGUUAUUUUUUAUCUAUUAUUUGUUUUGCUUUCCUUUGUGGUGUGAUUUGUUUAACUUCUCCUAUUAGCACUUCAGUAGUUAAAAAUAUAUUUUGCUUCUGCAAUUUUAGAUGUGUAAAGGGUUAUUGUGGAGAGAUAUGAGGCUUGUUUGUCCUGGCGAGAGUUUUGUAGAAAGCUUUGUUUGGGUAGAGCUUUUUGAAGAAAACAAUAACAGUACUUCCAUUAAUAUCCUCCCAACAUCUGCAAGCUGAGUAGAAGCUUUAAAUUGGAGCUGCUUCUUUGGGGCCUAGAAGCUCAUUCAAACUUCAGCUAGAGGCCUAGAGCAGAAGCUUCAAAUUCAACUUCUUCUUUUUGCACAUCUCUCUAUAUGAGCCAUUUCGUUUGCCUUCUGGUACCAUCUGUUGGAGGCAUUGUCUUUUGACUCAUGGCGCACAACCCGCUUUAUAUUACCUUGUCUUGAACAUUGGUAGAGCUCUUCAUUCUUCUAUAUGGUGAUCUCGAAGUUGAUUAUGCCUGAGGCAGGUAUAGUUGCAAGAAAGAGAGGGUAAGACAUUUAAUUUGUAGUAGCAACGGAUCAUCGUGGAUGAAGACAAAUACAAAACAUAUGAACAUUAGCUUUUAUGGUCAACAUGUACAGUUUAAGGUAAAAUUCACCACACCAGGAAUUCAGUCUAUGUAGUUAAACUCGUAUGAUCAAAACUUAAAAUACAGUCUGAAUACANCUAUGAGAUAUGUGCAACUAUCCCUAUGAUUACAUCUUCUUCAGCAUAUGAUAAAAAACAGUGAAAUUAGGGGAUAUGCAUCUGUUGUUUUUUCUAUGUUAGAGCACAGUAGUCGCUUCAAAAUCCAUUUGUAUUUCUUAUGUCAUAUUUGUUUCUUAUUUUCCCUUUAACUUCCUUUAAUCACUACUGUGGUUUUGAGUUAGUCUCUUGUUCCAAACCCUCCUGCUUAUCACUUUGGUAUGCUAUUCUUUUUGCAGUCUUAAAAGCCAUAAUGUCCAUUUCUUGGUAGCCUCGCACCGAUUGGCAUAGCUGCAACCUCUUCAGAUAGUUAUGAUAAGUUAGUUGCGGGCAAUGAAAAUCUGCUGCCAAUGGAAAUCUAUGCAUCAUGGCCGAAGUUGAUGCCCCAUAAAUGGAAUAUCUUCCAAAAGAGUCGGAACACUGUAGUUACAGUGGUGUAAAUAUGCUCAGGAUUUUGCUUGUAAUAAAUGUACGGGGGUUUUCAUACUCCAAAUAUAACUUGAAAUCGUUGAAUAUUGAGCUUCAUGUCGAGAUUCUAGACGUAUUAUUUUCAAAAGCCUUGUACAUUUUCAUGUAUUAUUUGUGACAGACUUUUCCUUUUCUUAACGAGGAAGAGAAUAGGCAGAGUCUGAUGGUUGCGCGGUAUUCCUAUGCUGAUUUGGUAUUUCGACAUUUCAUUCAUGUAGUUUGGUUCUCAUUCCAAGAUCGAGCUAUACGGGAAUCUUCGCUUGUCUUCUUUCAGGUAUUUUACACCGACUUACCACCACAAAUCCAGAGCUUAUGAAUUUUAUUUUGUCAUUUCUUUCUUCCUGCACACCCACAAAAUGACAAACUUCCUUGCUUUAGUUAAAUCAAAUGAAAGCCUUUUACAGGCAUUGACUAUUUCUCAAUGGAAUGUUCGACAAAUGUUAAUGAGACUAAGGAUUGUGUAGUGAUGAUCUAUUUGUCCUCAAUUGAUGUAGUGAUGUUUUUGUUAUUUAAAAUGCUCUGGAAACUUGUAUUAAAUGGUGUAUUCAUCCUUUCUUGCUAAGAGUCAGUGUUACAGAUUUAUCAAUCACUUGAUUUGGAACAGUGAUGUGGUACAGCAGACUAUUGCUGGUGUGUUGUUAUUUCAAAGAAAAUGAUAUUCUGAUUAGGUGCUUCCACUCGAAUAGGUAUUCCUGUAAAAUCAUCUAUUUACAUAUAUAAUAAUAUAAUAAUAAUGCAAAAUUCAAAUUUCAUGUGGCUCCACUUGAGAAUUGCUGUUUCUUCCCAAAAUUAUGUUUAGUUGGGUGGCAUCCCAUUCAUUUGGGAGUUGGUUUUUAUAUUAAAACAAUGUUUUUGGAGAGUGCAUACUUACAUGUCCAAGAGUCUACAUGUUUGAAACUAUGUGAAAAUAUAAUUUUUUUGCUGGGGUGUAUAGGCAAAUACUCUUUUUAAUGAUUAUUUUGCAGGGGUGUAUAUGUAAAUUACAAUUUUUUAAUGAUAAUGCUGACUGGGAUUCUAAUCUUUCUGUGGGCUAAUGGACUAGACCAAAUUCUUUCUAGGAAAGAAAAAAAGACUAUAGGAAGUGCUUCCUUGGCCCCUGUUCUUGUUUUUCAGUUGAAAAUUUUGAAAAAUGAAAACACGGUUUUUCCUUAUAACAUUCAGAAAAAAAAAAUUGUAGAAAAAAAAAUUUUUUUUUCUAGGAACCAACAGGUGGAGAAUAUUUUUUCUGUUAGAAAACUAUUUUCUGAAAAAUCAAACACCCUCCUGAGCAUUUGUUUGGUCUUGUUUCUCCUUAUGCUUUCAGCUACAGUCUUUAUUGAUAAAUCAUUUGUUAAAUAGAAGAGCUUUAAGAUUCUGAAGUGAUAGGAAGGUAAAUUACUGAAAUGAAAAUUCUGGGUCUAAAUAUUAUUUUAAGUCUUAAUUUAGAUCUUAUGAAAUCUAAUGCAGAAAGCAGCUGUUGGAAAAAGCACUGUUCAGACAGCACUUGAUCAAGCUAACAUGGCUCUUAAGAACUCAAGUGAGCUCAUCAUCCUCCUUUGCAUCAGACACAGGUCAGUGUCAUCUGCCUUCAUAACUUCACCUAACUUCCUACCUCUUGCUCUUUAAGGUCAGAAUCUAAACCCCUCAAGUAAAAGGGACAGGUAAACCAAAACCAUUUCUGUGAUGCAAUUUAAUACCCCUUACUAUCAUUCUUGUUCACUUCUUAUGUGCUGCAGUGUGAGUGGAGUUGUUCAGUUUGAAUAAUUACAUGAGUGUUUUUGUUGGUGUCCUAGAUGACAAGAAAAAAGCUGAGUAGAAAACUAAUGCCCCAACAAGUAGGAUUACUUUUGUUCCUAUCUUUUUGUUAGGGUUUCCUCAUCAUCACUAGCCAAGCUCUUUUUUCAAAUGUGUGCCCUUAAAAUGUUUAUGGUAUAACAUCAGAAUCAAUGGAGGGGAUAAUUGUUUGGUGAAAAAUGUAUGGAGGCCCUUUCAACUAUAUGCCUUUUGAAAUAGGCCCUUUUUAACUUUAAAAAGUCUUUUCAUUGACACCCUAUCAACUUCUAUUUGUGCUCAUUUGUUAAAUUUAAUACCUCUAAUUGCUAUUGUACCAUAAUGAUUAUGGAUAAGCAUAAGUCCCUAUUUCAAAAUGGCUUAACAGUUGAGGGGUCUCAGUACAUAUAUUUUACAUAAUUAUGUUUAUAAGAUUAAUUAGGUGGAUAAUUACUAUGUUUCUCUUUCUAGGGUUUUGGAAUAUGCUAUGCCUCCUUUUUUAUCUGUUUCCUGGGCCAACCUGGAGCCCAUCAGGAGAAAUAGAAGUUGUGUGUGUUAGCAUUUGGGCAAUAGGAUUUAAAAAAGCUCUUUUUUUUUUUUGUUUUUUAAUUUCAUUUUUGAUUUUAUUUUGUUAUUUAUUUAUUGAUAUUUGGAUAAGGGAACAGAAUCUCCCAUAACUAAGACACUAAAAAUGGCCGGCUAAUAAAUUAAUUGAAUAAAAAUAUUUUUAGAUUGGGUGAAUUAGAUAUUUUUAGUGUGAUAGUUAAGGUUUGACUCAACAUAUUAUAUUGGUGCUUUUUUUUUUUAUACUUAGAUUUAGUCUCUUUUGUGAGUGGUGAUCAUACAUUUUACACUCAGAUCCUGCAUUUUAGGGAUUUUAUUUAAUUUUUUAUUUAGAGAAUGCAUGUGUCUUUUUUUUUAAAAAUUAUUUUUCUUGCCAAUGUGUACUUGAUAGUUGAAGAAUACAUAAAAGAAAAAAUUUUGAUCUUUCCUAUUCAGCAUAAAUAAUUUGAAUAUUGUUUUACUAAUACUUUUAAGCUUUUACAUUUAAAUAUUUAUUUUAUAUGGUAUCUAAGCUUAAAUUUGCAUGUUGAAUUUGUGUUGAGUAAGCGGGAAAAAGAAAUUUUUGGGAAUUUUUCUUUUUUCAGUUUUUUUUUGUCCGUUUAGUUCAAAAAAAAAAGAAGAGUUUUUUAAACAAAAAUUUUAAAUUUUAUAGAAAACUAUUAUUUUCGUUUUUCUAAAUAUUAAUUUUUCAUAAAAUUUGAAAAAUAAAUUUAACAAAUAGCUAGAUUUUUUGAAACCAAACUGAUUGAAAACUAAAAAUUUUUCGGAUAUUUUUUUUUUAUGCUUUACCGACGAACCAAACACCCUCUUAACUCACCCCCUUAAAUUGCCGUCCUAUGCUUGCUUAAGCUUUUAAAAGUAAAAUAUUAUUUCAUACUCUCUUCUAAAAAAAAGUAAUAAAAGAGAGAGAAAAUAUAGUAAAAUGUAUUCCUUUUCAUUUUUACUAGCCCUUUUAUAUAAGUUUAAUUUCAAAAGGAGAGAGAGAGAGAGAGAGAGAGAGAGAGAGAGAGAGAGAGAGAGAGAGAAUCCUUAUAAUUACACAAGGUUUUUCCAAUUCACUUUAUAUGACAAAGCACCAACAUAGAAAAGAAGUAAUUGAAAAAUCAGGGUUCAAAAGAUUCCUUACCUGGUCCAUUUCUUGUUGCCCAUUUAUUACUCCUCAUAAGUGCUUGACUUUGAAAGGGUAUUUCAUUCAGUGUGACGCACCUUCCUUAUGAUAUAAAAUAUAGAAACCUGAAAUGUUUCAAAAUUUUUAAUUUAUUUUUUUUAGAAAGUUAAUAUUAAAAAUAUCUUUUUAACGUUCAAAGUUAUUUCAAAUAUAUUUCUAGAGUUAAAUUCUGUUGUUAUCUCUGUGAAAUUAUUAUUUUGUCUUUUCAAAUAUACCCUUUUAUCAUUACAAACUUUUCUUAUUUGUUCUUAAGUUAGGGAUAAAAAAAAUAUUUUAAUUUUUUAUCUUUUCAAAUGUACCCUUCUACAGUCACUAAUUUUUCUUAAUUGCUUUUAAGUUAAGGAUAAAAAAGGUAUUUUAAUUUUUUUUAACUCUGGUAGAUAUUUAACAUAUUUUUAAUCCGAGAUAACUUAACUGGUGGUAACUUGGGUGCAUUUUUGAAUAACGGGGUAACAUAUGAGAGGUAUAUUUGAAACAAAAUAAAAAUAGAGAUAAAUUAGAUAUUUCUGAAAAUUUGAAGGGUAUAUAGGUAAUUAUCCCAAAUAUAUAUAUAUAGAGGUACAAUUAAUAAUAUAUAGAUGCAAAAUUUAACUAUGGCAUAUUUAUCCCUCCAAACUUUAAAUCAUAAAUAAUUGUUGUAAAUCUUUUAAAAAAUUGCAAAUAUAUUCUUAGAUCAGCUAAAAGAGCACUAUAUUUUUCACUCGAAUGACUAUUUUGUUCUUCUUCUCUUUAUCUCGCUUCCAUUAAAUCAAUCAGUGAUUAAGAAUAUAUUCCGAAAGGAAUCGCAGUAGAUCAUGUAGCUUUACUUCGGUUGUGGAAAAGCAAUAAAACUUGAUCUCGACACCCUAAUUUUGCAGCAUCACUCAUCUCAAUGAGGGCAACUUAGUAAUAAUACAACUCUUUUACAAUUACUAUAUGUUAUGUGGGAGAUCAUUGAGUAUAAUACUAGUAAUAAUUGUUGAGGUGGUUGAAUUAGGUCAUCAAAGAAGAGCUUUCAAUCAAUUUCACUUUUGUGGUAGAUUGAGUUGUUAGUCAUUGACUUCAUGAAUAAUAAUAUAUAAUAUAUAAUAAUGCAUAUAUAUGCAAUACAUUAUUAAUACUAAGUGACUUGUCAAAUGCUCCUUUUUCCACCUGUGGAUUUAGGGCUUUUAAUGUCCACAAGUGUAUGAUUUAAGAUGUUGACCCAUCCUAAAUCUUAUGUUCCAGGAUUUUUUUUUUUUUUGGUGGGAGGGGGGGGGGGGGGGGCAAUCACUUAUCUUAUUAUUUUUUUAAUACAAAAUUUUUUUAUUUUUUUUCAAAACGCCAGGAUAAUGUGAUGUAAGAUGUGCACUCUAGAAUAGAGUGUACAGAUAGCAUUUUUCUGAGAUGCUUCGUAAGCCAUGAGUGUUUUUUCGGGAGCAAUUACUUAUAUACCUCUGAAAAUGUUUUAACUUUCUUAUUUUUUUCUUUUAGAAGGUUAAUAUCAAAAAUAUCUCUUUUAAUGUUCUGAGUUAUUUUAAAUAUAUCGCAAUCAGAAUUAAAUUUUGUUAGUGAAAUGUUAGAAAUAGUCGUCAUCUCUGUAAAAUUAUUAUUUUGACUUUUCACUUUUCUUAUUUGUCCUUAAGUUAGGGACAAAAAAUAUAUUUUGAUUUUUUUUUUUUUUUUACUUUGAUAGAAAGUUAAUUCGGAUUUAACCUCUGAUGACUUAACGGGUACUAACAGUAGAAUUAUUUUUGAAUAACAGGAAAAUAUACGAGGAGUAUAUUUGAACAAAAAAAGGCGUAUAUAGAAUAUUUCAGAAGUUUUAGGGGUGUACAAAUAAUUAUCCCUUUUUAUUAUCAAUAUCUAAUUUAGGUUUUCUCUUUUGGUAAAAAUAUUACUUCUCUAUGGCUCAGAUUUACUCACUUAUCUUAUCAUCAAUAUUUUUUUAAAAUAUUGAAAAUUCAACAAAAUUUUGAUUUUAGGAUUAUGGGAGUGUUGGAUGUGUUAGAAAAAACCGCAAUAAAAAUCUGAUUGUGAUUAAUUAUUUAAUUAAUUUUAUAAUAAAGAUAAAAUUAAACGUACAGAUAAACGCUAAAAUUUUAAAUAAAUAAUUUGAUUAAUCCAGAAGCGUGCGUAAUAAUUUAACCGAAAAUAUCCCCCAAGGUACGACCAGAGCUCUUGUUCCUAUGAACACGAACGUGGAAGAUGUUGACGGCGAAACUUUCAACACUCGGCGAUAAAGAGAUCAAGAGAAAUAAAAUAAAAUUGAAUUGAAAUUGAAACAAAAAAAAUCUUUUCUCAUUUUUCUUUUUUUUCACUUAUCUCUCUAUAAUGUUCAUGUCACAUGAAUAGUAAAAAAGACAGUAUUAAUAGGGGUGUGAAUGGAACAUUAGAAGCACCCAACGCUCCACUCCAUUAAUAGAUUUAAUUGCCAUGUUCCAAUCAAAUUAAUUAAAAUAAAUAAUAAUAAAUAUUAAUAAAUGAGAAUAAAAGAAUUAAUAAAUUAAAAAAGAAAUAAUAGUAAUNAUAAUAAUAAUAGUAAUUGAGAAAUUUUUGAUUUUUCACCAACAAUAUGUACACUCUAGUACUAUUAAUUUUCUCCUAUUUAAUUUAAAUUCACGUCAUGGAUCUAACGAAAAGUUUUGAGCUUAAGUUUUUAGAGUACAAUGAUUAUUUUAGAUGGAACCAAAAAAGAAAAUUCUGAGUUCAAGUCAUACAAGGCUUUUAGUAUUAUAAAUUUUCUUUCAUUUAAUUGAAGUUCACGUAAUGGGUCUACAAAAAGUCUCAAGCCCAGACAUGAAAGCACGUGUAAAAUAAAAAAAAUAUUUAAAUAUUAUUUUUUAUUAGUUUAAGCAUGUAGAGUACAACAGUUAUUUUGUAUUAUUUAAAAAAAAAAUAAAAAAAAUUUUCUUAUUUCUUAAUUUUUUUAAUUUAUUAGGAGAAAAAAGAAAAUUAUUGGGUGCAAUAAAUUGAAGCAAUUCACUUGGUAUAAAUUAAAAAGAGACAACUACAUUGUAGAGACAGCAGUGUUAUUAUUUGAACUAUUCCUCUGGGAAAGUAGUGACCACUGCCACCUUCUAGACUCUUCUUUUUUCUUUUUUUUUCCCUUUCUUUUAUUUUUAUUUUAUUUUUUUAUUGAGCACUAAUACUAUUGAUGACAUGACAAUAUCAUUAUUACACCCUAAACAUCAUUAUUAAACCCUCUAAAUCCUAAUCCUUUCACAUGUGUAUGUCAAAACAUUAAUAAUAUAUUGUGAUAUUUUAAAGUGGGGAAUCCAAAAUAUUUCUCUUUCAGAAAUCAGGGUUUAGAGUUUAUGGUUUCUUACGCCAGUUUCAUUUAUACUAUACAUGGUAACAAAUUAACAAUUUUUAGGGCACCAGCGUAGAAGGAUGCAAAAUAUUUCUUGCACUAUUAAAGUUUAUUUGGUCAUCUUAUGUAUAUAUAUAGAGAAAGAGAGUUGAACUGGAAUGUUAUCGGUAGCAAACUGGCUCCGUUGCCAUCCAUUUAUUUUCGAUGAUGGAGUCUUUAAAUCGACGAUCGACACCGUUGAAUAUAAUCUAUACCACUAGAAAUAUUUAGAAGCCAAAUUUUAAAUAUUUUCGACAUCAUUAAUCUAAUGAUCAAAGUGUUUCAAAUUUUAUAAUUUUAAUGGUCGAUAUGAGGCAUUUUUUCAUUUAACAGUGUAAAAAUAUCCAAAUCAAUUGAAUUUUGGUUAGAAAAAUAUUUUUAAAACUAUUUAGAACAAGAUUUAUACUCUCGAUCUUGAUUACAAGAUUCCAAUCAUCAGUUUGUAGAGGAUAUUCAUUUUUAAUCGUUCAUUUUUGUGUCCACUUGAUUGACAAGAGAAUAAUAUCAAAAAAGUAUGAAAUUUAGUUUCUAAAUGCGUCAAGUGGUAUAAAUCAUGUUCAACGAUGUCGAUCGUUAAUUUAAAAGUUUCAUCAUGAAAAAUAAAUAGGUAGCAAUGAAGUUCGUUUACUACUAAUAGCAUUCCAGCUCAUCUCUCUCUCUCUCUCUCUCUCUCUCUCUCUCUAUAUAUAUAUAUAUAUAUAUAUAUAUAUAUAUAUAUAUAUAUAUAUAUAUAUAUAUAUANUAUAUAUAUAUAAGGCUACUAUGCUAUCGGACGUGCUUCCAGCUCAUUUUCGAUAUUGCGAUUUUCGAAUCGUCGAUCGGCUCCGUUAAACUUGAUCUAAAGUAUUUGAAGAACCUAGAAAAUAUAUAAAUAUCCGUGCUUUCAUAAGCAUACCAAUCCACUCAUAUAUAUAUAUAUAUAUAUAUAUAUAUAUAUAUAUAUAAUUGAGCUCUUAUACUUUUAAAAGUACAAGUUAUUGGUGUUUAUAGAUUUUUAGCCAUUGGAUUAAGAGAUAUACGGUUAGGAUGAUGUGGGCCCCCUAAGGUUGAGUGGGUGGAUACUAUCUAAUGGUUGAAAAUAAUUCGAGGAGUAGAUCUAACGGUAAAAAACUUACAAGUACCAAGUGCAUGGUGCUUUUGCAAGCACCAUAGUCAUUUACUCGACAGUUAUUAACAAGAUGGGUUGAUAGGAUGGAUGGGACGAAUGAGUUACUGCGACUUAACUUCUUAUUUUAGGAGUGGGUCCUUUCAAAUACUAUGUUAAAGAAUGCCCAAUAACUAUUAUUAUUAUAUUAUUAUAUUAUAUUAUAUGUGGAGAUAUAAAAAUAUUAUUUUUUUAAUAGUCUAAGUUUUUAGAGUGUAACGAUUAUUUUAUUUGGUAUCAGAGUAUGAAGUUCUGAAUUCGAGUCAUAUCAGACUCCUAGUGUUAUUAAUUUUCUCCCAUUUAAUUCGAGCUCACGCUAUGAGUCUUGUAAAAAAUUUCGAAUCCAAAGCUUAAUAACUUAAGAUUUUAAAGUAUAACGAUUGUUUCACAAAGAUUUUUUUUUUUUUUUUUUUUUUUUUGAGAGAGAGAGAGAGAGAAAGAGAGGGGUGCAAAGCCAUGUGACAAGGGGGAACAUGGCAUUAAAGAUUGGAUUCCAAAUGGUUAGAUUUUGAUGGAGUAUUCAAUUUGCCAUCUUAGUUUAGGGCAGUUUUACCAACACUUUAAAACUUGGGUUAAACUGAUCGAUUCGAUUGAUUUGAUCCUGACCCACGCUAUAAAGUUGUUCCACAUUACCCUCUAAACUAGAUAAGCAAAAAAAUAAUUCUGAACUAUUCGAAUCGAUGAAUCGAACUGAUUUUAAACCAAAUAGGUUAAAUUUUUUUAUUAAGUUAUAUUAAAAUCUAGAAACUUAAAAUUAACUUAUUUUAUUUUAUUUUUCAUUAGCAACAUAUUAGCUUUAUAAAAAGUAAAAUUUAAAAAUUUAUAUAUAUAUAUAAUUUAGUCGAAAAAUCAGAAUUUUUUAAUUAAGUAUGAUAUUAAAAUUUCUGUAUAAUAAAACUAAAAAUAAUAUUAAAUAUUUGUGACGUCAUGGUGACAUCAUUAAUUCAACCAGUGAUUGAUUUGCCGAAUAACAUUUUCGAACCGCUACUUAUCCUGAAUUUUAAAACAUUGAGUGUUACUUUAACACCCUAUAAUUCAAAAGAUAAUACUUAAUUUAUUUUUUAGAAAAAAUUAUAGAAUUGUAACAUGUUUAACAAUAAGUUUUACAAUGAAACGAAAAAACAAAAAUUACAUGGUAGCUAACUGUAACUUUCUGAACAAUAGAAUGACAAAGUGAAAAUAUGUUAAAUAAAUGCGUUACACUGGGAUAAAUUAAAAUUUACCCCAAAAAAAGAUAUUACCCCCUUAAAAUUAUUAAAAAAAUCUAAUAAAAAAUGUUAUUUGGCAUGUAGAUGUGAUUCUCCAAGUGAGGGCAAAUGGGUCAGACACUCAGACCCAAAUUUGGGUUACAAAUGUUUACUCACCAAUUUGGUCUAAAUCAAAUUCAAGUUAUAAGAUUUGGAUUUAAGUAAAAAGGUCAAUUGCAUACAGGUCCCUGCAAAUAUAGUAAAUUGCAGAUAUAUUCCUGUAAAGUUCAAAUUUUAUAAGUUAUCCAUACAAAACUUCUAAUAUUUUCAGAUAUAUCCAUGUCGUUUAGACCUGGCAAUCUCGAUCCAUACCAGCGAGUGCCCGCGGGUUACUCGUAAAUUUGCGGGUAUAGGUACCAACUUUUUCAACCCAAAAAAUUACGGAUAAAACGGGUGGGUACCCAUUAAGUUGUGGGCAUUUUGGGUAACCCACGGGUACCCAUGGUAACCCACACAUAUAUUUUUUAAUUACAAAAUAUAUUUUCUUAAUUAAAAUAUAUAUAUUUUUAUUACCCAUCCUAAAAAUUUUAACUUUAAUUUCUUAUCACGUCUUUUAUAUUACGAAAUUUUUAAGCUCUAAGACUUUAAAUAUUUUUAUUGUAUAUUAUGAUAUUUUAAAUAAAGAUGUCCGUGGACCGGGUUGGGUCUGGGUAAUUAAUAUACUGUACCCAUACCCUAAAAAGGAAUGGUUAGAAAAAAAUAUAUAUACCCUACCCAUUUAAGUUCGGGUCGGGUCCGGGUCUGGGUACUAAAUUUACUAAUAUACCCAUCGGGUCUAUUUGAGCGGGUAUGGGUAGUGACUACCCGUAUACUAUCCGUUCAAGACCGGAUAUAGAUCGGGUACGGAUAUCCGUAUAAGUAUAUUUUCUUUAUAAACUUUAUUAAAUAGUUUAUGAACAAACUAUAAAGCCCGCCAUAAAAAAACUCGCAUUCUAUUAAGUUGUACCUUCCAAUAAAAUUCAUUCAAAAGAAGAAAAAAAGGGUAGAAAACAAAGAGUAAAAAAAUUAGGAAAAUGUAAUGAGUAAAAGAGACGGCUAGGAUUUCAUUAGGAUGAAAAUACAAGUGACUCAUCAUCUAUAAGUCAUAUUAAAAUUGAUCCUUCAACUUCAAAAUUUUAUUUUUUUUUAUUUACCAUCGGAUAUUUCAUCGGGUCCGGAAUAGCCGGAUCUGUGUUCGGAUUUGAAAACUAUUUCGGACCCUACCCAUUUAAAAGUUGGGUUCGGAUCGGGUCCAAAUCGGGUAUGGGUAUAAAAUAUCCGGACCCAUACCCGAAACUUUAAUGGGUAUUUUUUUUUAUCUGUAUAUUAUUCAUUUUUUAUCGGGUCCGGUUCGGGUCCGGAUACGGUCCGGAUCGGGUAUGGGAUAUCGGAUAAUUUAGACACCUUUAAUUUUAAAUAAUGAGUUAUGUUAUAUUUUUAAAAUUUAUAUAUAUGUAUUCUACAUUUAAAAAAUAUAAGAGAAAAAAAGAAAAAAUUGCGGAUAACCCGCAUACCCACCUGCUCACCCACGGGUGGGAAUGGGUAACGAUGUUGGCUAUCCAAAAAUUUACAGGUAAAUUUUAUCCAUACCCAAAUAGCCCACGGGUACAAUAACCCGCCCGCGGGUUACCCAACCCGCCCGUUUGCCAGGUCUAAUGUCGUUAGAAUCCGUUAGAAAUGUUUAGUUAACUAUAGGUUAAAUAAUUUAUCCGAGUUAAUUUUUGACAUUUUUAACCCUUUUAAAUUAUACUGUUAUAAUUUUUGGAGGAAAAUAUUUGUGAUGGAAAAAUUGAAAAUAUAAACAAUUUUCUAACGGUUCUCUAACGGUAACAAACCAGAGGGCCAUAUAUGAAAAUAUUCAGACUUUUGUGGGAAUAACUUAUGAAAGUUAAACUUUACAGGAAUAUAUUUGUAAUUCACUAUAUUUGCGGGGACCUGUAUGCAAUUAACACUAAGUAAAAAAUCAAGCAGCUUAUCAGGUUUUGGUUAAUCAACUCCAUAUGUUUGAUUUGAAAUAAUUUUGGUAAAAAUAUAAUUAAACUUCCUUAACUAUAUAUUGAACGUUUUAAAAUAAGCCACUCAAUCUUUUUUUUUUUCUUAGUUCAAAUAAAAAACUAAUUAGUUCAAAAAUGUUAUUAGAUUUAAUAGCUAUAUUAGCAUUUAGCCACUAAUUAUUCAAAUUUUAUUUAUAAGAAGUAAUUAAAACAAUUACAUUUUUUUUAAUUAAAACAAUUAAAUUUGAUGGAAUAGCCAUUGCCUAUAAUCAGUCAAAGGGAAAAGACAAAGUCAAAGAUGUAUCAAACGAAAACAAUAAAUUUAAAAAAAAAAAAGGUUGAGAGAACAUUUCAAAUGGCAUAUAGUUGAGAGAGUCUCCAUAUUUUUUUCCAACAAUUUAUUUUUAUUUUCUGAACCCGAAAUUUUCUCUUUUUUUUUGAGAAUAAGGAAGAUCGCUACCCGCUUCAUUCAUUGAACUGAUGAAUUAUACUACAGGAGUGAGGCAGCUGGGGCUUGGAUAAGCUCGAAAUUUUGAAGAAACCAAACUCGUGAUCACGCCUACUUUAAUAUUAAAUGACGUGCUCUGAUAUCAUAUGAAAUAAUAUAACAUAAUUGCUUUUCUCUACUCUAAGCUAACCAUAAAGUAGAAUUUUAAUAUUCUAUAUUCAAUACUCCUCAUAUUUUUGGGUUUGAGAACUUUGUGGGAUAUCAAUUGCGAUCUCCUGUUCUAAUAUCAUAUUAAAUAAUAUAAAAUAAUCAAGUUUGUCUAAAAAGUUAAAUUACUAUAAAAUAAAAUUUUUAAUAUUUUAUAUUCAACACUCCUCUUAUUUCUGGGUUUGAGAGCUUGGUGAGAUAUCAAUUUAUCAGAAUAAGACAAUUUUUUUUUUUUUUGGGGUCAUUUUGUGAUAUUAAAAGAUGCCUUGUCCAUUGAUACUAAAAUUAUUAUUUGGUAUGUUGAGGAGAGGAGUUAUGGGAUAUUCUUUUCUUAGAAUAAGAUUAUUCCUUGUCUAUUUUAGUCAAUUAAGUUAUUCUCCCCCUUAUUUUUUUUAAAAAAAUUGUCUUAUUCUGAUAAAUGGAGCCUUGGAACUUUGGUAGUUUCUGAGAAUCAUUCAAAAGAAAAGGGCAAAAAAAAAAAGAAAAUUUAUAUGGGGGCCCCUUGAAUAAUAAGUUAUUUUGAAAUAGGCCCCUUAAUUUUUUUUACUAAAUUUUUAUGCUCUGUUAUCUAUUAAUCUAUUAAUCAUUAAUUAAUUUUCUCGGCUCGAUAUGUUGCAAAGUAUUUAAUUAAAGCCAUUAAAUUUGAUGGAAUCACCCCUAAUUUUAAUAAAAUCUCCAAUUUAGUUGACUAAAAUUGCUCAACAGAAAACCAUCAAAAGUUUAGAGUGUCACUAAAUUAUACUAAUACUAAUGAUAAUAAGAAAAAACUUCAAAUAUCCCCCUAUGGUUUAGCGCUUUCUCACCUUAGUACCUAGUGAUUUAAAGUGUGUCAUUUUAGUACUCUGUAGUUUCGUUUUCUCUUUUCGCUAUCCCCUCUAUUAAAAUAAAUAGAAAAAAAAACUUCCGAUGCCCCUUUGUGGUUUACCGAAUAUUCACUUUAGUAUCAUGUGGUUUACGAAAUUUUUACUUUAGUAUCCUGUAGUUUUAACUUUCUCAUUAAUCUAACGAAAAAAUUAAUGAAAGGGAUAACAAAAAGAAAAAAAAAAGAAACCCAAGAAUAGUAAAGUGAUAUAGUUUAAACAACAAAAACUAAAAUAAAAUAGCGCUGAACCACAUGGGUGGUAUUUGAAGUUUUUCCUAAUAAGAAUAAAAACAAUAAUUGAGGGUUUAUUUUAAAACGAUCUGUAGUUACAGGUUUUCAUAUAUUCUUUACGGGUUAAUUACACCAGUGGUCCCUAACCUUUACACUAUUUUUCAAUUUGGUCUCCAACCUUUUUUUUUUCAAUCUAGUCCCUAAUCUUUUGAUUUCAUGUCAAUUAAGUCCCAGCCGUUAGAUAGCUGUUAAAAUUAACGGAAAAUAUCACAUCAGCUCUACGGAGACGUCAUGUCAGCGCCACGGUGGCGCUGUGUCAGCGGAUUGCAAAAAAAAAAAAAAGGUUGGGGACCAAAUUAAAAAAUGGUGCAAAGGUUGAGAAUCAAUGGUGUAAUUAGCCCAUUAAAUUUAUAAAUUCAAAAAAAAAAUUUAAUUUAAGAUUUAAAUUUUAAAUUUAAAUUUAAAUUUUGAAUUCAAAUUUAAAUUGGAAUUCAAAUUCCGAUUUUGAAUUUAAUUUUAAAUUUUAAUUUUAAAUUCAAAUUCACAUUUGGAAUUCUAAAUUCUAAUUUAAUUUCAAACUUCGAUUUGAAAUUUCAAAUUCAAAAUGUGAAUUUGACUUCGAAGUUUAAAUUCAAAUUUAGAAUUGAAAUCAAAUCUUAAAUUCAAAUUUAAAUUUUAAAUUCAAAUUUAAAAUUUAAAAUCAAAAUUUUGAAUAUGAUUUUAAAUUUAAAUUCAUAUUUUAAAUUUAAAUUUCGGUUUCAAAACUUUUAUUUUAAAUGUAAAUUGAAAUAUCAAAAUCAAAAUCAAAAUUUUAAGUUUGAAUUUAAAAUUUAGAUUCAAUUAAAAAUUUAAAUUUAAAAUUUGAAUUUCAAUUCAAAAUUUUAAUUCAGCUUUAAAUUCAAAUUCAAAAUUCUAAUUUCUCGUUAGUUUAAAAUUUUAAUUUUAAUAUUAUUUUUGAAUUUAAAUUUAAAAUUUUGAUUUUUUUUAGGGACUAAAAUAAAAAAUGUGGGAAGUUUAGGGACCUAAUUGACAUGCAAAAGGUUACCACAUAGUCCCUGACGUGGCGAUUCCGUUAAUUUUAACAGUUUUUUUAACGGUUGGGACCUUAAUGUAAUAAAAUCAAAAGAUUAGGGACUCAACUGCAAAAAAAAAGGGUCGGGGACUCAAGUGAAAAUUGGUGGAAAGGUUGGGGACUACCGGUGUAAUUAACCCUAUUUUUCACCAAUAAAAAAAAAGAGUGGGGUGAAAUGGAAAAUUUUGGAAAAAAAACAAAAAAAGAAAAUUUGUCUCUUGGAAAGCUAUGGUUGUAGUGACAAAGUGUUUCAACUUUUGGAUAGAACCUCUUCACUCAUUAUUCACUUUGUUCUAUUUUGCACAUGGGUCCCAACAAAAUCAAUAAAUUCUAAAAGGUCGAAUCUCAAAAAAGUUGGAUUUGAUGGAUGAAUAAGUUGGGUAGUGAUUUUUUUUUUUUGCACCUUAACUACAACUAGCCCUAAUUCAUAGCAUAAUAUUUCUUUAAAAAAUGCUUUGGUUUCUCACUACGGGUUUUCCACUAUAUUAUUCAUGUGUUGAUAAUUAUAUGUUAAGAAUUGUGAUUAGAUUAUGCGUGCAGUUUAAACACUAAAUGAAUUUAUCAGUACAUCAACAAUGUAUAAGAAAUUACUUUAAAGUAUCUGUAACAACACCGAUAUUAAUCUUUUACGUAUACUAAGAUUGCCGUUUUAGAUUGAGCACUAUUUAGAAUUCUACAUUUUUUUUUUUUUUUGAGAGAAAGAUAGUAUGCUACCCGCUUCGUUUUUUUUUUUUUUUAGAAAUAAACUUAGCUGGAAACGUGAAUCAACUAGAACUCAAACUGGGGACCUUGGAUACCAACUAUCAAAUUCUUUACUACUUGCGUUAAGAACCUGCGGUAUUCAAGAUUCUAUAAUUGACUUUUCGAAUCCACUAUCUAUCUAUAUACAUAUAUGAAAGCGCAGUUUAAAUCAACUUCAUGUAUAGUGGGGGGUGGGUUGGAUUGGGUUGGGGUGGGGUGGGGUUGUUGUUGUUUUUUUUUUUUUUUUUCCGGCUUCCGGCCAAAUUCUCCUCUCUUUCAUUAUCCAUCAAUCUCUCUUAUCGUUUGAUGUACAAUUUAUUUUCAAAUGAUUAAUACUGUAAAUUUAAAAUUUAUAUUGAGUACAUGCGACCUAAACCGUUUGAAAAGGUUAUGUGUAAAUAAUUAUAUAAUUUAAUUUUUUAUAAUAAGAUUUGAGAAGUGUAAUAUAUAAAAUUUACUUUUAUACCGGAUGCGCGAAACAUUUCUCUAUUUUUCUUUAUUAAUUUAGCUAUUGGUAUUGCUCCCGUUGGUUCUUCUUUUUUAGCUUCUUUCUUUAUUCUUCUUACAAUUUUACUGCUGCCACAAAUAUAAUUUAUUAUUCUUAUAAUUUUUUACAUUUAUUCUUCUUUUAUCCUUUUUAUGCUUUUAUUCCUAUGCUUUUACUGUAGGAGCUGCUGCUCCUUCUCUUCAACUUCUUUUAUUUAUUUUUUUUUUAAUUCUUUGGCUUCUUUUUUUUUUAUAUACUUUUAAUGUUUCUUCUUUCUUUAGAUUUUUCUUAUUUAUUUACAUCUGCAUAAUUGAUCAGCCACAAUGUGCGGGUGCCUUCGCUAGUAUAUAUUUAACAAUUUAUAUACGAGAGCCCAUACUCUCGUACUUCAUUUGUAAUUAGAUUUUGUGGGAGUGGCUCCAAUGUGUCGCACAAUUUUUACAUGCAUUAUUAAUAGAUAGAAAUAGAACAGUUUCUGCUGUGGACCGUCUCUCCAAAAUCUCUCUCUGCUGAUCCUCCAAAAUCUCCAAAAUCUCUACAUAAAAACAACUUUGAUGUCAAGAGAAGAAUGCGACCCGGGUUGCGACGAUUGAAUUAGAACGGAUACCUAACAGAGCGGUUCAUAGCUGGCGUAGUAUUGAGUAUAAAUAUUAAAACAUUAUUCUCUGCUAACUUCAAGGUUUUCAAUUCUGGCAAUAAUUGAAUUAGAACGGGUAUGUGACAAAACAGUCCGUAGCUGACGUAGUAUUGAGUAUAAAUAUUAAAGCAUUAUUCUCUGCUAACUUAAGUUUUUCAAUUCUGGCAAUAAUAGAAUUAGAACAGAUACCUGAUAGAGCGGCGCGUAGCUGACGUAGUAUUGGGUAUAAAUAUUAAAAUGUUAUUCUCUGUUAACUUUAAGUUUUUAAAUUCUGGCAAUAAUUGAAUUAGAACGGAUCCCUGAUAGAGCGGUCUGUAGCUGACGUAGUACUGAGUAUAAAUAUUAAAACAUUAUUAUCUGCUAACAUAAGUUUUUAAAUUCCGGCAAUAAUUGAAUUAGAACGGAUACCUGACAAAGCAGCCCGUAGCUGACGUAGUAUUGAGUGUAAAUAUUAAAACAUUAUUCUCUGCUAACUUAAGUUUUAAAUUUCUGGCAAUAAUUGAAGUAGAAUGGAUUCCUGACAUAGCAGUCCGUAGCUGACGUAGUAUUGAGUAUAAAUAUUAAAACAUUAUUCUCUGCUAACUUAAGUUUUUAAAUUCUGGCAGUAAUUGAAUUAUAACAGAUACAUAACAAAGCAGUCCGUAGCUGAUGUAGUAUUGAGAAUAAAUAUUAAAACAUUAUUCUCUGCUAACUUAAGUUUUUAAAUUCUGGCAAUAAUUUUUUUAAAAAAAUAUUUAGAGAGAUUAAUUUAGUAUGAUAAUUAGUUUUUUUUUGUUUUAUCAUUCUCAUGCAAAAAUACUAUUUACAUGCUUCUUGUUUUAAUGCCCUAAAAAAGAGAACAUAAAGUUUUUGAUUUAGCAUUUCCCUAGGUAUAUAUUUAAUUAACACUUUAUUUGGAGAAAUUAAUAAUUGCAGAAAGAAGCAUCUGAAAGGAAAAGGAAAGACAUAAAAAAGGAGGUUGAGGAACUUCAAGAUGGCAAAAAAAAAAAGUACAAAAAAUUAAUUUUAUAAUUUUUCUUUCACAAAUUAAUUUUUAACAAUUUUUCAAGAAACCAAACACCCAUGAGUAGGAAAAAGUCUUUUUCUAAAAAAUUACUCAAUCCAAUCACAUCAUAAUUAACAUACCAUAUUAUUAAAGCAAUAAUUAUUAUCAUCAAAGUUUUAAUUAUUAUUUAUAAAAUUAAUUCAAUAACAGAAAGGUACAGAUAUAAUUUAACGCAUCUACACACAGCAGAAUAAAGUACAUGAAAAAUAAAACUCAAAAUCUUAUGAAAAGGAGGGAGAGAGUUUAGGAUUAACUCUGAUAUCGUGUUAUCUAAAACAAAUUAAUUUAGUAAAAAAUAAGUUUAAUUAGAAAUAAAUUAGACAAUUAUUACAUACAUGUAUACUUGACAAGUUUCUCUCAGCUUCUUUGGUAUAUUCUAGAAGAUGGUGGAGAUGCCUUGAUUGUAUUGGUUUGAUCCUUUUCCUAGCCCUAACUUGAAGGUAAUUAUUAUUAUUAUUAUUCCAUGAUGGUGACAACACAAAAUGCAUCAACAAACAAAGUGAAUGAAAUGGAGGGGCAAUAAUAAAAAAACAUAUAUAGGAGCCAAAAUGUGAAAUGUUUUUAAUGAGUACAUGUUCUAUAUGAUCUUUUGAGUAAGCAUCUGAAAUAGUUUUUUUUUUAUUUAAUUAAGUAGAGUAUUAGUUAAUUAAGCUGGACACUUGGCCAACAAAGUAUUAGAACCCCUUUUUUUUAACAGCAAAAAAGAAAAAAAAAAAUUGAGCCCUAGAAGCAGAAACACACAUAUAAAGCUUCUACUCUUUUCUUUUUUUUUUUGCUGUAAAAAGUUGAUAUUUAAAUAACGCUAUUCAAAUAAUACUUUUAUAAAAAGUUUAUUCGAGCCAAACUAGCCUUAAUUUUUUCGAAUUGUGUGAAUAGACGAUCACGAUUAAAGCAAAAAAAAAAAUAUAUAUUUGCAGUGGAUCGAAUCCCGUUUCUUAAUUAUCUGUACAUAAAAUAUUACAACAAUUUUAGUACUACAGCAGGUGUCACACGUAUAGAAUCUAUUGAUACGGAAUACGGAACACAACACGAUUCUGACACGACAAUUCGACUGUUUUAAAAAAAAAAAAAAAAUUAACACGGAUGCGGCUGGAUACUACUAAUUAAAUAUAAUAUUAUUAAUAUAGUAAUAUAUAUGUAUUAUAUAUAAAAUAUUAAUUUUGAUUCACAUAAAAGUUAAUAAAAAUUUUCAUGUACACUUCAUAUAUCUUUUUAAAAACAAAUUCUCAAUCAGACACGAUUUAUUUAUAUCGUUCAAAACGAAUUUGUAUGUAUUUAUUGAAAUUUUUUAUUAACUUUUAUGUGAAUCAAAAUUAAUAUUUUAUAUAUAAUACAUAUAUAUNAUAUCUUUUUAAAAACAAAUUCUCAAUCAGACACGAUUUAUUUAUAUCGUUCAAAACGAAUUUGUAUGUAUUUAUUGAAAUUUUUUUUUUUUUUUUUUUUUUCAAUAAGAUGCGCCAUAGAUGCACAUCAAACGGGCACCAUGACGCGUCCACGUCAAACAUGAGUCCGAAACGGACGCGCAUACGUCCGACACAGAAAAGCGAGAUUUAUAACAAAGUCCACAAAGAUAAUAUACUAUAUCAUUGUCUCAAAUAGACUUAGAUAAUUAGAAUGAUUUUAAAUCAGAAAAUAAAAUUUUGUGAAAACAAAUUUACAAUUGACGUCUGUUAUAUAUUUAACUGUAAGAAAAAGUGAUCUAUCAUGCUUGUAUUUUAAAAUUUUCAUAAACCAAUUGUUAAAUAAUUUUAUAUUUUUAAAACUAAUAUUAAAUUUUGAAACUUUGAGGAUCAAACCACUUUGCUCCAAGGGCAAAAUAAAAAUAAAAAAAUUAAAAAAAUUGAUAAAAUAAAAAUAAUAUAAAAUUCAAAGCACUUUUCCCAAAUUACCCCUCCCUCCAAAUCGGCCAAGUCGUUGGCGUAUCCCAUCCGUCGGUGCCACGUGGCACCUUGCUAGUCCUCUAUGACUUCUCCAACAACCUCAUUAGUAAAAUUACUAAUUGGCCCUCACUAGAAAGAAUAAUUAUAUUUUUGGUCCAAAUGUUUACCGCAUUUUUUAUUUUGAUUCAUAACUUUUUUUUUUUUUUUGCAAUCAUUUUUUAAAAAGUUAUUUAUUUAGUACCAACUAAUAAUCAGCAAGCCAAUAAUAAAUUUUAUUAUGCAAUAAUUUUCAAACGAACUAAUAGUAUUUUUCAUGACGUACCUUUUAAAUAUUAUUAUUUUUAGACGGUUUAAAUAAUUAGAAAUCGAUAGUUGUUUCACAUUAUUUAGUAUGGUAUCAGAAUUAGAUGUACACACUACUCUCUAAGAAGGAUAAAUUUAGGGAAUUUAAUAGGGAUAAUUUAGACAUAUUAAUCACUUAUAAGUAUAUUCUUAUAUGCUGUGUUUGGUUCGAGUAUAAAUAAGAACUGCUUAUUUCAAAAAUAGGUACAAAUUUAAGUAUAAAUUGAAACUAAACCAAUGUUGCGUUUAGAUGAAAAUUAAGUUGUUUCUGGAAAUAAGGUAAUAAUGUUUGGAUUGUUAGAUUGGAAUAAGGAGGAAUAAGAGUUAUAAUUUUAAAUUAAAAAUAUUUUAUCUAAUUAAUUAACAUCAAAAUAUUAAUUAAAAGUAAUUUAAUAAAUUAAUAAAUUUAUUAGCUAUGAAUAUUAUAUAAGAUAAUAAAAAUAUAUUAAUUAAUUAGUUAAUUAAUUAAAAAAUUUUAAUUUUUUAAUUAGUUAGUAAAUUAUUUUAGUUAGAUAAUUAGUAAUGGUUGAUCGAUAUAAAUAUUAGUUUAUGAAUAAACACAUUAAAUUAUUAAUUUUUAAUUAGCUAAUUAAUUAUGAUUAAUUAAUUAAUUAAUUACUUUAUUAUUUAAGCAAUAGAUAAUAGUUUAAAUAUAUUAAUUAAAUUAAUUAAUAAUUUAAUGCCAUAAUUAAAAUUAAAUUUAGACUUUAAUUAAGCUUGGUCUCACUUGGGAACAAGCUUGUUCCAGAAAAAAGGGUGGAACAGUAGUUCCAGACUUAGGCUUUAUUUGAAAUUGUAGGGAGAUUGUGUUACGUGCAGUGAGAACGUAUGAUUAAAAAAUACCAUGUUUGUUUUCAUACGUAAUAUUACGUUCCGCAUAUCACGAUGAGUCGAUUACGAUAUAUUUACUGCGAUCCCACCAGAGAACGCCAAAGUAUAUUUCUACAUACUUUUACCCCGACAUUAUUUUAUUUAAUAGCGUCGGAUAGAUCUCAUUACAGAACUAAAUCUUAUACCAACUUUUUCUAGAGCUUCUACCCCCCUAAUUUUGUGUUAGGGGACACUAGAGAUUCACAUGUGGUGUAGCAAGUAAUGAUCCGGGUCCCACGCUUUGCAAACGUGUAUGAAUAGAGUACCCAAUAAUGUACCCCAUAUUAAAAUAUAGAUACCAAAAUAAAAAUAAAAUAAAACUAGUAAAGUUAUCCGCGCAUUACGGCGGACUGAUGCUAUAAGAAACAGAAGAUUGACAAAGUAAAAUAUUUUAAAUUUUGUUCACUUGUCAUGAGAAAUCAAUAAAUACAAAUAAAAGCUAUGAAACAGAUAUAGCAAAAUUUAUAAUUUCGGCAAAUAAAUUAUAUGAAAUAAUAAUAAAAAACCAGCAAUAGAACACUACUCCAUACGCACCUUUCACUUCUCAUUCAUUGCUAUUGUCAGUGUCGACUGUCGAGUUCCUCUUUAAUCACGACAACAUAUAUCUUAUUUUAUUUAUUUUUUUUAUAAAAUUGAUUUGUUUAGAUGACAAUGAAUGUGAACAUAUUAAUUAAUAAUGGGAAAACUUCAAAAACCCCCAUGUGGUUUUGUAGUUUCUCACUUUGCCCCCUUGUGGUUUAAAAUGUAUCAAUUUACCCUCUUGUUGUUUCUUUUUUCUCUUUUUCUUAUCAAUUUCAUUUUUUUUUUUUCUUAAAUCAUUGAUAAGAUUAAAAUUAAAGGGUACUAAAGUGAAUAUUUGAUAAAUCUAGAUGAGUAUCUGAAGUUUUUUGUAUAUAAUUUAAUGAAAUAUUAACGAAAAAGCUACCGAAAAGAUAAAAACGAAACCACAGGGGGGCAAAUUGAUACACUUUAAAUCACAGGGGGCAAAGUGAGAAACUACGAAACCACAAGGGGGGUUUCUAAUAGUUUAUACCUAUUGCAGUUGUUAAUUUUAUUUAAAAAUUAACUCAAAUAUAAAUGCUAAAAGUUGAAAUACCUUCAAUCUUUUUUAAAAAAAAGGAAAAAUAAAAAAUAAUUGACAUGCAUUAUUUUUGACAAGUUUUUUUUUUUUUCUUUUUACUUUUGGAGAGAGUCAAUUUAGUGCUGAGGCCUAUCUAAUAAAAACAAAUAGAAUACGCUUCUCAUUUUUUUUAGUUUAAUCGUAAAAAAAUAUAUCAUAAUCGAUUUAUUGUACUAUUAAAUAUAUAAUAUUAUGUACGAAAAUAAAUAUAACAUUUAUUUUUUAUCAUAUUUAACGCAAUCUCUCUACAGUCCCUAACAAAGCCAAAAUAACAGUCACCAAAGAGCACACUAAAAUAUAUUUUAUUUGCCUAAAAUAUAUUAUGUACGAAAAUAAUUAUAAUAUUUAUUUUUAUCAUAUUUUUUUUUUUAUAUUUAACGUAAUCUUCAUGCAGUCCCUAAAACAAAUCCAAAAUAAAAGUUACAAAGUGGGGAUGUUUUUGGUACACCAAAUUAAGAGCACACGAAGAUAUAUGAGUGAGGCUACUAUGCUAUCAGAAGCGCGGAGCCUUCCGUGCUUCCAGCUCGUUUUCGAUGUUGCGACUUUCGAAUCGUCGAUCGGCUCCGUUAAACUUGAUCUAGAGUAUUUGGAGUACCUAAAAAAUAAAUUUUAUUAUUUUUCGAUAUCAUUUGCCUAGUGAUCGAAUGGGCUCAAAAUCAACAAAUUUCAACGGCCAUAGUAAGCCGUUUGCAAGUUUAACGGUGUAGAAAUAUCCAAAUCACGUGAAAUUUUAAUAGAAGAUUCUUUAUACUAUAUAAAACAAGAUCAAUAUCUUUGAUUUAAAAUUUUAAUGUCAUAUUAUUACAUUUUAUAAGAUUUUUAUUUUCAGCCGUUGAUUUUGAGUCUCUUCGUUCACUAGGCAAAUGAUAUCGUAAAAUCAUAAAAUUUAUUUUCUAUGUACUUCAAAUACUCUAGAUCAAGCCUAACGGAGCCGAUCGACGAUUCGAAAGUCGCAACAUUGAAAACGAGCUGGAAGCACGGAACCUCACUCAAGAUAUAUUUUAUUUGCAUAAAUUUAAUUGAGGUGGUUGUUUUCAAAAGUAAUAUGGUUGUGUAGGUGGAAGAGGUGGCUAAUAAUAAAUUGUAUAUUUAUACCAAUUUGGUGUGCCUCGUUUGACCCCCAAUCCAACUCAUUAAUCCAUUAAUUUAUUUCCCAACUUAGUUAAUAUUUUUUUAAAAAUUUUUAAUUGGAUCUAAACAAUGGAGUUAGUAUUUGAAAAUAAAAUUUUUAAAAAAAAUGUACAAAGCUCCCUUGAACAUUAGCACUGUUGUUAACACGCGCUUAAGAUUUAAUUUUGAUAAUUUUAUCUCCUAAACUUUAUUAGGUAGUAUAAUAAGUUUAUGUCCUUGAUUGAAAUUAUUAAUUAUAAGAAAAAAUUAGAUUGCUUUUUUUUUUCUCUUUUUGUAUAUCGAAGUUAUAUAAUGUUUAAUUAGUAAUUUGUCUUAAGAAAAGGAGCCUAUAAAAUUAUUUAAUUUAAAAAGUUUAAGGUCCAUUUUUAAAUAGUACUAAAAUGUAGAGGGUCUUUGUACAUUUUUUCAGUAAUUUGUCUUUGUUUGACCAAUUCCAUUCCUUUUAUUAGAGACUCAUUCCAUUGUGUCACAAAUAUUUAAUCUCUUAAAUUAAUUUAAUAUUCACAUAUAGAUUAUAAACAAACAGUAAAACUCUAUAUUAAUUACUUACUUAUUUCUAUAAAAUAUGAGAAUUUAUAUACGUGUAUACUCCUCAAAACUUUAAAAAUAUCGAAUAUAUUUCUGAUUGAUCAAAAUAAUCUUAUUGAUUUCGAAAAAAAUAAAUAAAUAUUUUCAAAUCCUUACUAGAGUUUAGUGAUGAGAUAUAGGAUACAAAAAUGAAGUUUGGUAAUUUUAGAAUAACUAAAGAUAAAUCAGCAAAAUUGCUUAUUAUAAAAAUAUUUUAAAUAAUUUAGUUUAAAAUAGAGUGCUUAUUUAUCACAUGUAUUUUUCUAAAUUAAAUUAAAUUAAAUUAUUAUUAUUCUCAAUAAUGUUUAAUAAAUUUUUUUUUUAUAAUUUUACUUCUAUUUAUUUAUUUAAUAACUUUAUUUUAUUUUAUUUUAAUAAAUAAAAUAUUAUUCCACAACUAAUUACUGAGCCCUAGCGUGGAUCUCCACCUCUUUAAAAGCACUACUAUUUACUCACAUGCUACUUCUUAACUCCCCCCUAAAUUUAUUUAAAUAUUACCUGCACCAGGUGUAUCCAUAUGCCUCACCCAAAUUUUUUUUUUCUUUCAUAACCAAUAUCUUAAAAUCCGUAUAUUAUAUUAAACUGGUACGUAUAAAAAGUUAUAAAUUUUUUAAAAAAUAUGUUAGUUUUAAAAUUCAAAUAGUAGGAUUUUGAUUUUGAUUUUGAGAUCUCGGAAUAGUUUUUCUUUUUAUUUUUCCCUUUCGCGAAGUGUGGUGCAUGAGAUGUACUUAUACACGCAGUGCACACAACAAUUUCUUCUUUAUGAGUUAAUUAUGGUUAAUUAUCCAAACAACCCACUUUAUUAUUAAGAUUACCAUAUCAUAACCACUUUAUAACCCAUUAUUAGUAUAUUUUUAUUAUUAUUCUUAUUAUAUGAAUUUCUUAUUCUAUACAUCGUCUCGUAUACUAACACCUACCUCCCUCUCUCUCUCUCUUUCUCUCUCUCUCUCUAACCCUAUCUUUCUCUCUCUAGAUUAAGAGAGAAGAAGCUUCCUAGAGAGAGAGAGGAGGAGAAAUGCCCAUAAUGAUAAUAAUAAUUAUUAAUAAUAAUAAAAGGGGGAGCUUUGGGUCUAAAAGGAGGAGCAUUGGGUCUCAAAACGGCAAUGGCGACGCUGUAAAAGUCGUGCUUAUUCCUCCUUCCCCUUCCCCUUCGCAUUCCCAUUCCCAUUCCCAAGCCCACCAUUGACCUUCUAGAAACCCGGGAAAAUUUGUUCCAAUUUAUGGGCAAUUUUUUUCUCCACGCGCACGUUUUUUCGCGAAUUUGGUUCUACAAAUCCGAGUCAAAGAGGGAUUUUUGAGCGGCCAAAGCUUGAAGAAGCUUCAACGCGCCUCUCCGCUUCCCCCAAACGGAGUUUUCAAAGAAGCGUGGGGGUGGGGAGGGUGCAACCCUUUAUAGAGCGUGGGUUAGCUCUAAUCCAUUACGUUAUAGGGAAAAGUUGGGAUUUUUACUUGUGGGUAUUCGUUGGAAUAGCUUAUUCCCUCCUAUUCUCAUCUUAUUCUCGUACAAAUUAGAGAAAAAGAGGGGUUUUGCUUUGUGGGUGUUCCUCGGAAUAGCUUAUUCCCUCUUAUUCUCAUCUUAUUCUUGUACAAAUUAGAGAAAAGGUGUGAUUUUUAUUCGUGGGAAUAGCUUAUUCCCUCCUAUUUCAUCUUAUUCUGAUACAAAUUAGAGAAAAAGGUGUGUUUUUUAGCUGUGGGUAUUCGUGGGAAUAGCUUAUUCCCUCCUAUUUCAUCUUAUUCUGAUACAAAUUAGAGAAAAAGGUGUGUUUUUUAGCUGUGGGUAUUCGUGGGAAUAGCUUAUUCCCUCUUCUUCUCAUCUUAUUCUUAUAUAUACAAAUUAGAGAAAAAGGUGUGAUUUUUAGUUGUGGGUAUUCGUGGGAAUAGCUUAUCCCCUCUUAUUCUUGCUUGAUAGGGAGAAAAGGCGCGAUUUUUCGUCGUCGGAAUAACUUUAUUUAUUCUCCCUUAUUCUUGUUUUGCGUGUUCUUAUCAACCUCUGCAGCUGAGUGUUUGUGUGUGUGUGUUUUGGGGAGGAAUAGUUAUUCUUGGGUCAAUUAUCAGAAGGAUAAGAGUUUGCAUCAGAAUUCGCAGUUUGCUGAGAUUUCGGCAGCGAAAACGCGCCUUCGAAAAGGCUCCAAUUUUAUAUAUUCUUGUGAAUUGUUUGGCGGAAUAAGGAGGAGGAGGAGAAGAAGAAGAACAAAUGGCUAGGAAUAGUGAGAGGAGGAAGAGGAAGAUUAGGCUGAGUAAAUUGUACAGCUUCUCAUGUUUCAGAUCAGGUUCCGAGGAGGAGCAGUCGCGGAUCGGGGGGCCCGGGUUCUCCCGGAUAGUGUUCGCGAACGAUCCCGACUGCUUCGAGGCCACGAACUUGAACUACCCUGUGAAUUAUGUGUCGACGACGAAGUACACGGUCGCCACAUUCCUGCCCAAGUCCCUGUUUGAGCAGUUCAGGAGGGUGGCCAACUUCUAUUUCCUGCUGUCGGGCUGCCUGUCGUUCACGCCGCUGGCCCCGUACUCGGCCGUCAGCGCCAUUCUGCCGCUCCUCGUCGUGAUCGGCGCGACGAUGGCGAAGGAGGGGAUCGAAGAUUGGCGGCGGAAGCAGCAGGUAAUCAUCCUUCUUCAUCUUCUGUCCUUUUCUUUCGUCAGACGCGAAAAUUGUAAAUCCUAAUUUCAUAUAUUUGAAACUUAUUAUGAUUGUCGCAAAAGUUUAUUCCUUCUCGUAUUAAUGUAGUAAAAUUGGUUCUUAAGAGGUUAAGAUUAUUAAUAAUGUAGUGUAUUAUGGUUUUGAGAUAACAUAUGUAGGAAUUACGAUAGUAAGCGUCGUAAAAUUCCCUUGUAAUAUUAUUGUAGUUGCAUGUUGUGUGUUUCGGAUAAUAAUUGCGUAGGUAACCUUGUUUAAGUACAUUAAACAAUAUCAUGAUUUUACACAUAUUUACUAGGAAUUUUCGGUUAGUAAUUCGAGUCACUUAAAUGCAUCGUAGGAGGCGACGAAACAAAACUUCUCACUCUCUUUUCCUCUUUUUUUGUGUUCUUAGAUCGUUGUUCGCCGUAUAGCAUAUAGAUAGUUUAAAUGGCUUCUAACGCGCUAAUUUCGCUAUAUUUAUUAUUAUUUUAUCCAGGAUAGUGAGGUGAACAACCGAAAGGUUAAAGUUCACCGCGGCGAAGGCCACUUCGACUACACCGAGUGGAAGAAUCUUCGAGUUGGCGAUAUAGUGAAGGUGGAAAAGGACGAUUUCUUCCCCGCCGACCUAAUCUUGCUUUCGUCGAGCUACGAAGACGCAAUUUGUUACGUAGAAACCAUGAAUUUGGACGGGGAAACGAAUCUGAAGCUAAAGCAAGCGCUCGAGGUGACGUCGAAUUUGCAAGACGAUAGUAGCUUCAAAGAUUUCAAAGCAAUCGUGCGGUGCGAAGACCCGAACGCGAACUUAUACUCUUUCGUCGGAAGCGUCGAGCUCGAGGGCCAGCAAUACCCUCUCUCUCCUCAGCAAAUUCUUCUCAGAGAUUCGAAGCUGCGGAACACCGACUACAUUUACGGGGUUAUAAUUUUUACGGGGCACGAUACGAAGGUCAUGCAGAACGCGACGGCACCGCCUUCGAAGAGAAGCAAAAUCGAGCGAAAAAUGGAUAAGAUUAUCUACCUCUUGCUCUCGUCUUUGGUGCUAAUCUCGGUUAUCGGGUCGAUCUUCUUUGGGAUUUGGACCAGGGAAGAUUUGAAGAGUAGCGGUCGAAUGAAAAGGUGGUAUUUAAGGCCCGACGAUACGACGAUCUACUUCGAUCCGAACAAAGCGGCUCUGUCCGCUUUUUUCCAUUUCCUGACGGCCAUGAUGCUUUAUAGUUACUUCAUUCCGAUCUCGUUGUACAUCUCCAUCGAAAUAGUGAAGCUUCUGCAAGCGCUCUUCAUCAACAGAGAUAUUGAAAUGUAUCACGAGGAAUCGGAUAAGCCGGCGCACGCGCGCACUUCGAAUUUGACCGAAGAGCUCGGCCAAGUCGACACGAUCCUCUCCGAUAAGACCGGGACAUUGACUUGCAACUCGAUGGAGUUCGUGAAGUGCUCGAUUGCGGGGACCGCUUAUGGCCGCGGAAUCACGGAAGUCGAAAAAGCAAUGGCUCGAAGAAAAGGAUCGCCGUUAAUGCAAGAUCUCGAAAACGGGGGAAUCGAUGAUGAGCAAGACGAGGGGAAGACGCCGGUUAAGGGGUUUAACUUCAAGGACUCACGAGUUAUGGAUGGAAAUUGGAUUCGAGAGCCUCAUGCGGAUGUUAUCGAGAAGUUUUUCCGGUUAUUGGCCAUUUGUCACACUUGUAUACCCGAAAUAGACGAAGAAACCAGAAGGAUUACUUAUGAAGCGGAGUCUCCGGACGAGGCUGCAUUCGUUAUUGCCGCAAGGGAAUUGGGUUUCGAGUUCUAUCAAAGGACGCAGACGACCAUAUCUCUUCACGAAUUCGAUCCCAUGUCGGGCCACGUAGUCGAAAGGUAAGUUGAAUUUUUAGAGGAUUUUCGAACAAUGUAGCAACAUUUUAAAUGCCGGUGAGGUAAUAUUCUCGCUUUAUGUUCUUUUUUCUCAUCUUUUUUCGUGUUCGCAGAUCCUAUCGGCUGUUGAAUAUCUUGGAGUUUAGUAGCGCUCGGAAGCGAAUGUCAGUGAUCGUUAGAGACGAGGAGGGGAGGUUACUUUUGCUAAGCAAAGGUGCCGAUAGGUUAGUAAACUAAUGUUAAUCGGCUUCUACGAUUUAGUGAUCUCGAGGCCCUUUUUCUUAUUUUGCUUUUGUAAUUUUUCUUUUUCAGUGUGAUGUUCGAGAGGCUCGCGAAGGAUGGGACAGGGUACGAAGAAGCGACUAGGAAACAUAUCAACGAUUACGCUGAUGCCGGACUGAGAACAUUAGUUCUCGCGUACCGGGAACUCGACGAGGAAGAGUACGAGGAGUUCAAUAGAAGAUUCAGCGCCGCCAAGAACUCGGUCAGCGCCGACAGAGAUGAGAAGAUCGAAGAAGCCGCGGAUAUGAUAGAGAGAGAUCUCGUUCUUCUCGGCGCCACCGCUGUUGAAGACAAGCUGCAAAAUGGGGUGAGUGGAAUUUCCAUCUUUUCUUUGAUUUGGCACGCAAAAAAAAAAACCCACGUAACUUUUUCUCUAAUUUGAUUUGGCCCCAAAUAUCAAAUUUGACACACAAUAUUUGAUGGAGUUUGAGAAAUUAAUGUCGGCGGGUCGACUUGCGCCCGAAUAAAAGUUAACAGGUUUUUAUGAUUUUUUGCGAACGAAUCUAUUUAUUUCUUGUUUAAUUUUUCCUUUUGUUAUGUAUACUGAUUUUUCGUUUUCUCAUAUAUUUAGGUGCCUGAGUGCAUCGACAAACUCGCACAAGCUGGGAUCAAGUUGUGGGUUUUGACGGGCGACAAGAUGGAGACCGCCAUCAAUAUUGGGUUAGUCCGUAGAUUCUAAUUUCGCAUGCAUUUCAAUUUUCUUUUUUUCUAUUUUUGCGACCAUUUUUUUGUAUCCUUUUAUUCUGAUUUUCUUCGUUUCGAAUUUUACAGCUUCGCCUGUAGCCUUCUGAGGCAAGGAAUGAAGCAGAUAAUUAUCACUUUGGAAACACCGGAUAUAAUUGCUUUAGAGAAAAGCGGGAACAAAGAAGCCGUCGCCAAGGUAAUCAACAUUUCCAGUGCUCUUCGAGAAAGCUACUCAUAUAAUAAACCUCGUAAUUUUUAGGGUUGCGAUAUUACUGACGACUGAGAAUACUCGAGAAGCACUUUUUGACAUAGAAGCUUUUUUCCCCCCCUCCUUUUUUGGCGUUGUAGGCAUCGAAGGAGAGUGUUGUGCGGCAAAUAAACGAGGGGCAGAAGCUCGUUAGCUCGUCAUCUGAUUCUUCUUUCGCUCUGAUCAUCGAUGGGAAGUCACUUACUUACGCUCUCGAAGAUGAUGCUAAAAACUCGUUCCUACAACUUGCGAUUAGCUGUGGAUCAGUAAUAUGCUGCCGUUCUUCGCCCAAACAAAAAGCUCUCGUAAGUUCACUACGAUUAUUAUUAUUAUUGAGUAAAGCUGUUUAAAGAAGCACUAAUAGCCUUUUCAUUAGAAAUUCUUCGAUAACUUUUUGUGUCGCUUCUGUUUUCGGAUCCCAAAAGCUCAUUUUAACUUCCUACCGCAGCAGAAGCCCUAUAUAUUUUGUUAGCGGAACACCUGAUUCUUGGUAGCUUCUGCUUUUCAGAGUAGAGAAGCAAUUUGAGAAGAGAAAGCCAAAAACCAAGCACAUAGUUGAAGUCGAUUCUUUUUAACACGAUUCCCAGUAACGUUAUUUCGCGAAAAAAUUACAGGUUACGAGGCUCGUUAAGGAGGGGACACGCAAAGUGACCUUAGCUAUCGGAGACGGUGCGAAUGACGUGGGCAUGCUUCAAGAAGCCGACAUAGGGAUCGGCAUCAGCGGCGCCGAAGGAAUGCAGGUCGGUAUUUAUUUUGCUGUACUGUUUCAGAUAUAAGUUUUAGAUAUUUGUGUUCAUCUUUCAUGCUAAUUUAUUCGGACGAAAAUUAUCCGUUGAGGAAGUAGCGAGAAAACGAAAAGAGCUAAUAACAUUUGAAUUUGAAUUAUGGAUUCAAAAUUUAAUUCUGAUUUCUUAAGUCCAUCCUUAGAAUUAUUUUGAUUUAGUUCUAAAUUUAAAAUUUGAAUUAUAUAUUAAAAUUUUAAGCUCAAAUUGUGGUUCAGAUUAGGAUUCAAAUUUUGGUUACGAAUUUGAAUUUAGCAAAUUUAAAUUUUAAUUAAAAAAUAAAAAUUUUUAAUUUCAAUCUGAGAAUGAUUCUCAUUCUGAUUCUGAUUCCUCUUAUUUGAGCCAAACAAAUUAGGAGUUUUCGAUUCCAGUUCAACUGAGAAUUUAUAGCCGAUUUAUAUAAUAGCUGCGACAUAUUGAUUGCGUCUUUCAUUUUUAUAUUCCUAAUUCAUUUUUCUUUCUUUAAAUCUUUGUGCUUAAUCUCAGGCUGUAAUGUCGAGCGACGUAGCCAUCGCUCAAUUCCGGUUUCUCGAGAGGUUGCUGCUCGUGCACGGGCAUUGGUGCUACCGAAGGAUCUCGUCGAUGGUACGGGCUCGCUUUUCAAUAGAAAUAUAAAAACCAAAUCGCAGAAACCUCCUUAAACUAUCGAGAAACUAUAUAUCACUCCUUUAAACAACAAUACUUCCAUAGCAAUCUAAAUUGAGCAUUGUUUGUGUUCCUUUUUUUUUUUUGUGCAGAUAUGUUACUUCUUCUACAAGAACAUCACGUUCGGGUUCACCCUCUUCUUUUACGAGGCGUAUACGUCGUUCUCGGGAGAACCCGCGUACAACGAUUGGUUCCUGUCGCUCUACAACGUCUUGUUCACGUCCCUUCCAGUGAUCGCGUUGGGUGUGUUCGACCAGGACGUCUCCGCUCGCUAUUGCCUAAAGGUGCUUAAACCAAUCUCUCACUCUAUAAUCCUAAAAAACUCCGUGCUUUCAAAUUGUUUUCGAUGAUGGGACUCUUGCUUUGACAGUCGGUUUCGUUAUGCUUGAUCUAGAAUAUUUUAAGUAUGCAGAAAAUAAAUUUUGUGAUUUUUCGAUAUCAUUUACCUAUUGAUUGAAAGGACUAAAAAUCAACAGCUGAAAACAAAAAUCUCACAAAAGUGGUGUUAUAGUAUAAAAAAAAUUCUAUCAAAAUUUUACUUGGUUUGGGAUAUUUUUAAACCGUUAAACUUGCAGAAUUAUUGAUCCCGAGACUCUUCGAUCACUAGAUAAAUGAUAUUAAAAAGAUUGCAAAUUUUGCUUUUCAAGUACUUCAAAUACUCUUAGAUUAAAUCUAAGAGAGUCGAUCGUCGAUUCUAAAAUUCAUAAACAUUUGUGAAUGAACUGACGGGAAGCGAAAGCACACGAAACGGAAAAGAAAAUCAUGUAGAUUUAACUGUUCAUAUGCAGAUCCUGUAAUUUGAUCUUUGCUUUUAUGAAUUAUAUAUAUAUAUGUAUCACCGAAGCCGCGACCGUAACUGUUUGUUUGUUCUGCUUCUGCUGACGCUCUUUUCCGCAGUUCCCGAUGCUGUACCAAGAAGGCGUGCAGAACGUGCUGUUCAGCUGGACGCGGAUCCUGGGGUGGAUGCUGAACGGAUUGGCGAGCGCGGCCAUCAUCUUCUUCUUCUGCACCCACAUCUUCCAGCACCAGGCGUUCCGGAUCGGCGGCGAGGUCGCGGACUUCAACGUGCUCGGGGCCGCCAUGUACACGUGCGUCGUGUGGGUCGUCAACUGCCAGAUGGCGCUGUCGGUCUCCUACUUCACCCUCAUCCAGCACGUCUUCAUCUGGGGCGGCAUCGCGCUGUGGUACCUCUUCCUCGUCGUGUACGGCGCCAUCUCGCCCGACUACUCGACCACGGCCUACAUGGUCUUCGUCGAGGAGCUGGCCCCCGCGCCGUCGUACUGGAUCGUCACCCUGUUCGUCGUGGUCGCGACCCUCGUCCCGUACUUCAGCUACGCGGCAGUCCAGAUGCGGUUCUUCCCGAUGUACCACAACAUGAUCCAGUGGAUUCGGCACGAGGGCCGCGCUGACGACCCCGAGUACUGCCAGAUCGUCCGGCAGCGGUCGGUCCGCCCGACCACCGUCGGGCUGUCCGCAAGGCUCGACAUGACAGUCAGCGAGCUGGCGCGGAAAGCCCACGACGUGGCGCACGACGUGGUUCACGUGGCGCACGACGCGGUUCACGCGCUGUGACGCCGUUCUGUACAGUCGACAGACACACGAUAAUGACGGUCAGAGAUCGACGGCGCGCUGUGAUGCCGUUCUGUACAGUCGACAGACACACAAUAAUGACAGGUAGAGAUCGAUCGGUCGGUAGCAGCAGGAACGAAGAGAUCGAGGGGUGCGCUCGCGCGCGCACUCAGCUUUUUUUUCGUGGAUUACACUUCCAUUUUUUUCUUUUUUGGUUCUUAGAUGGUAGAUAAAAGUUUCUGUAAAUGGUUGCCUUUUUAUUUAGGGGGGGAUGAGUUUAUACAGGAGGAAUGUAAAUUUUUGGUUCAUGGCCCUUUUGUGGGUCAUUGUUAUUCAUUUUGCACACAUAUAGUUCUUAAUAAAAGCUUAUUUUUAGAAAAUCUUUUUAAUCUUCUUCUUCUUCCCUUUUAAAAAAAAAAAAAAAAUUGUUUCUUGUGGAUAUUUGCAGAGUGCUCCCUCUAUUUUGCCUUUAUUUCAACCACCUCAUUCAUUGUGGAAACUAUUUCAUUGAGAGGAGAAUAAAAAAAAAUGCACAAUGAACUAGAUGAGGAGAAGGGUGUGAGUGAGUGUUAGGUUAGUGAUAUCAAAUUCAUUUAUUAGCCUAAUUGGUUUUGUUUUGGGUUUGGUUCAACAACUCAUGUAAUGGGCUAGUUAGUAUUUGGUUUGGUCUUUAGUUGACCCAUUUGGUAUAUUGGGCCAAGUGGAGUUAAGAGAGAACUCUUUGGUUUAGAGAGAGGGUGUUCUCAUUUUUGCUCUCUAGAUUUUCCCUUUUCUUGUAAUAGAGAAGAGAGGUGUAAAGAGGGUUGGAGAAGGAGCUCUCUUGUUCUUCUUGCUUGAUUCAAAGACUUCCAAGGUAGAUUGGAGGAAUUCUAAGAGGUAUUCCGAAGCGGGAUUCGCGGAAUCGGAAGGUGCUUCAAAGAAGGUGUAGUAAGAAGGAAUUUCCAUUGGAAGGUUGUAAGCCCAUUGUGAUAGAGUGGUAAUCUCUAACCAAAUCUUGUAAUCUCCUCAUUUGAUAGUGGAUUUGAUCUCUCCGUGCCCGUGGAUGUAGCCCGGUUUGGGUGAACCACGUAAAUCUUGUGUUGUUGUUGUGCUUGUGUUUGGAUUUUUCUCUUUCAAAUUCGUUUACUCCAAUCUUGCAUGUCUUGGUUGUGGAUAAUUUAGAUACAUCACAUUUGCUUACUAGUGUGAUUAGUAUCUUGAUAGUGAGGGUUCCGUCAUUAGCUCACUACAGUGAGAAGUGUUAAGUUAUAAAAGAUAUUUUGUGUUUGGUUUGAUAUUUUCUUAUUUUGUUCGGUGUAUCCGAACAUCCAAACACAACGUAUUCGUGAGCCCGGUUGAAUCGUCCUUUUUAUGUACUUAGAAAUUUGGCGAUCGGAUUGAAAGAAUGAUUGGAAGAUUUGAUAAAUUCAUACAGGCAGAUGUUUAGAUGAUGAAAAUAAUAAAGUGUUUUGAGACUUAUCUAAUGCUAGUAGGCAAAGCAGAAUUGGUCUCUCUAUUUUUCAGCAGAAGCACGGAGAAUAAGUUAUAAUCAAAACAUGACAUUGCGCAUAAAAAUUAAUAAAAUAAAAUAUAUUCUUUUUUAUCGUACCUUUUUUUUUAUCGCAAAUAACACAAUCUCCGAAUAGAGCCUUAAAUAAAACUUGAAGACCCAAUUAACAACCUCUUUUUUGUUAACCUUAUUCAUAGGCUAUGAGUGGCCCAAUAAAAGCCCAGUACAUAAUAAAACUAUUUCCUUAAACCAGUUGCACCACGUCAUCAGUGAACAGCUUUAGAUAUCAAUGGACCAGUCCGGUGCACGGAUGAUUUGGUGCACCUGGUGCACGGUUUAUUUAAAAGUAUUUGGGCCGUGUUCUCGGCUUCUUCCCCAAUCGUCUCCGCCCCCAUUUCGAUCGAUCCCCUCCCCGUCCACGUUCGGAGAACGCGAGAGCUCGCUAGGGUUCCCAUCAAUGGCGCUCUACGGUCGCCUCCGAUCCGGUCUCCCCCUCUUCCGCAGGCUCCUCAGGCCCGAAUCCAUUGUCCCCCUCCGCUCCCUCGCCGAUCCCGGCCUCGGAAACCCUAAUCUCCCGAUCUCUGAGGUGAAUCCGAUUCUUUUGCUGUGGAUCACAAUCGCCUUUCUGCUUUGAUGCUUCCGCGCCGUUAAUGCUCUAGAUCGUCGUCAUUUUUAGGUUUUUCGGUGAGAAAGUAGUGAUCGAACUGAAUUCGUAGGGUUGGCGAAGUGGAUAGGUUUCUAUCUUUUGAGACUUGAAUCCAAUUCAAGUGUUAUAAUUACAGUAGCCUUUUGCAUUUUGUUGUUUCCGGAUCGAAAUUGAGUGGAUUCGAUCUAGUUCUUAAUCUCAGCGGCAACUCCGGUGUUUUAUUUAAGUUUUUUAAAUUCUUUUUGGUGAGAAAUUUCUUGAACAAAUUUGUAGGGAUGAUGAUGCUGUGAUUGCAAUAGUGUUUCCUUUCGAUGUUUCGGGAUCAACAAUGGUUGGAUUUGAUAUUUGUUCCUACUAUUUGCUGCAGUUUCGGUGUAUUUUUAACGAAAUGAACAUUUUUGCUUUUCGUUUUUCCCUUUAGUGAGAAAGUUGUUGAACUAAUUAGUAGGGAUGAUGAACUCUAGAUGUUUCUGUUACAAUUACUUUUCUCUUUUAACACUUCUAGAUCAGCAAUGGUUGGAUUAAUCUUUGCUACACUGUUGGCGUCUCUUAUUGAUGAAGUUGGAAUCAAUCUUUUUCCUACUCAAACUAGAUUUGUUGGGAUGAUGAAGUUGAGAGGUUUUGGUUCUGAGUGCGCUAUGUGCAAUAUUAUGCUUAUUAUAUUAUGGUUUCUUUUUUUAUUUUGGAAAAAACUAAUCAUUUUAGAUUGUUUCUUGGAUAUGCUUGUUGUGAUUUGUUAAUUUUUUAUAUCCAUUUGUUUUGCAAGAUCUGAUUUCUCGGGAUAUUCUUCUUGCAGGGUUCGAGGAACUUUGCUACCCAGACAAAGCCGACUGAAGUGAAAACUAAGGUUAGGGCAGGACUAUUUAUCUGGACAUAUUUUAUAGUUUAUGAUGGAAAAUGGAAGUUUUUGUUAUCUUGUCUUAACUUAAGUACUCUCUUCUUAAUUUUUGCCCUUGAACCACAGGUUCCAUUAUCACUCUUUGGUGGAUCAGGAAAUUAUGCUUCUGCCUUGUUCCUUGCAGCCUCAAAAGCAAAUAUCUUGGACAAGGUCGAGUCUGAGAUCCUCGAUGUCGUUGAGGCUUCCAAGAGGAGUCCAGUGUUUUCACAAUUCAUAAAGGACUUAUCUGUGCCAAAAGGAACAAGGGUAAAGGCUAUAAAUGAAAUAUUUUCUGAAGCAGGGUUUUCAGAUGUCACCAAAAACUUCCUGGGUAUGCUCUACUAUAUGAUUGCACAUAAAUUCCUGUAUGGCAUAAGGUCUUACCUUGUAGUAUAUAUUGGUGAAUUUUGCACCUUCAAUGCAAGAAAGGAGAACAACAUGAAGUAUGUUAACUUAAGCAAGCUUUUGUGUGGAUCCUUCAGUCACAUAUUUGGAGGGUAUUUAGAUUCGGUGAACCGUAUGUAUUACUAUGCUUUGCAUGUGCAUCUGCUGUAUGAUGUUUAUGCAUUGCGUUGGACUCAUGUUACUCAUUUAAUAGCUUGUCUGGUCAUAUUUUUGCUUGCUGUAAUAGUUAUUUCUAGUGUUUUAUUGUUCUUCGAAGGAUUAAACUGAAAUUUUGAAAUAAUACACUGCCACAACUAUAUUUACACGAUAGGUUAGCCCUGAAUAUUAGUAAAUAUAUUUACCUAUUCAUUCUCUAAGGUCAACUUGAUCUUGAACUGCUGGGUGUAAAAUUUGCUUGGCAACGUGAACUGUCUAUUACUAAGAAAUUGUUAGUUAUCUUAGUUGCAUUUCUUGCGUGAAAAAUAUUUACAAUAGUCAAGGUGCAACAAGAACUGUUGGAGUCUUGAACCUGUAGGUUUACAAUUUAACCUCGGCUUCAAGGUUGUCAAGGUGGAUUGGUGAUCCCUAGGUGGUGGGGUCCUAUUACUGUGUUGGUAUCUUAGGCGAGGUCAUAGCAGUCGGGUAGUUUCAUAGUGUAGCGUCUACACAUGUAAUAACUUCAUGAUGUUUACAUGUCCUUUUUUUUGUUCAAUACUACAGUGCGUCUUCUUUUUUUAUUUCGGUAAUAAAUAAACCUCUAGUUUCUGAUUUCAUUUUUUUCCUAUUUUGUAAAGCUGUGUUAGCGGAUAAUGGUAGGCUGAAAUAUAUUGAGCGCAUUGCUAAGAGAUUUGUUGAUUUGACAAUGGCACACAGAGGAGAGGUGAAAGUCAUCGUCACAAGUGUAAUUGUAAGUUGAUCUUCAUAAUCAGUUAUAUUUGCCUAUGUGAUGGUUGAUUGACGCUCUAAAGAAAAUACUAUGCCAACAAUUGCUAUUAGUACUUCAAAGGUAAUAAGCAUCUAUUGCCCUGUAACAACGCAGCUUUUCAUAAAUGAUGAAUAAUAAAACAUGUAGAUGCAUGUCGAAUUCCGAUUCUGGCUUUUUGAUGACUGCAUCUAAGUUUGAGAGAGGAUAAUUGUUUUCCAGUUGAUUUUUCCAUAAAAAGAGGAAUAAAAUUACAUCUGUUGUAUUAGUCUGUGUAACAUCUGUUAACCUGGCUUCUUGUGAAAACUGAAAUCACUUGUUCUGAACAACUAAUUCAUUUUAUGUUAGUUGUUUCAUUUAGAUUGAACUUUGAUCUUAAUAACAAUCCUUUGUUUAAGUCAUACUUCAACUAGCUACCUUGGGCAAUAUGUGAAGAUCUCAAAGUAAAUUCGUCGAGAAUCUAAAAAGUUUAUCGCAAGUUUUGUAUAAUGCCUUUAGAAUGCUGAGGUGAAUUGAUUUAAAUUUCCGAGGACUUCUGAUUCAUCUUCUAGCCUGUUCCCUGGGAACUGAAUCAGUUUAUUCUAUAUUGAUCUAGCAAAGAACAAAAACUUUUCAUGAACUUUUCUGUUCUCAGAAUAUUUCUCCAAAUUUCUCACUAUUCUAUGAAUUUUGAUGUAAAUAUCAUGGAAAAUUAUGGAUGACAUUUGAAUUAGUCAACUAUUCUAGUAUUUUUUACAGUAGUUGUUGCCCAUUGAAUUUUCCAUAUGUUUUAAACUUUAGUUAACAUGAAAUAUGAAGAAAGAUCGAAUUGGCCUAUAAGAAGUUUACAUUAUAUAUAUGGGUAAAUUACACCUUUGGUCCGCAAACUAUGAGAUGCUUGACACUUUGAUCCUCAAACUUUAAUUCUUUGCAAUUUCUAGCUUGAGCUUUGUUAAUUGUUGCAAUCGACUCCCACAAUCCAAUUUAAUUGGUUAAAUAUUGAUGAGUUGCUAAUGUGGAAGUGAUGCUACAUCUUUUUUUAUUUUCACAUCAUUACUUACAACACUGCUACAUAAUUUUCACAUUCAAUAAAUUAAAGUUUGGAGACCAAAGUGUCACGCUCCUCAUGUUUGAGAAAGUUUAAUUUACCAUAUAUAUAUUUUGGUGCUAUAUAUAUACAGUUAAUUAAAUCUACCUAGUGGCUAUUCCUUUCAGAAUUCUUUGAAUUUUUUUUUUUGGUGAAUUUUACCUGAAUGCAGAACUUGUGACUAUAUUUCUUACUUAUAAGAGAUAUAACCCUCUAUCUACCUAUUAUUAUUGGUUAACAUAGGUCAAUUACCACUUAAAUAUUUUAAGUUUUCUAUGAAUAAUCAAAUGUUGCCCUAAACAAACAGCUAUUUACUACGUUUUGCAUUUUUGUUCCCAGCCACUUCCCGCAGAAGAGGAAAAAGAGCUUAAGCAAACCUUGCAAGAUAUUCUUGGACAAGGAAAAACUGUGAAGGUUGAACAGAAGGUAAUAAAUCACCUAUUUCGUUCUCAAGGGGUAUGUGUUUUGAUCUAAAAUAAAUUGAUAAUGUUAAUGUUAUUGUGUUUUCCUCUCCUUUUAACAGAUCGAUCCAAGCAUCCUCGGAGGACUUGUGGUUGAAUUCGGGCAAAAGGUCUUCGACAUGUCGAUAAGGACUAGGGCGAAACAAAUGGAGAAGUUAUUGAGGGAGCCUCUCCAUGUUUGAUAGCUUUUAUCGAACAACAUGUGGGUAUGUAUUUUCCGCCGCAGCUGCAACUCAACUUCUUUUGGUACUGUAAUAAAAUUAUCAAAAAGCAGGGCUCUCUAUCGAGUCGCUGCCUUGCACUAAAGUUAUGCUACCUUCUUUUGAUUGGCAAUCCGAUAAAUUCAAUUUAACCAGAUUUGGGGUUCUAAAUUUGUUAUUUUGAAUGAAAUUUGAUUGGCUUUUACAUUUAGUUAUGUUUAGACUCCACAACAACUAGAAAGGAUGCUUUUUGGAUAGACAAGCAUUUCUAUGUUCAAGAAACUCGAAUCACAUGAAAUCCGACUUAUAAUCGAUCGAUUGAUCGAUCAACUGUGUACUCUUUUGUGCUUUACACAUUUCCUUUUUGGUUUUGGGGGUUGCUUGUGUGGAUGUUUUCACUGUGUUUCUCUCUUCCUUUUCAUUUAGGGUGUUUUUGGUUCCACGUAAAACUGUAGAAAAAAAAAAAAUUGGUGGAAAAAAUAUUUUACAUCAUUUAGCGUUUGGUUCAUAGGAAAAGAAAAAUAAUUUUUCAUAAUAGUUGUGUUUUUUUGAAAGAAAAAAAAAAAUAACUAUUUAAUAUAUUUUUUUAUUAUAUAUAUUAUUAAUGUAUAAUAAUUACUAUUCUAUAUAUAUUAUUAUUAUUAUAAUUUCUAUUUAUAGAUUAAGUAUAUUUAAAAUUAUAAUAAACAUAUUACAUAAUAUAAUAUAUAAGAGAGUUAUAUAUUUAGGUAUAUUAAUAAAUAAUUACAAAUUUAUAAAUAAAAUACUAUAUAAUACUAUCUCAUACUAUAUAUAUAAUAAAUAAAUAAAUAUUUAUAAAUAAAAUUUUAUAUAUAUAUAAUGAGAGGGAUACAGUCCACGAGGCCGAAGUGGCCAUGUAUGUAAAAUUAUUUUUCACGGAAAUUUUUUUUAUACCGAACCAAACAGGUCACAAAUUAUUUUUCUGUCGAUUUUUUUUUUUUCCACUUGCUUUUACAUCAAACCAAGCACGCCUUUAAUGUUCCCAUUUGCUUUGUAGAAGCACUGAUUUUUAUUAUUUUCAAAAACAAUUUAGCUCAAAAAUAAAUGCGAGUUAAUGCUUCGAAGAAGCGCACCCAAUAAGUAUGCUCAUUUAUCAAAAAAUCAGCUUAAGAAAAACAAAAAACAUAGUAUAUGCAGCAGCAAUCACCAGUAAACAAACAAUCUAAAAUAAGUUACCAUUUCUGAAGCAUGUUAUUAUUAUAAAAAAUAAAGAACAAUAUUUAUAUGCCAAGUUUGUAGCACUUCAAUUUACUUGAAAAUGACAUAAAAAAAAUUCCACAAAAACAGGAAUCACGAAAUUAAAGACCCGUAUAUAAUCCUCUGUUUUUUUUUUCUUUUCUCUUGACAAAGACAAAGACCAAUAACACAAAAGGCGCGAAAAACAAAUACAAGCAUGUUCAAAAUUCUCUUCGACUCGCUGCCAGGCUAGAUUGGCUGUAAUCCGAGCUGAACUCCUGGCUACCGAACGCAAUCCGCUGAAACAUUCUGAUGUCAGCCGUGUUCGCGACGUUGAACAUCUCGCUCUUCCCGGGCUGAACGCCGUUGUUUAUAUCGACUUCGACUAAGCUGUCGAGAACCCUCACCACCUUACAAGAGCCAAAAAAAAGAAAAAAAGAAAAAAAAAAAAGAGAAAUUGAGAAAAAGCGCGAAAUUAAUUCCACACAAGAAGAAAAGUUCCUAUCUGACGAAAUGAGAUACUGAAGUGCUAUUACUUGGCUCAUUUUGGGCCUCCUCGAAGCCGAAUGGCGAAUGCACGCCGCGGCCGCUUCGAUCAUGCGGAACAUCUCGACUUCGUUGUAGUUCUUUUGAAGCCUCGGGUCGACUAACUCUUCGAAUUUUCCGCUCUCGAGUGCUUCGUUCAGUAGCGGCCUUGCCUGAAAAGAUAUCAAAUAAUCGCUAAAUCAUCAACUUGUUUCGAACCGAAAUUUGUCGUAUAUACAUAUAUAGCAAAAAAGAUACAGUUUUGAGUUCUUCAUAGAAUGCGCAAACACAAAUUACACAAACAAUUCAACCAUAGUGCCACUAAGGUUAUAAAAUAAAAUACUAUGCGAGUACUAAACUAUGUUAGAUACUUUAGGAUGUAAACAUAUGGAAACUUCAAAAUGUUCCAUAUUCAAAGUGAUUAUUUAAUAAGCAAUAGAAGCAUGUAUCAAUUUUCUCCGAUUCUCGCCCAUUGUAAAUAUGUUAACCAGGGAAACUAGAUGGAAAAGAAACAAAUGCAAAAAUGUCAUAGAAUCAAAUUUAGGGUGUGGCGGUGAAGCUGGCCGUAAAAAGAAUAUGGUUUGAAAUACCAACAAAGAGGAAAAAUGACAAGAAAAAGAAGUUUAAAUGAUAGAAAGUUAAAAUUUGUAAUUAUUUUCCAUGACUGUAUAUAGAGUUCAUGUUUACAUUUGUUAGACCAACUAGCUCCACUAGCACAUUACUGCAGUUUCCUCACCACACUAGGGUGAAAAAUAUAUAGUAAAAAUAUACAGAACUUACCUGAACUAUGGACCAUUUUGAAUCGACUACCCAACCUUUUAAAAUUUUGAUUUUACUACUCAAUUUGCGUUAGGCAAUGGUAAUUUGACUUUAAAAUUUAAGUUAAUUACUUACUUUAAUCAGUUUAUAGUUGCGAGAAUUGCAUGAAGCAUACUAAUUAAAUCUGUAAGGAUAAACGACGCAUUCAAAUUUUGAAAUCAAAGUGCUGUAAAUGACUGACUCGGAUCAAACAAAUUAAAAAGUUGAGUACUAAAAUCAAAAUUUUGAUAGGUUGGGUAGCCAAUUCAAAAUAAUCCAUUAGUUUAGAUAAAUUCUGCACGAUUUUACCUCAACAUAUUUGCAAAGUUCCCUCUUAUUUCAAGCAUGCAAGCUAAUUUUAGCAACUGAAACAAAAUUUCAGAUAAGAGGAAAAGAAUAUAUAUAGAGAGGAACAAAAAUAACUAUUAGAGCUUACCCACUCAACAAGGCUCUCAUCACCCAAAGGACGGGAUGCGUCAACGGGUUUCCGUCCAGUAAUAAGCUCUAAGAGCACAACUCCGAAAGAAAAUACAUCGGAUCUUUCCGUCAGUUUCCCAGACGACGCAUACUCCGGAGCCAAGUACCUGAGAAAUUUCAAAAAGCGUAAUUGUAAUAAUGUAAUUCAUAAGUUCAUACACUUUCGAACUAUAGGAGUAUUCAUAUAUGUAAAUUUCCGAUUCUAUAGGUUUAUAUAUGCAGUACCAAGUUUCGCAGAGAUAUGUAAGUGAACAGCUUAUUUUGUAAGGUAAAUAUAUGUGAAAUAAGUUAUCGUACCCAAACGUCCCCAUCACGCGCGUAGAUAUGUGCGUGACAUUAGUAUCGGCCAACCUCGCAAGCCCAAAAUCAGCUACCUAUAUAUAUAUUUCGCAAAUAUAAGUUAGAAAAAAAUGCAUAGCCACUUAAGUUAUGCAAAAACUUAAUCUACAAUGACCUGAGCUUCAAAGUUAUUAUCCAGUAAAAUAUUGGAGGACUUUAUGUCCCUGUGAAUAAUCCGUGGGUGACCUGGCAAAACAAGAAAAAAGUUUUUUUAAAAAAAAGAUUAAAAAAAAAAUAAAAACAAUAGGAGGAGACCAAGCAAGAUACAAAGAAUCAAAGAUAUUAAAUUCAAUCAGCACUCAUGAUAACUACUACAUGAAUAGUUUUAAGUUAGUUACUAGAAAAUUUAGAAUAAGAGUGGUUAUUACAAUCCUCAUGUAGAUAAGCUAUUCCGCGCGCUGAGCCUGCCGCAACCUUAACCCUAAUUCCCCAUCCCAUCACCGGCCUUCCUGGCGCUGCAAACACAAAUCCAAAGUCGACAUUUUUCUUAGUUUCAUAAUGUAUAUAACAUAGUCGACAUACCAUAAACAUGAACAAUAUACAAGUCGACAUACCGUAAAGAUGAUAAUGAAGCGUGUUAUUAGGCACGUAGUCAUAGACGAGCAAUCUCUGGUUCUCGGCUAUGCAAUACCCUACAAGAGAUACCAAGUGCCGGUGGUGUACACGGCUUAUGAUCUCAACCUCGGCUUGGAACUCGCGCUCCCCUUGUCCACCUCCAUCUUUUAGCUGCUUCACGGCCACCUCUCUCCCGUCGGAUAAGCAACCCUUGAACACACAGCCAAAACCGCCUUCCCCUAAGAGGUUCUGGCGCGAUAAGCCAUUGGUUAUCUGAUACAACUCCUCGUAGGGAAAGCACUUUGUAUUGCCCACGCUUAGGUCGGUCACCGACGACUGGAUACGUUGACUACCGAAUCCUCUACUUCCGAUGCUGUAGUUGCUGUAUCCAACCGAGGGGGAUCGAAGUGGUGUUUCUCCUUUCGAAUACCCUGUUGAGUCGAUUAAUCAGUUGAUAGCAUGAUACAAAAUGGUUUUACAUUUGAACCAUAAAAGUAAAUAUUAAUAGCUUGCAAAGCAUAUGAUGGUACGCUUUACUGCUUUUAAUUUCGUCCUGAACCUUUUAAUUGUGAUAGUUGGAUCCUUAUCUUUCCGCUUAUUACAAUCAUACCCAUUUGCCUAAAUUUUUAUGUCAAAUUGGAGAGAGAUGUGCGCAUAAUUGUCAUAUAAAUGCAACAUAAGCAACUUUGAGACUUCCCAUACGGCGAUUACCAACCAUUUCUGUCAAAUUUUAACCCAGGAUUUCAAUGUAAAAGGUAAGAUGCAAAUGAAACCUCCUUAAAACUACAAGUGUUAAUGAUGAUACUGAAACAUAAAUGAGCAUACGUCACAAAUGAUAAUGUAAAAUGGUUACGAGAGGGUUCUGGGGAUUACCCGACAUGUCUGAGGAAGCAUAAGGCGAAGGCGUCACGAACCCUGGAUGAUAACCGUCAUUUGGCUUUCUCCGCUUCUUCACAAACCACACAGCCACUCCUACCAAACUAAGUAUGAGAAAACACAUCACGACGGCAAUAGAUGCAGAAGCUCCGGGACUAAGCCCGCCACUCGAGGGGCUGCUCCCUCCGGAAUCGACAUUUGAAUUCGACGGCUUGUUCGAACUUGGGUUAGUUGCAGUUGCCGGAUCACUGGGAGGAGGAGGACGAGGAGGAGGAUAUAGUAAACCAGGAGGAGAAAGCUUGGACGGCACGGACGAGUUGGUUGAAAUUGGCGGGGGAGGAGGGAGCGAAGGGGGCGGCGGCGAGGGGAUAGAAGGAGGUGAAGGAGAGGAUUGUGGCGGAGGCAAACUUGUGGCCGGUGGCGGCAGCGGCGGCGGCGGCGGUGGUGAUUGGAGAUCCGAAGGUGUCGGAGGGGAUGCAAUAAUUGGCGGGGGCGCCGAAACUAUCGGUGGUGGUGGGGUGGCGUCGGAAGGUGGCGGAGGAGAUGAAGAAGGUGGCGGAGAAGACAAUGUGGUAGGAGGAGGGGGACUAGAAGAAGGCGGCGGCGGCGGUACUACGAGCGGCGGCGGAGAAGCGGCGAUAGGUGGAGGGGAAUUCAAAUCCGGUGGCGGCGGUGAGACCACCGUCGAUAGAGGAGAGGUCAAAGGAGGCAGAAGAGAUGAAGAAUCGGGGGGCGGAGGGGACGAAGGAGAAGAAUUGGGGGGCGGAGGGGACGAAGAAGAAGAGGAAUCAGGAGGCGGAGAGGACGAAGAAGAGGAAGAGUCGGGGGGCGGAGGCGGAGAAGAAGAAGAAGAAGAAUCGGGAGGCAGCGCAGAGGCCAUCUCCUUCCCUUCAACUAAUACACACACAAGAUUAGCACCUAAAUUCUCAAAGAGAACUCAAAACUGCAUGAACCUCAACUUCUCUCCACUAGAGAAGACCCAAAUUUGUUCCUUUUCAAAGCAUACCACAAUCAAUUACCAACUAAAGAAUGAAACUACCAAUGCCUCUAUUGCUUAGAUUAGCAAUCAAAAUCCAAUCUCUAUGCACUAAGUUGAGGAACCCACAUCUCCUAACACUCAUUACAACAACAAUUAGUUGGAAGGGGCAAAUAAGCAAACACCUGGAGUGCAAAAAAUUCCUCUAUCCAAAAUAAAGAACCACUACACAAACAAAAACCCAAUUUUUACACCAUUUCGUAAUAGAAAACGACCACCCAAUCCAUCAAUGCCCAAAUACCCAACAUUUGAUCCAUCAAAAUCAAAACUUGGCUAAUGAAAACACCCCAAAAUACCACCUUUCCCCCAAAAUCAGAUCCCAAAAUGGCUCUUGAACCCCAAGUUUGGUUGAUAUAAGCCCAGAUGAAGCACCCAAUCAACAAAAGAAAUGGGCAAUACAGAUCAUAUGAAGGGACCAACCAAUUAUGCAUCAAUCUCUCUCUCUCCCUCCCCCCCUCUUCGUGCCAGGUCCAACGCUUCUCCAUCAUGGUUUUCAUGGAAACGUGCAUGCAACUCAGCGGAAUCAGAGAGAGAGAGAGAGAGAGAGAGAGAAAUAGAAUUAUUAUAGUCAUUUCUAUUACCUUAUUGUAUUAUGGUGAAAAUGUAUGGAGGACCCCUCAACUAUAGGCUAAUUUGAAAUGAACUCCUCAACUUUAUUUUUAUUUUUUUUGGGGUAAAAAUCAAAAGAACUUCUCUAAACUAUGAAACAUUUUGAGUUUGCUAACACUUUGAGUUUGCUACGCAAUCUUUGAAUUUUUUAGUUUUACUACACGACCUUUCAAUUUAUUUAUUUGAGUCGGUAACGACACUUUAACUUUAAAUUUUAAAUACAUUGUUUAUUUUUACAAGUUUAGUUAGUGUAUUUAAUACAAUUCUCGCAACUAUAAAUUAAUUAAAAUUAAGUAAUAAACUUAAAUUUUAAAGUCAUAGUAUUAUUGACCGACUGAAAUUAAAUAAAUUGAAAGAUUUGGUAGCAAAAUCAAAAUUUUAAAAGGUUGAGUAGUUGAUUCAAAAUGGUCUAUAAUUCAAAUAAAUUCUGUGCGUUAUUAUCUAUUAAAUGAGCUUCUAAAUUUUCUUUUUAAGUUAAGUUUUUAAUUAAUUUAUAGUUGAUAAAUUUUCUUGAUACAUUUGUAACGUAACGAAAAGUCAAGGGAUCUCAAUCCAAAAAAAAAAGUUGAGGGGGUCUCCAUACAUUCUUACCUCAUCAUAUUAUAGUAGCUUAGAAGUCGCUAAUGAGUUAGUCGCCUCCCUCCUAACUCCCACUGUUAGCAACUGAGAAUUAAUUUCCCAAAAAUAAAUAUUUAUUUUCUAUUAAUUAAUAUAGUAAAUUUUACAAAAGUUAUAUACAAAAAUCAUAACCUUUAAAAAUAUUUUGUCUAAAUAUUAAGCAGUCCAAAAAAAUAAAAAUCCAAAAUUGGAGCGGCGCCAAUAAUCUCAAGAUGGAGAAAGUUAUUGUCUAAAGCUAGAUGUCCAAAUGUCUAAUGUUUUAUUUAUAUAUAAAUGAUGCACAAAGUUAGAACUCUAUUCUAUUUGGAGUGGUAUCUUACUGAUGGCUCGGGACUUUUUUGAUACUGAAUUGCUCUGAAUCUAUGUAUUGUUGUGUCGGGCAACAUUUUCUAGAUGAACCGCCCAACACUGCUCGUCAGUCUGGACUGUUAGCUUAAAUCGACCAGCAUCCUGUUUUGUAGUGGUAAGCCGAGUGGACUAAAUCACGUUCGAAAUUGCAUGAGGCCUGGUUGGGCUGAGUCAUGUUUGAAGUAGCGUGAGGCUGGAUGGGCCGAGUCACAAUCGAGAUCUAUAGCCGCUGUGUAUACACGUUUUAAGUGGAUUAGUUGCAUAUUUCUAAUAAGUCGAGCUUUUGAGAUCAUUGGUUAGCGCCAACGAUCAAACGUGAACCAGAUCGUGGAAUGAUACGCUUAGCUUUGUACCAGCUCUUUUUUUUUUAAUUUUGUUAAAAAAAUUAUAAAAUGUAAAUUUUUUCUACGUGUUGAUGAGUAUUUACUCUUUAUCGGAGCAUAGCAUGAGUACUGUUGCACCUGUUCCCUGCCGGCGAGAAAGUCAGCUGUGUCACACCUGUACCACAUCAUAAAAAACAAGCCAAUUACAUAUAUUCUUUUGAACAAAAAGUACAACAAAAAUAUUUUUUUUUUAUAAUCAUGAUGGGACAGAUUUGUUAGAAACACUAUGUUAUCAAUAUAACCGGCGCAUUCUAAAACUUUUUUGUGCGGGCACUGAUAUUUAUAGGCCGAAUUGGGCUCCCCUUUCUGGGAUGGCUCAGCUUGGCACGAUUUUGGAUCAUGCCGUGUCACAUCCGUUCAGCACCAACAUAUGGGCUUGGAUCGACCUCCUUCCAACAAAACAAGGCCCACAACAGGCCUGGGCCAUUGUCGAGUUAAGGAGUUAGCCCGUAGUCUGACACGACACGGCACGGCACAACACGGUACAAUCUCGACACUUAAGCAGAACCUUCGCCUUGGUCUUUGAAGGGCUCAAUGUCUCUCGGAUAAAAGCCUAGCAGAAAUUAUAUUAUAACUAACUAAUUAUAAUAUUUAUAAUGUGAUAUUAUUUAUGAAAAUAAAUAAAACUGUAUUGUAAAGCAUAGCAAAGACAAAAUAAAGUAGAAGUUAAAUAACUUAAUGCCAAGCUCAAAUUUCAUUAAUUUUUCUAACUAAUUAACAUUUAAUAUUAGGAUCAAAUAACUUAAAUACUUCUAAAUUUACAAAGCUAUUGAAAAAGUAAAACAAAUAAUUAUAAACUUUUAAUCGCCAAAAUGGCUGUUACCAGCUACAAUUAGUUACAAAACUUUUUUGGAAAUAAUGUGGCCGAUUAAAAUUUAAAAAACGAAUUGGGAACUCAUUAUAAUGAUUUUUAAAAACUUUUUGUAGAGUUUAAAUGUUGAACUAUAAUUAAUCUAAAUUCCAGUGAGUUUUUUUUGCAUAUUUCUCCCGCUAUAAAUAUCCCAUUUGUCCCUCUCCUCCUCGUCACACAUUCUCUCUCUCUCUCUCUCUCUCUCUCUUUCUCUCUCUCAUGAGUCGUGCUUCGUCUCUUCUCUCUCCCGUGAGAUGGGGAAACCCCCUCUCCGUCUAAACUGGGGGGAGCUUCUCCCCGCGAUGGGCGACGCCGCGCCGGCGCCGGAGUUGGAGAUCGUCGCCGCCUCCUCCGCCGCCGCGCCGUCCACCUCACCCACCGUCGACGACGGCGGCGGCGGCGGCGGUGGGGAGGAGGAGGCGUCGCCACCGCGGCCGAGGCCGCCGCCGGAGGAGGGGGAGAUGGCGGAGUUCUCCGAUCAUCAGCUCCAGGAGAAGCUCAAGCGGGUCCUUGAGAUCUUCUCCUCCGGGCUCGCCCUUAACCUCCCCGACAAGGGCGAGAAGCUCCGCCUCACCCUCCGCCGCCUUCAGCUGGAGCUCGAUCGGCGGCGCUUCCCCCCUCCGGCGCGGAAGGUACAGGGACGAAACCCUAGUCCGAUUUGGUAAUGCAUAGAGAUUUCUAGGGUUUCUUUCGUUGUCACCAUGUGGGUUUUAGGGUGUUGAGGAUUGGUGCAUCAACAUUCGCUAUUCUUGACAAAUUUUGUGAUCAUGGUCAUGGUGAUAGAUAGAAUCUUUCUUGUUAGGAGUAGAGAGCAAAAUGGGUAGAGACAUGGGAGAGGAUGUCUUUGUACUCGCUGAAGGUGACAGAGUUGUAUAAGAAACAAAUUUCACUUUGGUAACGCAUACUGAUAUCUAGGGUUUGGGGUUUUAUGAUCGGGCAAGGCAUAAAGUUAGAAUACUGAGAACUGGUGCUUCAAGAUUUGAGAUUCUUAACGACCGUGUCUCCGCACAGGAUGGUAGAGAGAGGUUGGAGAGGGUGUCUUUGUUCCAGGUUGAGGUGACAGAGUUGGUUUGGUGGGUUUAAGAGAAGCUAAUAGAUGGUUUGGGAUGUAGUUCUUAGCAAAAGAAAGUUUCAUUUUUCUCUUUUGUUUUAAUUAUUUAGCGCAUAAAAGAGAGGCAAGUGAAAGAGAGAAGAGUGAAAGAGAGAAGACGAGGCAAGUAGAAAAGGGCAUCAGAAUGCAUGAUACUUGGUAGUUAUAUUCUACAAUUGGAGGAGUGGAAAAAGAUGAAGUUGAUCAUCGAAUCAUGAGAGAAACGAGGCAUGAAAUCUGCACUUCUCAAUAACUCUUUUGCUUAGCAUGCUAAAGGGCACACGACUGACGCUUUCUUUAUAUAAUAACCUAGAAAGAAAUGUAGUUUAGGGUACCCAAAAAGAAAACAACCCUUACUUCAGGCAGCAAAUAUAGAUGGUAACAUUAAGUUUAUUGUAUCGGCCACUUAAUCUUUUGGCAAAUUCUUUUCUGCAGGAUGCCAGAAGAUUCGAUAGGCUCAUGCAACCAAGAAAUGCAGAAUCAUCUGGUGGGUAAAAUACUAAUUUAUUUCAUAUAGAAGAUUCUAGUUCUUGCAAUCUUCUGUUGGUUAUUUAAAACAGUAACAAGAAAACUUUGAGGAGUUUUUCCUUUUAAUUUCUCUGAUGCGCUCGCUAUUUUGUAAUUUGUAUCAAAAGUUUGUCAAGUUAUCUUAUGCUUUAUGCACGAUACUGUGAUUAUUGUUAUCAUCUGGUUCAUUUUCCAAGAUCCUGAUGCUUAAUCAACUUCCAGGCACUACUAAAUAUUCCUCUUUAAAUCGUAUAAUGAUGGAAUCUGGUCCACAAUCUUCAUUUUCUAAGCACUGCAUUAAAAGCUCAAAGAAUGAGGUAAUUGUUACCGUCAUACAGUACAUCAAUUCUGUUAUAUAUUCUGGCAAAGACAUUUUCAUUUUUCGUUUAUCAGGCAGAUGUUGCAUUCAGUGAGGACUUGGGGAUCCUUAGUCGAGAUAAGUGCAACAGCUCUUCGGAAUAUGAGCUAAAAACGCAUGACGAGAAAGAUUCUGCUAAACCAUUUUCAAGACUAGGGAGAACUUCUUCAAGAGAAUCACCUUCUAGAUCUGUUAACAGCUAUGCGGAUAAAGAAAAAAAUAGAUCAUCGGAUGAUAACAACAGGGAUGUGAUAUUGUCAAGUACUUCUUCUAACACAGAUAAAAAUCAUUGUACUCUUUCCGCUAGAAGGUCAGUUCUUACUUGCCCUCUAUGGGUUUCUCACUGAAACACUUUGUUAGGGUUUGCGAAGAAUUUGUUAGAUGAUUGCGCUGCCUGUAGAUUCAGUUUAUUUCUGUUCUACACGUAACCAUGUUAUUUAACUUUUCUACUUUGUCAUGCUGGAAAUUGUGCGUGUGUUAUCUAUUUGCUUUCGUGAUAAGUUAGGCUUGCUUGUAUCUUGGCUUAAUUAGAGAGUAACAGUUAAGUAAUUGAAUGCAUUAUUUCUUUCCAUUACUAGUAGUUUUUCUAGGAAUGUUCUAAUCUUGCAUAUAUUGUCCUUAACCAAAAUAGAUGACAUUUCAAGCGUUAAACGAAUACGUGUAACACUGUCAAAGCAAACUGCUAGUUUCAACCUCAUUAUUAUAUGUUUAUAUCAUCUUAUGGUGUCGGUUAUGCUAAGUUGCCGUGAUGUAUUAUGCUCCUAAUAAAAUUAAAAAAAGGGAGAUAAGAAUGCAUCUUGCUUGUUGCUGGACUGAGUCUCUCUCGUGAAACGGAUUUAACACACUAUAUAUUCUUGUAUUUAUAUAGUAUUCUUGAACAAAGAUGGAUUUGUAGUACAGUUUUAUUAUCUACAAACUAUGAUGCACAAGUGCAGUUUCAUAAUCUACAAACUAUGAUGGCUUUUGUUUGAGUGUAGAAACUGGAGUACAGUUUCGCAACCAAUUAUUAUUCACUAGUUAUCAUGGUGCUCUACUUACAUGGUGGAAAUGCUUCUCUUUUUUUUUUUUUUUUUUGGUCAGGAAAAGAAGAACUGAAUUUGGGGACUUGGUGGGAUUGAAGUCACAAAAGGUGUGGUUGCUUUCUGAGACUUUUGAUCUAUUUAGUCAAAUAGCAUGUUUGAAGUGUCUCCCCCAACUCAAGUCAUUAAGUUGUUUCAAUUUGUCUUUAAUUUUAGAUUGUUUUCCCUUAGCCAUUCAAGGGAUACCUGUAGAUUCUCUUUGAUGCUUACUAUUUCUUCUUUCCUUUGGUUUUUUGCUUGGAUUAGAUGCACUCUGCAUCUCCUAUUUUCAAAUUAUCAAGCCUCAUCAAACUUUUGCCCUCGCUCUUUACUUGCUCUAUGCAAUCAUUUCCUAGUGGGGUGCUUCUUCAAAAGUAAAUAACAAAAUUUGCCAAUAUUGUUUUCUGUGCAAUUGUGCAUAAUCUGUUUAGUUUAGGAAGUUGCCUUAUCAAAAUUGGCAUACAUAAUAGGGACCUCUAAUUUGUGCAUCUGAUUUUUAACAUAAGGCAGGUCCAGGAGGUAGUUCUUUUGGAUGAAGAUAUGCCUUCUAUACUGCCUACAGAAAAAGAUACUACUGUACAGCCUAAACGAGAAGAUACAACUGAUGAAUGGUGAACAAUUUUUCAGAAUCCUCUUUCUUAUGCUAUUAUAUUCUCUCAUGCAAGGUUCUUAGUUGUUCUAAGUUCUUGUUCUACACUAACGAUAACCCUUUUCUAGGAAGGAUGCAAAGAUCUAUUAUCCUUCAAGGUGCACAUUCUUUAAGAUUGAUGGAGCCAUUCUAUCUUUAGCUGUCAUAUUUUGGAUAGAGAUAUUUAUUACAUAUCUUUUUUGCUGACAGGGAGCAUCCACAGUCUGUCGAGCUUUCUUAUGCAGACAUAAAAUGUCUAGAUCCCGAGUCAUAUUUGUCAUCACCUAUAAUAAACUUUUACAUCAUGUAAGUGUAUAUUCUUUAGCCUUCUGGCAUUUUUUGGGAAAGUUUGAUACUCAUAGUUAUGUAAAAUGUUCCUGAAACCACUUGAACAUCAAAAUUGUGACCUAUAAUCUCUGAGUUCUUUUUUAGUAAGUUAUUAAAAA